CACAAGAACACAAUGAAGAACACCAUGAUGUAGAAUUGAAUGAACCAUUGCACACUAAAAAGAUGCAACUCUCUUAAAUAGCAAAAAAAAAAAAAAAAAAAGCUCAACAUAUUACAUUCGACACCACUAAAUGGGAUUCAUAAUUUACUUUAAAUAAUCGUAUCCAUAAAAGAAAAUAACACCCAUUAGAAAGUGAUAUGUCGUUAUUCCAAAAAGGAAAAAAUAUUAGAUAAAAUAAUUUAGUCAUAACUUUUCAAAUAAAGAAAAUAAUCGAAAAAUCUUCCGAUGUUAAAAUAAGAUGUUAAGAUUUUUGAAUGGCAUGUGAACAUAAACUAUUUAAUUGUCUUUAUAGAUGAUUAUAUUAAAAGUUAGUUUUGAAAAGAAUCUAUCUUUGAUGUGAAUUAAGUGAUAUUAUCAUUAGUAAGUAAUGUUUCUUUCAUGUUAAAACACAAAUAAAAUGUGUGGUAUGAAAUUUUCUUCGACAAAAGAUCGUUGGAUGCAUUGAAAGUUUGAAAAGACUGAUUAAAGAAGAUCCAUAUAUCAUUCAAAAAGUUCUUACCUCUUCUUCCAACAUUAAUGAGACUCAUCAUCCAUUGUUGCACCUCUCUAUUUCCAAUGACUAUCUCGAAUUCGCUCGACUUCUCAUUCAUUAUGAGCCUUAACUUGCUGUUGAGGUUGACUUCUUCCAACGAACGCCUCUCUAUAUUGCUUUCAAACAUGGAGAUGUUGAGAUCGUUGAAGCUUUGUUGAAAGGAGCAUGAGUCCUGCCUUUGUUUAUGAUAAUAAUGGCUUUAUUCCUCUUCACUAUGCAACACUUUCUGGAAAAAUAGAUCAUGCAAGAGCUUAUCAAAGCAAGACCAAGAUCCCUUUGGAUGAAGCUCAACAAUGGUUAAACUGUUUUGCAUUUAUGUGUUCAAAGUAACAUUUGAAGGGGAUGAAGUUUCUAAUCGAAACAUAUAUGAAUUAUGAUGAAGACUUCUUAAACACAAUGGAUGACCAUGGGAGUACUAUUUUGGAUCUUUCAAUAAAGCUACGACAAAGCGAGCUAAGUAUAACUAGAGAAAACACACCAAAAUGGUUCGUCUGUCAAUUGAAUGAAUUACAGAUGGAUAUAUAUAAUAACAUGUAAUAAUAAACCUUUUCUAACUCUUUUUUUUUUUUUUUUUUUUUUGUGCUAUAGAUGUUGGGAUAUUUAUUCCCAGUUUUAGAAGUAAAAACUAAAAUAACAUAGCAAACAUCGAAGACUCUUCCACCACAAAAGAAAGUUUAUUAGAAUUAUUCCAAAAGAUCUCAAAGAUAAGAAACCUUAGAAGACAAGAAUCACGAAAAUAUGCAUCCAAAAGGAAGACUGGGCCACGGUGGAAUACAUGGAGAAAAAAUUUGACGUACAAAGGGGAUUGGUUUCAAGAAGUGAAAACCACAAUGAUGUUAGUGGGUAUAGUCAUUGCAGCCGUCACUUUUCAAGUGUGAGUGAACCCUCUUUGGUGGCGAUUAGCAAGAAGACACUCCAUUUAAUUCUUCAAACUACUUUCGUAAUCAUUAUUAUUAUAGAGCAAAUAUCACUUAAAUAACGUCAAUUUUUGGGACAACAUGUUGUUCCCUAUCUAGCUGAAACUGCAAUAAUGAACUCGGGGCAAUCUUAUACAUAUGCAUCUUACUUGUGGUUGAACUCAAUAUCCUUCUUGACAUCCAUUAGUGUGAUUUUGUUAAUUGACACCACAAUGAUGUUAAUUAGUGUGCUAUAGAUGUUGGUUAUUUAAACGUUGAAAGAAAAUGGAUAGGCAUAUCAGAAAAUGUGCCUGGAAAUUGGAAUGUGUGUUUACCAACCAACCACUACUCUUAGAAAUGUUCGCACGUCUUCAAUUAUGAAGCUUGAAGUCAACUUACAUUAACCAGCGGCCAAAAGAUUGAACUACUCUUUUGCUUUCUACCCAAUGGGAAACAAAAUAGUUGGAAGGCAAGUACCUAGCUUACAACCAAAUUUCCCGUUCAAAACAAACAAUUCUGGCUGAUUAUCAUGAAUGCUAACAUUUCACUCAUGCCAUAAUUUAUUUUCAACUCUGAUAUGGCAUCAUAGGUUGUCCAGCUUCCUUAAUGUAACUAGCUUAACUGCAUUGAUUGUUUGGAGCAAAGAAAAAAAGUUAACAGCCUACAAAAAUUAGUUUGACUGACUAGAUUAGCUUUAAAGGGGAAUGUAACAAAUCAUUACAUAAGUGCAUUCUUAACAACAAAAGAGAAAAAAAAUCAUAAUGUGCAUUAGAAAUCACUCCAUUUUUUAACAGCAAAGCAACCAAGGGAGGACGGAAAGUUAUUGCUCGAAGGAUUGCAAAGGGGCGCUCAAGAAUAACUGCAUAAUGUUCAUCUCAAAUCAGAUCCAUUUGAAUCGCUCUGCCAAUAUCUUGUUGUGUUAGUUUUUUUUUUUUUAAUUUAAAAUUAACUCAAUAGAAUGGUAUCACUGGCUGAAUAACCCCUUUUUGUCGGUUUUCUUCUUAGGCCUCGGAAUACAGUCUGUAUAAACUUCUCUAUUUUUAGAAUUACCAUGCAUUAAACCUUCCAUAUUGAAGUUUCAUUUACCCUUAAUUUUUAUUUCUUUCUUAACUUAGCUAGAGAAUAGUUUACUUUGGGUUCAUGGGGACUGUUGAUGCUGGCUCCUGAGCAAAUAAACAUAGCUCAAGUCCGAAAGUUGCAAAAAGGAAGAAUAUGUGAUUUUUCAAGUCAUUUUAGGACUUAAAUCGUUACUUAUCCGUAUUUUCUUUUGUUUUAAUAUUAUUUUCUCCCACAAAAAUAAAUUAUAAAUAGGCCAAAUUGCAAAAACCACCUUUAGUACUUGUAAAGUUGCAAUUACAUGUCAAAUUUUCAAUUGUAAAUGUUGUACCGUUGAACUUGUACAGUAGUAAAAAUGUUAACAAAUUUUCAAGUUUGAGAGUUAUUUUUCAUCAUCUCAUACUUCAAUUUUUUAAAAUCUAUGGUAAGUUUGAAAGUCCAAUCCAAUUUUACCGCUGAAAGUUCGAGUCAGAAAUUGAAAUUACCACCAUACUUUGACUUUACUUAUAUGCUAUUAGUUCCUUGUAGAUAUUAUUUUAGAGUUUGUACUUUUGGCUUUAGUUGUGGUUCUACACUUCUACACGUUCAUUCAUUUUAGUCACUAUGUUCUCGAAAUAUCUAGUUUACCUUUUUACUUUUAAAAAGUCAUUAUUUCAUCCUUCAAAACAAUUUUUAUCUCAUUUCUUUUGAUUGCUAUGCUAACAUUUAAGUCAUAAACUUGUAUUAAAAGAGCUUUUCUGUUGACAUCCAUUUUAAAAAUUUGCUAAUAGGGAUUAAAUAUAAAAGUAUAGUGAUCAAAUCGAAUUUAUAAAAAUCAAGACAGUAUCCUAACUUUCUUUCCCCCACUAAAUAUAGGUUACUGUGAGCUGUAGAAGCUAUAUAUGAGAUUGGAAUUAGGAUGGGAUGUUGCAUUUUGAAAAGAGUCAAGAUUUGUGUGAAGGGUAAGAGGAGUUUGACAAGGAAUUUCUACAUUCUCAAAGAUUAAGACAUUCGAAAUUGAAAUAAUUGAUAUACAAGCUAUAGCUAUGUAUAGUUCAGUGCCUAUCUUUAGGACACUGGAGUUUGCAGUUGCCAUAAAUACAUGGCACCAUAAUUAUCAACACUCUCACCCUUUUCUCAUUCUUAUUUCUCAAUUCAAUUUCUUGGGAAAUAAUAUGCACCUAACCAAUUUGGACAGAACUGUGGGUUAAUAUUCUCCAAAUUGUUUAACACUUGUAAAUAAAUAAGGUGGUGAUUAUCACACUUGUAGUUUAACUUAGUUCAAUACUUAGAGGUUGAUGGUUCUUGGUUCUAACAUAUAAGAAUUUUUUCCUUUACUUAAUAUAUUUUUAGAAGUCAUUUAAAAUAUAUAUUAUUCUUACUUCAAAGACCUAAUUAAUUUAAUACUAAAUAAUCAAUAAUUUCUAAGCUUUUAACUUCAUUUUCAAUCUUUACGCAGCACUUUCUUCAAGAAUGCAUUUUUAUCAAUUUUGUGGGUUGACAACGAUGACGCAUUAUUCUUUUGAAAAGGUUUAAAUUGUAGUCUUUUUUUUUUUUUUUCUUAUAGAGAUAAAAUAACAACAAUAAUAAUAAAGAAAGAAAGAAAGAGACCAUUUUGACUUAGUAGUAUGCUUGAGAAAAUGUCAAUUUAAACCGCACAAAAUUCUAUCUUUUCCAUAUUUGUUCGUCUUCAAUACAUUUCUGAGGCCAACCCUCUUCAUUUUGUAUUAUUCUAUUCUGCUUUUUCUUUUUUACUAUUAUUUAUUAUUAUUAUUGUUUUAUUUUUACGUUAAAUUAUAAAUCCAUUCUUUAGUUCUAAACUUUUAAAUUAAGCAUUUUUAGUUAUUCCUUAAUCUUGUGUUCUAAUUUAACAUGAUAUCCUAAUUAAAAACAUGUUGGGUUGAUUUUAGUACUCAUGACAAUUUAAGAUUAAAACGAAAUGAUUGUGGAAAUAAAAUAGUGAAAACGGACAAGAAGACAAGAUACCUUAUGAAACAAAUGUUUUCUUCUUUUAUUAUUAUUAUUUUUUCAUCUAAGAAAGAGAUUAUUUGUCAUUUUUAAUUAAUAUAAUCAAUCUUUACUUUUGUACUCUACAAAAAUUACAUACUUAUUGCUUUUGAGUUAGGCUUACUUUGACUGCCAAUCAAAUUUUAGUGGAGAAUUUUUAUAAUCAAUAUAAUUUUCUCAUUUUGUCUUUUGUUAAUUUUUUAGGCAAUUGUUUCUUAUUAUAUAUACUUUAAUUUAGAGAGAGAGAAAAGAGUAGACUACAAAUAUAAAGAUACGUGCUUAAGUACGUAGAAAGAAUAAUAACAUAACAUACCAAACAUAUAUUUGAGAAAUUUGGAAUGAAGCAUGUGAAACAAGGCUAUGUAUUAAUUGUAAUUGACUAAGCAUUACUUAGUAAAGAACCUGAACUAGCAACUUCUAGGUUUUUCCAUCCUAGCUCUUACCUUCUCAAACAUACAUAUGUAUAUAUAAGCAUCCACAACAACAAAAAAACCAAUUUCAUUUUUUUUUCAAUUAUUACUUAGCUAGCUAGACACACACAUACUGUGACCUACUACGUACCUAUGUAUCCUAUGCAUCCCAGCUUGAUGAAACAAGGUCGUUGGAUAAUCCCGUUAAUCCCAACGAUGACGAAGAUGAUGACAAUGAUGAACACGGCGGGUUUUGUAAGAUCGAUGACAUGAUCAUAUCAAUUUGCUCCAUAGCCAUUUGAUUAGUUACCAUGCAUUGAUCUUGUGGAUAGUAACCAUUUGAAAAGCUUGAUAAUUUGAUAAUUGGAUCAAGAUCUUGCAAAGGAGCUGGAAUUUGUGGAAUUGAUGAGCAAAUAUUUUCCUCGCCAACCUCGCAUAAUUUUGGCAUCGUUGUCGUGGGAUGCAAAAAUGAAAUGUCAACGUAUUGUGGUAGUGUAGCUGCUGGAGUGACGAACUCUCCACUUGCCACCACCGGUUGAUCAGAGUCGAGCGGUUGGAGACGAUAGCCUCCUGAUGAUGGCCACAUUGGACGAGGGUCAUGAGGGGAAAAGUUUGUUGAGGAGGAAAUGGAAGGAAGUAAAUGAACCAAAUUAGCAUUUGGAUUGAGAUUGGUAAAUUGGUCAAGCUUGUAAUCAAUGAGAUGAUCAAAACUAGUUUGUAGAGUUGAAGUUGGAAGACAUGGUUGGUCUUGAUGGGCAGAGGUGGUUAAAAUCAAAUUAGGGUUUGCAUUGAGAAUAAUAAAUCCCUCGUUAUUAAUAGAAGCAUUAGGGUUUUGGAGAUGGCCAGAAAAGGUGGCCAAAGCAGAAACCUCAUGAGAAAUCAACUUCUUUUUUAUGUUUGAAUUCCAAAAAUUCUUCACUUCAUUGUCGGUUCUUCCAGGUAAUUGCUUCGCUAUUUGAGCCCAUCUAAAAGCAAACCAAAUCCAACAAAAUAUUUUGAGAGUCCUCGACGAGUAAAAUAGAAGAAAAAAGGAUGGAGAGAAAUUAAAGAGUGAAGAGAGAACAAUUAUUACCUAUUACCAAGAAUGCUAUGGAGUUGAACAAUGAGGGAAGCUUCUUGGGGAGAGAAACUCCCACGUUUAAGGUCAGGUCUCAGAUAAUUUAUCCAUCUUAGUCUACAACUUUUCCCACAUCUCUGCAAGCCUGAAAAAUACACCAUCAAAAUAAAUAAUUAUUAGAAGAUGGGAAACAAUGUGACUAAUGAUUCUAUAUUGCUAAACAAAUGAGUUAGAAUUAGAAUUUAGAACUUCUCUUUCCAUUUAUAAAAAAAAAAAACAAACCACAAAAUAAUUACAUCAGAGAAUUACGAGAAGAAAAAAGGAAUCUUAAAACGAAGAUUUAUUCUUUAGCUAAUUAUUAGUCUCAUCACAUUUUUUUUUAAAUAAAAAAAUAAAGAAAACUUUUUAUAAGGCUUUGCUUAAGCUUACGAGUUUAAUAGUAACUAUGACGGUCAUGGGAAAAAAGAGAAAGUGAUUCACCAGCAAGCUUGGGGACAGAGCUCCAACAGCCAUGGCCAUAAGUAGAAAUGUAAUUAACAAGCUUCUCAUCUUCCUCAGGUGACCAUAGCCCUCUCUUCACUUUCUGUUUGUUACAGCAAGAAUGGUGUCCCAUUUCCUUAACUUCUCUCUCUUUCUCCCGCUCUAAAAAUUAAAAGAAAAAUGGAAAGAAAAGACAAAACAGAAACUUUUUACAGAAGAAGAAGCUUAAAGGUUUGUGAUUUUAGAGAGAGAAAAAGUUGAAGAAAGAGAGAGUGAUUCAGAUUUUGGAAUGAGAAGGGAAGGAGGUUAUGAAUUUAAUGUGGGGGAAUUGUACGGUUGUGGGCCGCUCGGGGCUUAUUGGAAAGAAAAAAAACUUGGAUGCAUCUAUAUGUUAUAUGUUAUAAGUUAUAUGCUCUUCCUCUCCAUCUCUGCACUAUAUAAAAACCAAAUUAUCCAAAUAUCUUUUAAACUUUUUUAUUUUUAUGCUUGGCAACAUGUAUGGAUGCACCUAACCAUUGUCUUAUGCACAAUGCCUAUAAGUUGUGUUUUUUCGUGCUUGUAACAAUUUCUAGUGUUACAAUAGUAUAAAACAACAGUUAAAACAAGUAUUUUUCAUCUUUAGGCUUUAAAAUGUUACCCUUAUGGGUCAUUUUGGUUUGAGGAUACCUUUCUACUUAGAAUUGACAUAUGCAUGCAUAUAAUCAUCUUACUCAUGGUUUCAACUAUUUGCGACUUAAUAAGCAAUUCUCAUGCAUCCUCAUUUUCAAUAGAUAAAGUUUGAGGGUAUUUGCAAAAAUGACAAAACAGGUUAUAAUAAUUAAGUCUAUAGCACACAUACUUUAUUAAACUUGUUACACUUGAUUCAUCUUUGAUACACUUGGUACCCUUUAUGCUUUGAUACACUUAAAGGCUUCAAUUAUAAGUUUGAUACACCGCUAAUAAACUUGUUAUGCUUCAUUUGUACACUCAACAAAAAAUUUAUACGUUUGAUGUACAUGAUGUAUUUGAUACACCCGAUGCACUGCAGAUACACUUGGUAUUUUUCACUUAUACAUUUGAUUGAAUAAAUACACUUGAUAUGCUUGAAGUCCUACUUAUACACUUGUAAACUUGAUUCAUAUACUUGAUAAUGAUUCACUUUACUGAUAUACUUCAACAAUAUAUUGUUGAUAUAUUUUAUAAUCAUACACUGAGUUAUAUCAUUCAUAUACUUAAUAAUAUUAUAAUGAACUGCAUAAAAUUUGAAAAAAUAAAAAAUCACGUAGUAAGUAUAUCAACCAACAAAUACAUAUAAUAUAAGUAUAUCACAACAUUGAUAUACAAAAUUGAGACAAGUCAAACCAAAACAAAAUCAAUGUAAAAAUAGAUAAAACAAAAUCAUUUGAAAUCAUAUCCAACUUAAAAUAUACAUCGAAGAAAGUAAAAUAAAAUCACAAAAGAAGUUAAAUUACUCUAAUUAACAACCAUUAUAUUUCAUAUUGCAAUUAUUGUAAUAUUGAUAUUCUGAAAUCAAAAUUAAGACGGAAAGAACAAAUAAUUUUUUUCGUAUAAAUUUUUCUCAUAUAAGAAUAAAUAAAUAAUUAGGACCUUAACAAGAGAGAAUAAAUAAAUAAUGAGUAGGACAUUAAAAAAAGAAGAUAAAUAAGUUAUGAAGAAUAUUUUAGGAAUAAUAACAAAUUUAAAAAACAGAGAAUUUUUACUAGUAAAAAUUUUACAAAAUUUCAAAACAAUGUGCUAUAUUUGUCAUAUUAUAUUAUCUUACGUUUGCAAUUUCCCUAAGGUUUUCUAUUCUCUUCUAAACUAGGAGUUUUUUAAUAUAUAAUUUCAUUUAAAAUAUAGUUAAUUAAUUAAUAAUAAUUUAACCAAAUUAAUAUAAAUAUUCAUUUUAAUAAAUCAAUAAAAUUAUUUACUUAACUUUACUUUUACAACAAAAGUUAAUUAAAUGAAUGCAAUUAUUUUUUCCUAAACUAUUAAUUAAUUAGCUAUCAAUAUCUUAAAUAUAUUCGGUUGGUAGAUUAAGAUGAGCUCAAUUUUGGUUAAUACACAAAUCCAUUUUUCAAUAAUAAUAAAAACAUAUAAUUACUUAUUGCUUUUUUUACUUAAUCAAUAAAUUAUUUAUCAAGAUUAAUUUUAAUUUGAUUCAUGAGCAUUCCAUUGAGUGAUACAUUUUUAAAUAUAACAAAAAAUUAAUUAAUUAAAAUAUAAUAAAAAAAUUUAUUUUUGAUUGACGCUGAUAAAAAACUAUCAUAAUUGAUAGAAUAUAAAGUUUUACUAUAUAUUACUUUAGAUUGUUGGACACUUGACAAGAGUCAACCUGUCCUUUCUCAAAGGUCCUUUAAGUUUUUAGUUGUCGACUGGUAUCACACUUCUUGAUUCUGUUGUCUUUAGAUAUCAAUUAUACCAUUUGGUCUAAACUCAUCUCUGAUAAUUAUAAAUUAGAUUUUAUUUUUUUUUGGUGGAGAAUGCUUAUCUUUUAGUCUUUCAUAGAUUUACAUUUUUCUUUAAUCUCACUUGGUCUAUAAGGAUGGUUGAGCUUGCUAAGGUUGUCAACUUAGUUGAAAUCUAUUUCCACACCAUAUACGAAAAAACAUCUAACAAGAUGCUCAAAUUUUGCAUUUAAUCAAAUUAGCCGAUCAAAGCAGCAACAAGAUACAUAAUUAACAAGUGAUAACUAAAUUUUCAAAUUUUGGAUGAGUAUAAGAAAAUAAUAGUUAUAAUAUUUUUAUUAGAAUAUGGAAUAUAUUAUUCAUUUUAGAGGAGAGAAUAACCGAGACCUAUCUUUAAAUAAUAAUAAUAAUAAUAAUAAUAAAUAACUUAACAUAUACGAAAAACUAUUAUUAAUUAUAAAUAAUAGUAUGAUAAUAUGUGUUAAAUAGACGUUCAUUCUUAGUGUCUAUUGCCAUGUGGUAAUUUAUAACUAUCCUAUUUGUUGUCCAUGUUCCUAAUCUUGGAGAUACAAUUAAAGAAGGAAAUGCAAUCAAGAAAAAGCAAAAGCUAUAUUUUUCCUUCGUCAUCAUAUUCACGAGGAUUUGAAAUCAAAAUAUUUUAAUUACAAUAAAGGAUCGUCAUAAGUUGUGGAGUAAAUUGGAAGAAAGGUCUGAUAAUUUAAAAUUAAAUUAAUUCAUCUUCUACAAGCUCGUUAGAAUUGGAUACAUUUGAGGCUACAAAAUUUUAAAUCAAUAAGUGAUUACAAUUCUAAAUCAGUAAGUGAUUACAAUUCUAGAUUAUUUAGAAUUAGUUCAAAAUUGUUGUUAUAUGCGGAGAAAAAAAAUUACUGAUAUGAACAUGUUGGAAAAGACAUUUUUUAUUUUUCACAUCUUGAAUAUGUUCCUACAACAAUGAGAUAUCGAAAGAAAUGUUUUACAAAAUAUUCUGGACUAAUCUCAUAUCUUUUUGUUGUCAAACAAAAUAAUUAGUUGUUGAUGAAAAAUCACAAAUCCCAACCAACUUAAACAAAACCAUUCCGCAGAGAAAAUGUUGUGAAUUUAAAUCGUGGACAAGGUUGUGGUUGAAGUAGUGAUCGUGGUAGAGGAAGAAAAAAUUAUUAUUUUUGUGGUGGCGGUUCUAAUAAUUCAAAUUUCAAAAGUACUACACGAAAUGAUAAUCAUAAAGCGAAAGUUUCACAAAAUAAGAAUUCAAAAAAUGAUGAGAAAAAUGAUAGACCAAUGUGGAAUAACUGGACAUUGGUCAUGUGUUUACCAUACAUUGAAACACUUAGUUGAUCUAUAUCAAGCCUUCCUAAAGAAGAAAAAAGGAAAAAUGUAGAACCUAAUUGGACCAAUCAAUAUAAUGAUAUAGAUGAUCCAUCCAACCUAACUAAUUUGGAUGUGACAGAUUUCUUUGAAACUUUUGAAGAGACUAUAAUGAUGAGAAAAAUUAUUGAAAAUUCUCAUGGACAUCCAUUGAAGAACUAGAAGAUUAUUCUUCUAUCUAAUGAAUUAAUAUGAGAUGUUUGUUGUCAAAGCAAAUUAAUAAUUAGACUAUCACCAGCUAAAGUGAAAAUUGAAUCACCUAUAUUUUUAGAAUGAAUUCGUUGUGAUAUAUUUAGACCUAUUAGCCCACCAAAUGGACCAUUUAAAUAUUUCAUGAUAUUAAUAAUAGACGCAUUCAAUAGAUAGUCGCAUGUGUGCUUAUUAUCAAGUCAAAAUCUUGCAUUUGCAAAGUUGUUUGCUCAAAUAAUUAAGUUAAGAGCACAAUUUCCUAAUUAUACAAUUAAGAACAUUCAACUUGAUAAUGCUGGAGAAUUUAUAUCACAAGUUUUUUACAAUUAUUGUAUGUUUAUUAGAAUAAGUAAUGAACAUUAUGUAGCUCAUGUUAUACACAAAAUGGUUUAGUAUAAUCAUUUAUAAAACAUUUGCAAAUCUGAGAGCUAGCUAAGCUUCCUAUCUGCUAAAACAUUUGUUAUUUUGCAUACUGUGUCACUCGUGCGUAUUAGACCAGUAACUUAUCACAAGUACUUGCCAUUAUAAUUAACAUAUGACCAUGAAGUAAAUAUUUCUCAUUUGAUAAUUUUUUAACGUGUUAUACAUAUUCCAAUUGCUCCACCACAACGUGCUGAGAUGAGUUCUUAAAGGAGACUAGAAAAAUGUGUUGGAUUUAAUUACCCAUCAAUUAUUCAAUACCUUAAACCCCUGACGGGUGACGUAUUUAUUGCACGAUUUUUUUAUUGUCAUUUUAAUGAGACAAAAUUUCCAACAUUAGGGUAAGGAAUAAAGAAGUUGAACAAAAAUUACAUGGAAUGUAUCAUUUUAUUGUCUCGUAGAUUCUCAUACAGAUCAAUUUGAACUUAAAGUUCAAAAAAUAGUUCAUUUGUAAAAUAUAAAAAAUUAGUUACCAUAUGCAUUUGUAGAUGUAAAGAGGGUAACUAAGUCACAUAUAAAAGCUACAAAUAUCCCAUCAAAAGUUGAUAUCUCAACACAACAAGUUGUCAUUAAUGAAUAUGAAACACGCCAGAAGUGUGGUAGACUAGUGAGUUCCAAAUUAGAUAAAAAUCUUCGAAAAAGAAAAGCAAGUCAAUAACUCGAUUAAAAAUAUGGAUGUUUUAGAAGAAAUCCAAAAUUUGACUCCUAACAAAAAUAUUGAAAAAGAUAAAACAACUAAGGAUAUUAAUGAGAUUUCGAUCAACUAUGCCAUGACAGGAAAAAGAUGGAAUCAGUUUAAUGUAGUUGUUGACAACAUUUUUUCAUAUAAUGUUUCUCUUAAAUCCGAAAUUGAGGAUUUUAAACCAAAUCUGUUAAAGAAUAUCAACAAAGAAAAUAUUAGUCUUUGUGGAAAGAAGCAAUUUAGACAAAAUUAAAUUCACUUUCAAAACGUCAAGUUUUUAGACCAAUAGUUAAAACACUAGAAGGUACGAUGUCAAACUUGUUGGAUAUAAAUGGGUAUUUGUGAAAAGAAAAAAUGAAGAUAAUGAGAUCACAAGAUAUAAAGCAAAAUUAACUGCACAAGGUUUUUCACAAAGACCUGAUAUUGAUUAUGAGAAAGACAUAUUCUCUAGUGGUGGAUGCAAUCACAUUAAGACUUUUAAUUAGCCUGACUGUGUAUGAAAAUCUGGACAUAUCUUCUGGAUGUGUCACAACAUAUUUAUAUGGAUAUAUUAAUAAUGAUAUUUAUAUGAAAGUCCUAGAAAACUUUAAGAUACAUAAAACAUAUAAAUCAAGUUCUCGAAAACUAUAUUCAAUAAAGUUAUGGAUAUCAUUUAUAUAAGAUGAAUGUAAUAUAAUCACUUGAAUAGAUAUUUGUGGAAAGAAUGGUAUUAAAAUAAUUCAAUACAUUCAUGCAUUUUUAUAAAGAAAUUAAAAUCAGGAUUUACUAUUAUAAUUAUAUAUGUUGAUAAUUUAAAUAUAAUUGGAAAUCCUGGGUAGCUUCCAAUGGCAAUAAAGUAUCUUAAAAAAGAAUUUGAGAUGAAAGAUCUCAUAAAAAUAAAAUUUUGCCUUGAUUUGCAAAUUAAGCAUUUAUAGCAAAUGAGAUAUUUGUUCAUCAAUCAACUUAUAUAGGAAAAUUUAGGGAUAGUUGAAUAUUUAACAAUUAGAUUAAAAAAUAAUUAAGUAUAUAGCAACAUUUUAAAAAUUUUGCAAAUAUAACAACAUUUGUCAAAUUCUAUCAAUGAUAGAAGUCUAUCACCGAUAGAACGUAUUGUAAAUAUUGGUCUAUCACUGAUAGACCAUAUGAGUCUAUCAAGAUACAAAUCUAUCAACGAUAAAUUUUGCUAUAUUUACAAUUUCUUUUAAAUGUUGUUAUAUCCUUAAUUAUUAUUCCUAAAAUGGCUAUCGUCACUUACAAUUACCCAAAAAAUUAUAUGGAUGAAGCACAUCGAUUGAACAUUCCAAUGCAAGUUCGUUCGUUAGAUGUGAAGAAAGAUGUAUUUUGACCUCGAGAUGAUAAUGAAGAUCUCCUUGGCCUAGAAGUACCAUAUAUUAGUGCAAUUUGUGUUCUUAUGUAUCUUGCUAAUUAUACAAUACUAUAUAUUUGCAUUUUUUCUGUAAAUUUAUUAGCUAAAUACAGUUCAUCUUCAAAAAAAAAAAUACAUUGGAAUUAAAUUAAGCAUUGUUAUCUUCGAGGAACAAUUGAUAUGAGAUUAUUUUAUUCAAAAUAAAUCAAAUUUUGACUUAGUUAGUUUUGUAGAUUCUGGGUUUAUCUUAUCCACACAAAGCUAGGUCUCAAAUAGGUUAUCUAUUCACAUAUGGAGAAACUAUUAUAUCAUGACGAUCGAUGAAAUAGACAAUAACAACCACUUCUUCAAAUCAUGUUGAAAUUCUUGCAAUGCAGAAGACAAGUUGAGAAUGUGUGUAUGGCUAAGAUCAAAGACUCAACACAUUCAUGGAACAUGUAACUUGUCUUCUAGUAAAAAUCUUCCAAAGAUACUAUAUCUUCUCAAAACAUGUAUAGUUCAAAUCAAAAAAUGUUAUAUUAAAUGGGAUAGAACAAAGCACAUUUCACCAAACUUUUUGUACACUCAUGAUCUUACAGAAAAUGACGACAUUAUAGUACAACAAAUUUGUUCAAAAUAUAACCCGAUGGACUUAUUUACAAAAUCAUUAUUUAUUGCAACUUUUGAAAAAUUUACACACAACAUUGGAAUGCGGUGACUCAAAAAUCUCAAGUGAUGUUUUCAUCAGGGCAAGUAAUUGUACUUUUGUAAGGGUAUAAAUAAUACGAAAUAUGUGCUCUUUUUCUUUCACAAGGUUUUUUUUUUUCUCCAUUGGGUAUUUUUGUAGUAAAAUUUUAACGAGACAUACAAUUUAUACAAGUAAUGAGUAGUAAGAAAGAGAGUAUUAUAAACAUUACAGUAAUAUAUGUUAAAUAGAUGCUCAUCUGUAUAGUCUAUUGCUAAGUAACAAUUUAUAACUACCUCAUUUGUUGUCCAUGCGUCUCAAUACGACAUAUCGUUAUAUUUCCUCCAUAGGUGUGUUUUGCCUCGACCACAAUUUGAACUAUUUUGUUUUUUUUUUUUUGUUUUUUUUUUGUUUUUUUUUGUCUUACUGUCAAUAAAAGUUAAAUCUCUUUUUCCUAAUAUGUGUUGCUAUAUAAAAAUAAGAAAUCUACUCACACACCAACAAAUCAAACAAAAUAAUAUCAAUUAUAAAAAAAGUAAAAGUAAAAAAUUGAACAGUAAUAACGUACACUUGAUAUAACUUUUGCCUCUUUAAACGUCGUGAGGGUUUAUUUAACCUUUCAUCUUCAUAGUUUUACAAAAUAUUAUAUAUGUAAUCAUUAAAAAACCCACAAGUCUAAAUUCCUAAAAGAGUAACACAUGCACUUUGAGCAUUGUUUUUAAAUAAAAGAAAAAAAAAAUUCACAUAACAAUUUAUACUAAUUGAACACUUUGUAAUAUGUUGCACAAAAGUGGACAUAGUCUAGAUCCACUCUAACUAUUCUUCCUACAUAAACUAUGAGUCUAAUAGUUAUACUUUUGGGAGAUAAAGCCAUAGAGGAAAAUAGAAACAUAUAGGUCAAAUUUGGUUGCAUGCAUAGUAAAAGAAAAGGAAAAGAAAACAUGUAUAGUUAUAAAAUAAAUAAAUAACUAAAGAUUAAAUAGUUAUCGAGGUAUUUAUAUUUUAAUGGACAAAUACUUUUAUUUAAAUAUCAAUUCAAAUUUUAGUUCAAUGAAGAAAGAACACUUGACUAAGAAAAGCAAACACAAGAUGAAUUUGAGGAUUAUAGUGUAACCCAAAUAUAAUUUUACCACAAUCAAUUUACAAAUCAACUUUGUUUUAAAUUGAUGGCCAACCGAUGUAAUUAUUGCUAAAGUUUCCAAUUCUAUAGUUAAUAAUUAACCUUUUCUCUUAUUAAUUUGGUAUAAUCACUUUUUAAUUAAUUAAUUAUGGAUUUUUUUCAUUUUACGUAUUUUUGUGAUAUUUGUCAAGUUUUUAGGUACAAAUUUAGUGAGAUUUGCAUCCCGAAAUUCAAAUACAAAUAUAAAAAAAAAGGGGAUAAAUGAUAUAUAUAUAUAUAUAUAUAUAUAUAUAUAUAUAUAUAUAUAUGAGCAAAUUGACAAAAUGGGUUAUUUUAUUUUGAAGAAAAGUGUAGUUCUAGGCAGCCAAAAAAAGAAAAAAAAUAGCCUAAAUUAUAGUGUAAAAUAUAGCUAAAUAACAAAUAUGUAUAAUCAAGUAAAAAUUAUCAUAAAAAUGAUCCAACCUACAAUUUUGCUUAUAGCAACUAAUUGACAUGACCAGGAAUAUAUAAUGACACCAACAACCAUUAAUAUACCUUAUAUGUCACUUUCUCUUUCUCAUUAUUCUUUUUCUAAUGUGAUAUUUCUUUUAAAGUUCAUUGAAACAACAAUCAUACAUUUCUUCUCACUUUAAUUUGAUAGAUGAAUAGAAAUUUAAUAUAAUGCUUUAUUACCUGUUAGACUUUUAUCAAACACAUGUCUUUUAUUUAUCAUUAGAUCAACCCAUGAUUAAAUUUAAAUGGCAUGAUCUUUACUAAAAUUCCCGUUUAAAAUUCUUGCAUGUGUCUCUUCAAAUUAUGCAAUUGAAUUGACAAUGUUGUUUAACCAUGUUAGUCAAUAGCAAUUGAUUAAAUGGCAAGUUUAUUACAUCAACUUUUAAGCAUACGUAUAUUUAAUCUUUUAAAAAAAAUUUAAACGUGUGAAAUUAGUAUGUAAUAAUCUUCUUAUAUUUGUAACAAUAAAACUUAAAUUCUUAAACAUGUGUCUAAAAGAUCUUUAAUGUUGUCCACAUCUUUUAGAAUUUGGAUUUACUGAAAAUACAUGAUUGAGGAUAUCUAGUUCGCUUCAAAGUUCAAUAUGAUCCUAUUGAAUAUGUUAUUGUCUUAUUGAACACUUUUUAAAAUUUAUCGACAAAAUAGAUUCACAAAUCCCAAACGGAUAAGGUAGUCUUUUCAAGCCACACCGAUUUUGAAACUUCAUAGGUAGAAAUAAGAAAUAAGAGAGACCCAUUUUUCACUUUUUUCUAACUUUUCUUUUUUCAAAAUGAGAGAAAUUUAGAGAGAGAAAAAAAGGUAAGAAAAAAGGUUAAUAGGACCAAUUAUGAAAUUAUCAAUUAUUGUCCUCUUAUUUUUUCUAUUAAUAUGAAAAUUUUUGCAUGGUUUUUUCUACAAGAAGAGUCAAUAUCAAUGUCCUUAUGUACAUUUUUUAUAUGAUCAAUGAUAUAAAAAUCCUCAACAUAUAUCUUUACAGAAAAUAAAAAUGAAGAAACCCAAUAAUUUCCUUUUCAAAUCAUAUCGGAAAUGAAAACAUUUUUUUUGUUUUUAUACCAUAUGUUUUAUUUUGAAAAUAUAAACUGUAAUUUAGAGGGAAUCGUCACAACCAAAAUUUCAAUUUGUUUAAUUUUUCUCUAAUUUUGUCAAAAUGCAACUAAUCUGUUUUAUAAUUUUUUGGUUUUUAUUAUUUAUAUUUUCAUAAUAUUUUAUAUAUUUAGAAGUUAAUUUUUUUUGGACAAAAAUCACUUUGUUAAUAUCAAGAUUAUUUUUCUUUUUUAUAUCAAUUUAUCCAAGUUUAAUUUUUUAAAUCACCAAACUAUUACUCUGAAAUAACACUAAUCAAAUUGAAUUUAUAUGUUGAAAGAAGAAAAAAGGUUCUUUAAAAACAUGGUAAGAACAUAAAACUAAAGAAAAGUUGAAGUAUUUUGAAGUUAGAUUCCCCAAAAUAAAGAAUUGAUUAUUUAGUGGAAAAUUAAUUUUUCUUCAAAUCACCGCCAUUUACCAAAAUUAGAAGGAAUCUUAAUAUUUUCUUUGAUUGGAAAUGUUGAAACACUUGCUAAAAAAAUAAAUUAACGAAUCUACACCUAACUUAAUUAAAUAAUUAAUUUUGUAUAUCUUUUUAAAUAAAAGGUUAUAAUAAUUGAAAUUUGUAUGGAAAAAAUUGAAAAUAUUAUUUAAAAAUUUUCAAUUAGUUAAAAGUAAACAUUAUUCCAAAAUUCCAAUAUGAUUAUUUCACAUUUAUCAUUUUGUAUAGUUUGUCAAAACUAAAAUAAUCUACACCCAAACACACACUAUUCUAAUCAAAAUAUAAUAACCUAAGACUAUAAUAACUCACUUCUUAUCUUAAACACUUCUCCUUAAAACGUAAGAUUACAAUAAUUGAAAUUCAAAUUUUCUAUCGUACGUGUCGUUGUAAAAGUAAAAUAAAAUAACAUUUUGUCAGCAAGUGACAAGUACAAGACAGAAAAAGCAAAGUCUUUUUUGUGAAGCUAUGUGUAGUGUCAUCUCACAGUCAACUCAUCAAAUGAGGAACAUCAUUUCAUCAUCUUCACCAAGUCUAUGCUUCAAUGUUUGGUGAAAAUUUGAAAGUUACAUUUCUUAUGCCUUCAUAACAUUUUCUCUUUACUUUUUCAUAUUCUCUUCCUUUAUGAUUCGACAGCCAUUUUAUUUGUCGAACAGACUUUGUUGAAUAAUAAUGCUAAUAUGUUUUAAGUAAAUUAGAUUGAAUCUCAAUUUGAGUUUAACUCAACUAUUUAGAUUGCAUAAGAUAUAUAUUUUUAACCACUUCACAAAUUAGUUAAUGGUCAACAAUUUUGUGUAUGUACGCAUUCAAAUUCUAGUAUCUCAAAUUUAGUUAAGGUGAACGACCAUUUUUUUCUCUUUUUUUUCUUUUAAGUUGUGUUCAAUAUAUAGUGAGAUUUUCGAAUCUUAGACCUUUUUGCUAGAGUACAAUAACAUUUUAUAUCAAUUAAAUAUGCUCACUUUGAUAUUACCACACAUUUGGAUUAAUGAUAUGGUUUAUAUAUAACUUAUUAUAAUAUUCUACAUUUUUUAAUACUCUUAAAAUAAAUUGUUGUUUUAAAAAGAAACAAAAUGAACUAAAAUAUUGUUGAAAUUUAUGUUUUAAAACUCAUACUUUGUUGUUUAAAAUCAUAUUCUAUUCAAUAAAGUUGUUGUUGAGAAAUUAUUAGUGAAUUUCAAUACUAAAAUAUUGAAUCCAAUAAACUAAGAUCUUGAGGCUAUCUUGAGUAAACUUGAACUUUAUGUAGAGACAUAAACAUGGAUCAAGUUCAAGUAUAUAGCCUUAAACGGUCUAUAGUACAUGAAUAAGGUCGGGUGCCUUAUUUUGUGGGACAUUAUAAAUCAUGUUCGCUUUGUAGUCAGUACAAACGAUGUGAUCCUGAAUCAUUCAUGUAGAGACAUGAAAGUGGGGGCAUUUAAUGUAAAGAAGUUUACAUAAGACUGGAACCACGAAAUAAUCAUUUUUACGUUAUAACAUCGUUGAUUGUAUAAAAGUGACUAUUUCGAUUCUUGAAGACCUAUGUAACUUAAUCCUAAUCUUGAGCUAACUAUGAACUUUUGUUCACAUGGAAUUAUUCGUAGACUUGCAUAGGUGAGGGUAGCUCAACAUCGCUGACUCAAUAAGUCUCCCAUUUCAAGGGUAAGACCAAAUGGAUAGCUAGAGAUAUUAGGGUGCAAGUCGAAAUUCACUUCUACCUAUAAUAUGGUUAGCAGAUAGGUUGUUCUCUUAAUGACUGAAUCUAGGUCUUGAAUAAUGGGCCCUACCCUAUCAUUCACUCAAGAGGAAUUCAGUUUAUAGGUUAGACCUUAAACCAAUUGUUUAAUAGUGGAUCAGUUGGACUUAAGAAGCAAUAUGUAAUCUUGAUGAUAGAAUGGUAUUUUGAUCCAAUCAAGGUUACGAACAACCUAUGAAGAAUUAACUUACUAAUCAUGGUUAUAUCAAAUGGACACCAGUCAAAUUGAGUAAAUAAGAUGGUCAUCCUUAAGCCUUCUUUCUAUUAACUUUCAAACUUGAAAGUGAACUCUUCUGUGACGUUCAACAUACUAACUAAUAUUAAGCUACUCCAUCGUUAGGGUAGAGUCAGUCGGUCCAAAGAACUGACAGUAGAGGUUAGGUCCUCCAGACUAUUCAUGUUAACCCAAAUUUCACUCUCUCUACAAUAUUCUUUGUGUCUCUCCUUUUCAUGCGCUUUGCUUCACCCUAAUAUCAAUAGUGAAGGGAGUGCAACUAUGAGAUUUAGUGAAAUAACCCUUUAGUUAACGAAUGUUAACUAGCUCGAUCUAAAAGGAUUUAGCCAGUAAAUCUUUGAUCAUUAGAUUUCAUAAUCUGUAGAUCUAUUAGGUUCCUCAAUUAGCUCAUAUGGAAUAAUUAAUUUAGAAUAGUAUGUUUGAUUAAUUUGAAUUAAUCGAAUUAGGUUAGGAGAGAGAAAUCAACAAGUAUAUAUAAUAUAGUGAUCAAUUUUUAUGUUAAUAUGAUUUAAAUAUCAAGAAUAUAAAUGCACAUUCAUAUUCAGAAGCUUGAAAAAUAAUGGAAAUGGUCAAAGUUGAGAAAAGUCAAAUUGUUGACUUUUUACUUUGAAAAGUCAAACUUUGACCAAUUUUAUAUUCAAAUCUGAUUUGUAUUUUGCGAAAAUAAAAUGUGAAUUCAUGCUCAUGAGGUUGAAAUUAGUCAAGAAGGAAAAAAGUGAUCAAAAGUAAAAAUAUUGACUUUUUGCCAAAGUUUGACUUUGAAUUGAAUGAUGAAAUCACAAUUUUACCCUUUAACUAAAGUUGGUGAAAAAAUACAACAUUUUGUUGGAUAAUUUCAAUUACUUUUAGUGGCUAUGUGGAGGCUCACGAUGAUAACACCAAGCCUGCUAAGAGAUAGUGCAUCGAUGCAUAAUUCCACUAACUCAUUAGUAGGCUAAAUGGAAGCUUGUGAACCAAGCAUACUAAAAGUUAAUGGGAUGUGAGGUGUGUUGAACUUUGGUGAGUUUACAUGUGCAAUUGUUGCACGUAAUUUGUCUAUUUAAAGGGUGAAUUUUCAAUCGUAGGUAACUUCUUUACUCAUUAUUUAUGAUUUUUCCUUAAAAUUAUUAAUCACCAAAUAAUUUUCCAAACCUUUGACAUUCCUCCAAUUCCUAUAUCUCUCAAAUUCUUCACUCAUUGACCCUCACAAUCAAAUUCUAGUUCGAAGAAUAGUAGAUCAACUUAUUGGUGGUUCGGUUCAUGCUAGGGUGGAGGUUUGAGUGAUUAUAGUCCUACGAAUGUGAGUUAUCCCUAACUCUAAUUGUAAUCUAAUUAAGUACUUAUAUGUUAAUUUUUAGUGUAACUAUAGUAAAAUUGAUCCGAUUUCUACUAUGCAUAUCUAUUAUUUCCAUAAAAUAUUAACAAAUAUAACAAAAUAUCGACAUUAAUAUAUGUUGUUUAUCAUUAAUUAAAAAUGAUAUAUUUUGUUAUAUUUGUAAAUAUGUGAUAAGAGUGAGAUUACAUGGAACCAAAUUUGGAGGAUUGGACAUAAUGAAAGGUAUGUAUCAAAUUAUUAGUAUAUAUUAUGUAUGUGACAAAAUAAUGAGAAUAAUAUUUAAUAAUAGGAUAAACAAAAUGAUCUCAACGACAACAAACAAAAUUAAUUUUAUACUUUUUGACUUUCCUUCAAAUAUAAUAUUUGUUGCCAAUAAUUACAUUCUUCUUCUAUUCCAUGUUUUUCAUAAUCAAAUUACUUUUCAAAAUACAAAUCACUUUCACUACAUGAAUAAGACACUGUUAAUUUCCAAAAAUUAGGUGCAGCAGAGAGAGAGAGAUUCGGUCCUCAUUUAACUCGUUAAGCAAUUUUUAAAAAUUAAAUAUAGAAAAUACGUUAAUUACGUACUUUUUUUAUUAUUAUUUUCCUUUGACUCUUUGUUCUAUUUUCUUCAAAAAAUAAUAAUAAUAAUGAAUGAAUGAAAAAUAUAGUAAAUAAUCUAUAUGCAUAGAUUAUUCUAUAACACAGCAGAAACAUAUUUAACAAUUGUUAGGAUUCUUUCAUUGUACAAAUUCGAGCUAUGUUUAGAUUAUUGGUUAUUCUAUGCCAAUAUUGCAAAUAUUGUAAAAAUAUCAAUUAAUAUUAAUUUAUAAUCUCGAGACUUUUAACACUAAUAAUUUUGAUAAUUUUUAGAUGUCUUCUUGUAUCAAUUUAAAUUAUGUUUGAGACACUUAAUUAGAAUGGUUUGAAAAUUCCCUAAUUCAAUUAUUUAAAUAAGAAGAAAUAUGAAUGUUGUCACAUUUUUCUUAUAAUAAAUUUAAACAGUGAUUAUGAAAGCGAGAGAUUCCACAUAAUAUUGGACAAAUUGGUAUGACGCAAGAGAUUGUACCAAUUUCAUCACCUUCAAUGUAACUUUUUUGAUAAUGUAUAGUGAAAUCCAAAGAAUGACAUAUCAAUUCAUAAUUCAAAUUAUAUAUAUAUAUAUAUUUAUACUAGUAGAUAAUCAAAAAGAAUAUUGCGUAGGACCCAAAAUUUGGAAAAAUUGUUUCCCUUUUUCUUGUAAAUGAAGUGAGUAAAAAAGGGCAGUUGACCAAAGUGUUGAUGGAAAAGCCUUGAUUUUGUAUCUUCUCCUAGACGAUUCUCAUCUGUUUUUUUUUACUUUUUUUUCUUUAACUUUUUCUUAACAGAUGCUCUUAAUGGAUAUAUAUUUUGUACUCCAAAAUCAAAUCAUUAUCAACUUAGCAUCAAUUUAUUAUGUUCACUUAAUGUUUUGGUUAAAUCAAAAUUUGUAAAAAUGCCUACCAAAUAUAGUUUUAUAAAUCCUUGUGGAAAUCCAUAUAUCAAAUAUUAGAAUAAUUUACCUUUUCUUCAAUUUAUAUAGAUUGCCAUAAGUCCAACUCUAGGGUCUAAUAAUAUAUUGAAAUAUGAAUUUUGUAAAAUGUACUUUUAGAUGAUUCUAUAUAUAUGUAUAUAUGGAGAAUUAGAUAAAAUGUUACAAGUCUUUUUAAAAAGUAUAUUGGACAAACACAAGAAUUUUUUUUCUUUUAAAAUAAAAAUAAAAAAAGUGAAAUCCAUUUCUUUUAAAGAUAAAAUUUUGAGAAGACUUUGAUAUAGAAAUUAGUAAAUAAAUGACGAUUAAACUAAAUGCGUUUUCUAAGAAAUAAAUUCCUUACACAAAAAUAAACUAACAUCGUUUCCUUUUAACAAUUUUACUAAUUUAAUAUAGGUUUUUUUAUUAAAAAAAAUAAAAAUUAUAAACUAUUUACCCAUGAUAAAAAAAACACACAAAUGACACUUUAUUUUGGAAGUGUAAAUAAUUUGUCAAUUUUUUAAUUUUUUAAUAUUCCUCGUUAAUAUAUGUAUAUAUAUUUGUUCAAAUAAAGAAGACGUUGAAUAAGAAAUAUUGGACCCUACAUUGUCACGACAUUUACCAAAUUAAUGAUAAAAAAAUACAAAUAUUUGAAUUCGAGACUAAUUAAAAGUUGACAUGUGUACCAAAUUAAAAAUAGAAAACACAAAUUAUUCAAUUCUAAUGAAGUCACAUGUUUUCAUUAUGACCGUUGGAUCAAAUUAAAUAUUAUUUACUUUGACUAAAGUUCAAUUGAGUCAAAAAAUAAGUUUAAUUUAAUUCAAAUGCUAAAUAUGACUCAAAUCCAUGUGAGUGAGUCUAGUUGACCAAAAACUCAUAUAGAGAAGUUCUCUUCAUUUGUGGAGGUCGAUGAAAAUUUUUUACACUACAAAAUCUAGAGAGAACUCUUCCAAGAAUUAGUAGAUUUUCCAAAUCCUGAAGUCAACCACUAUCAAAGAUUGAAGUUUCUUUGGAGAUAUAUACUUUCUUCCAAGAUUUUAAUUUCAUCUUUGGAGAUAUAUACUUUCUUCCAAGAUUUUAAUUUCAAGAACAUCACGUGCUCCACUUCCUUAAAUUAAGCGUAGACAUUUAAUCGAGAGAUAAUCAAAAUAUCAAAUACUAGAAAUUGGACCACUUAACAUCAAAUCAACACAAUUACAACUCCGUGAAUUAAAUUUUUUCGAAAAUCUCGUGUGAACAUAUGUCACUUUUUUUCAAGGUGUUCUACUUAUAUUUUUUCUUAUAUUUUCUUUAUUUUUAAAUAUAGUAAAAUGAACGAAAAUAUCAUUAUAGACAUUGAUCGAACAGAUUUCAUAGCCAAAAUUCGAAUCAAAUAAAUUAUCGAAAUACACACUAAGAAUUAGUAUCUUAGUGGCAAGUUGAGUCGAACUUAGGGAGCACAUGAAUUUCUCAAGCAAAAUUGUUUCCAACUAGUGAUGACGGAGAGUGGGUUUUAAUUAUUUCCAUCACUAAAGAAAAGAAAAUAGAAAGAGAAGGUAAAUUUAAUUGAAUUCAAUAUUAAAAGAAUGUAGCUUGGCUUAAAUGGAAUUCUCUAUUCAAUGUAUUUAAUCAUGCGUUCGUUACGUUACUCUUUUUCUAGGUUACUCUUACUUAACCAAAUAAAUUAAAAAAUCUAAUAAAUUUAUCCGAGGUAACUAAUUGAUAUCAAUCGAGCCAAUGAGAAGAAGCAUAUACUAAAUUCAAAUUAAUAUCAAUUGCAUUAAAGUUUAGGGUUCUUUAUGUAGAAUAAUUAGUAUUCAAGCACCUAACUAAUUAUUCAUGCAAAUUUAAUUAUAGGUUAAGAUUGAUUGUUGUCUAUUCAAUUAAAUACUUUAACCUAUUGCUUCAACAAAACAGUGAUCAAGCAAUCCUCAAGGGUCUGAAAACAAGAUAUAGAUCCACUUGAAACAAAAUUGAAUUAAUACAACCAAGAAAAUCUAAUUAAAAAAUCACAAUUACAUUGAAAUAUGAUAAAUCUUAGUCCAUUAUCGACCUGUCGAGCAAUGGGGAGAUGUUGAUCAAGUUCAUGCAUAAACAAAACUAAAAAAGAGGAGAGAAUUAGAGAGAAAUCGUGCAAAGGACAGUUGGAAUCGGUGUGGGCUUAACCUAGCGAUAGAAACAAGUUUAUAAAAUACGAUGUGGCACUGCAACGUUGAACGUUGAAAGACUUCAGAGCGCCACAAUUAACGAUGUACGAUUUUAGGGAAUAAGAGGUAGCUACUGUCUUACAAUGACAUAGAACGUUGCACUGCUGCAAGGUAUGUAGGAGCCAAAUUGGCUUCUUUUCUUCAUGCUUUGCCUCGGUUAAUGCCUAUUUAUUUCACUUCCACUCAUUUUAGUUUUAAAUCAACAUCAACACCAAAUUUUAAUCUCGAAUUUCACAAAAUCUAUAAAAUAGCAUAAUUGAAAUGUAAAAUCAUGCAACAAUUAGAAAUUAAGAAAUAUUAGAUGGUACAUUCUUGGCUCUAUCACUUAUAUCUUGGUCUAUUUUGGCCUAUUAUCAUCGAUAUAUUGUAAUGUUUUGUUAUAGUAUUAAAAUAAUUUUGUUUUUUUAACUUGGAAGAUGUUUUAUUGUUAAUAGUUUAUUAUUUUCUUUAUUAUUGAAAAGCAGGUUCCCCAUAAGAGACGAUAAAGCUUUAAUUAAAUAACACAUCAAAGCUUAAGCCUCCUAAGCUCAAUCUAACGAGGAAGCUAACCCUAAAAUUAAACAACACACCCAUAUAUGUAUUUGGUUGGCUCUACAAUGAUAUUUAAGUAAAGGAAAAUAAAUCAUCUCUAUAAGAAAAAAAAAAACAGCAAAAGCCAUAAAAUCUGACUAAUAAAGACAAAAAAUGUUAUGCAAUUGUUUUUCUUCUGUCACGUACCAUCUUUUUGAACCUUUUAUAAAAUAUAUGAGAUAGAAAGCAAAUAAAAAAAUCUGCUCUCUAACAUAUAAGAAAACCAUCUUUUAAAUAAAAUGUUCACUACACAAAACAUUGUUGCAGGAAAACUUGCUGUGACAGUAAAAAAUAUGUUGUGAAUUAUGUUGAUAGAGAAGUUCUGAAUGUAAUAAAAUCCACCUAUCAUACUGUUUUGUAACACUUGAAAACUUUUCAAAUGAGAUAUUUAGAGUAAUAAGCCAGUAUUAAAUGAACCUUUUUGUCAAUUCUUUCACAGGAAAGUGAAACAGUGAAGACAUAAGUUUUAUCAACUUGGACAUGAUUAAUUAUCAAAACCUUUUGUUGCUAUGAUAUUUUUAAAUUUAAUGGUGUUGAUUUCCAAAAUUAUAUAUUUUGUUGAAGGCUACUAUUAAGAGAAUUUUUGUUUGACUUUAAAGGAAAAAUUAUCAUGUCUCAAAGUAAUAUAGGGUGCUAUAUAUAUUCUCUUCCUCUCUAGCCUACCACCUCUAUAUUUGAAAUUCCCAUUAUUAUUAAUUUCUUAAAUUAAUUCAAGAAUCUUCUCUAUUUAAUUAUUGAAAACUUCUCUUCUACUUCUUUUAUUAUUAUUGUUCUUUUCUUUCCACAGACCCCUGAUUAAUCAAUAUUUCACUUUGGCUCAAAUUCAAUUGAUAAUAAUGGCAAUGUAAAUUGUUUGCUGAGAGAAUAAAACGUUUCUAUCAUUUAUCGAGGAAACAAAAGAAAAGGAAAGGGAAAAACUCCAAUUAUUGUCAUUUUUCAUAUGAAAUUGUGUGAAACAUCAUAAUUUUAAAUUUCACUCAACAACUUUAAAAGUCUUCAUCAAUCUGCUUCAAUUCAUUGGUUUGGGGAGGUCUUUUAUUAAUGAAUUUUAUUCAAUGUAUUAAAAAAAUGGUUGAUGUCAAAAUUCAAAAGAAAAAAAUAAAACGCACCUAUUUUUACAUGUCAAAAUAAUAAUAUAGUUUGUAGAAGAGAAAUUUUGAACCUUAAUGUCAUGAUGUUAAAGUGAUUGCUAGAUUGAAGACAUUAAAACUAUGGAUUUAAUGUUCAAUUGCUUAUAACAUAUGGUAUAUAUGUUAUAUUAUUUACAUUCUUUUAUGAAACUAGAUUAAUUAGAUCACAUAAUCAAAUAUUUUGUGGACUAAUUGGACUAGGAGCAUGUUGAACACAUGCCUUGUAUGUUGAUCUAAAGGUUAACUUUUUCUAUUCUCUUGGUUUAAUUAGUUUCAUCUCAAUCACAAUUUAGUUUACUUUUUUUCUCUCUGAAUUUUUACUUUGUAAUUCUCUCCUCAAAAUAAUUCCUAAAAUGAAUAAUGAAACUAAUUCAGCUUAUUGGUAUGAAGCCAUUAUCGUUUGUUGGCGUUUUAUUAAAACUUCAAAAUAAAUUAAAAUAUCUUUAAACUUAGAGAAAUAAAAUCAACUUUUGAAUGAUAUAAUCAUCUUUACUUCCUCCAAACGAGUAACAUGUUCCAAUCUCUAUAUCUUGCAUUUGUGAUGUGAUAAUUUUUUUAGAAAACUUAAAUAUAUAUAUAUAUAUAUAUAUAUAUAUAUAUAUAUAUAUAUAUAUAUAUAUAUAUAUAUAUAUAUAUAUAUGGACCAAAAUCCUCUAAUAAAAAAUCAUUUGUUGUUUUAUUUUAUUUUUUUAUUUAGAAAAAACUUUCAUUUGGUAUAAAUUUAUGUUGCAUGACAUUAAUAUUUUUGUUGAUAUUUCUCCGUCCUCAUGUGCUUGAUAUUACAUGAGAGAGAGUAAAUCAACAUUUACAUUACGUCGAAAAAAAAUCAUGAAACAUUAAAAAAACCUCAUAUAAAUAUAUUUAAUAUAUAUAACAAAAAUAUUAACUAAUUGAAAUUUGUCUAUAACAAAAGCAUAAAUUUUUUAUUCAUUAAUUUAAAUACAUGUUCAAAAAUUAUUUUAAAAAAUUGAUGACAUUCUUGCAAAAUUGAAAAAUUGACAUUUUUGUUGUAAUCAUAUCUUAAAUGAAGGGUUUGUUUUAGGCGUGUUAGAGAUUUGAAUUUCAUAUGGAAAAGAAGAUUAUAUUAAUGAAUUGGAUAUGAAGGAAAUUAUGGAAUGAAGUUUUGCUUAUAAUUGAAGGGAAAAAGAAAAUAAUAAUAAUAAUAGCAAAAUUAGAAAGUAGUGUAAAGGGAAGAAAUGUGAAAUGAAAAAAAAAAGAAAAUGUAAAAUUUAUUAAGUGGCACAUGGCUGCAUUUAAUUCAAAACAGACUCUUUUGCUUUAUUUGCUAUGCAAUCAAAGGACAAUUGGUGAAGGAGUUUUUUGUUCCUUUAUCCUUUUUUAUUUACAACAAACAAUCAUAAUAUAAACUAUAUCUUUAUAUCUCAUCUCUUCUAUUUUUCUUUUCAACUAAUUUAAUAGGUUUUUUCAGAAUAAUCGUAAUUGAUGGUCUUUUCGAAAUAAUAACAAAAUUAUCGAUGAUGGACUCGUAUAGUCUAUUAGUGAUAGACCAAUAUUUACAACGUGGUCUAUAGAUUUAUUAAGAAUUUUUAAUCUUCUAAUAAUCAUUUAGCUUUCUUUUGUUAAUUUGAUUUUUGAAUGAGUAGAUCAUAUGCAUUUUAUUAUUUUGUUCGUUUUCAUCAUGACAAUCAGUGAUAGACCAUUAGUUAAACACAUUGUUGCUCCAAAGGUACUCAUAAUCUAUCGUGAAUAUGUCAUCCAUUUCUUAAUAUUGCAUAUGCAAAAUAAGAGAUAGAGAUAUUAAUACUUCAAGUCUCUUCAGGAGUAAGGGUUAAAAAUAAUUGCUCAUUGUCACAAAUUAUAUAGAUAAACUAUUUUUAAAAAAAUUACAAAUAUAGCAAAGUCUGACGUCAUUAUGAAUCAUCCAUUCUCUCAAAAGCUUAAGCUUAUAUGUUGGAUUAAAUUUAAUAUAAUAUCCAACCAUAAUAAAUAGUGAAUUAUCAACCUCUAACAAGAAUAUUUUAGUGUAUUUGUAAAUAUUUUGGUAUAUUUAUUAAUUAUCUAAAAUAUUUCUCAAUUUAUGAACUAAAUAUUCAUUUUUCUUUUAUGUAAAAGCUUAUGAAAGAUUAACUAAAUUUUGACCUUUUUUUUUAAUGUAAAAGCUUAUCAAAUAAUUUAUUCCAAAAACAAAUUAUAUAAAAUUUUAAAAGAACUGCUCUUAUAAUAAAUUAGAAGUUAGACAUGUCUAUAGAACUUACAUAAUUAAAUCACAACAAUUUGAUAUUAAUUUACCAAGCAUGGCUUAGAAUUGAGAGUUAUCAAACACUCUUUAUUAAUUAGUUUCAUAGUAAUAAAGAUGAUAGAGGAGAGUGUUAAGAAUGUGUCAACCUAACUAGUUGAAAUGUUCACGUUUACCAUUCUAUCUAUCUUUUGUAAUUAUUUUUUUUAAAAAAAUAUAUCUAUUAAAAUACAACACUCUUAAAUUAAACGUAAGUUACAAUUUAUAAUUGAGUAGAUAUUUAUGCUUCUAAAGAAAAUACAUCUGUUUUAUUAUUGUUUCUUCGAAGUUCAACAAUUGGGUGGAGAGUGGAGAGAAUCAAAUCAACUUUAUUCCAAAAUAAUAAAAGAGUCAAUGAAGUUCUUUUUUUUUUUUGUAGGAUUUGAAUUUCUAACCUUAUAUUGUUUAAUCACUUGUCUAUUCUAAUCAAAUGAAAAAGUCCUAAAUUGACAAGAGAAACAUCCACGUUAAUCUUAUAUUUAAAAUUCAAAUUUCAUUCAUUGAACUUAUUAUAUACAUCGUCUCGAACAAGUUUCAUCAACUGCACUACCUUUCGAGUCUAAGAAAGAAAAAACAAAAUAAAACCCUACUGCCCCAACGAAUUGUGUUCUUCCUUGGUUUCAUGGCAACAACCUAAUGAAGCAAGCCUUGUAGUGUUUACUAAAAAAUGAAGAAAAGGGAAAAUUAUUCUCUCUCUCAAAAUAAUGAAUUUAAUUUAUUUAUUUUAUUUAUUUUCCGUUAAGAAUCUCAAUCAAAUCAUUUAAUUCAAAAAAUUUCACAACUUUAUGUGGCAUCUUGAUUUAUUGCCUUUGUUGGGGUUGUCUCUCCCACGUGCCAUCUCUUAAAUUUUCCUUUUAUGCAUUCCCCAUGCACUCCAUAUUCCCUACGUAUUCCAUAACAAAACUUCCAUUCUUUGAACACAAUUCCUCUAUAUAAAGUGAUAUGGUGAAUCAAUUUGACAAAGCCAUCGUAUCAAGUUCUAAGUAAUAUCUUCCCUAGCCUUCACGAUAAUCAAUAUAAAAAACACGUAUACGACCAUGUUAGAAAAGUAAUUGUUCUACAUCAAAUAAGUGCAAGAAAGUGAUACACUCCAAGUAUUAUGGUUUUAUGGUUCAAAUUUAGUAAGAAAUACCUUAUGUUUUGAUGUACUAACUUAGUUUGAGCAUGUGAAAAAAAUUAGAUUUAAAGUAUUCAUAUACAGCAACAUAUUUUAAAAAAAUGCAAAUGUAGCGAAAUUUAUUAACGUAAAUAAUAGAAGUCUAUCACUAACAGAUCAUAUUACAAAUAUUGGUCUAUCACUAAUACACCAUAUAUUUUACUAUAUUUGUAAUUUUUCAAAAUAUUUCUAUUUACUUGAUUAUUAUUACUAAAAUUGCUACCAAUUAUAAUUACCUUUUGUCUGUUUAGUGGAAGAGUUUUUCCAUUAGUUUAAACUUUAAUUUGGUAUUUGUGAUAGAAAAUUGUUCUUAAAAGUGUCUAAUAAGGUCUCUGAACUUAUAAAUUAUUUUCUAAUAGGUUCCUUGACUUCAAAUUAUGCAUCUAGUAAGUAGUGGCGGAUCUAAAAAAAUUUAAAUAGAGAACACUAUAUAAUAAAACACACUAAAAAAAUAUAUUAAUAGUUUCAAAGAUUAAUUAAUUUAAUACGUAUUACAGUUGUCCACUGCGAGUUUUUCAUGUUUUAAAAUCGAUCUAUGAUAAGUUUAUUAUCUAACUUAUCUAAUAAAUCUUUCUCAAUAGAAGCUAUAAAACAAUUUGAUAGAUUGAAAAGUAUUAAAACUAAAAAGAUAGAGAAGAAUUUGAAUUUACCGGUGAAUUGAUACAAUACGUAUAUUCUAAUGAUGAAUGAAAAAAAAUUAUCUUGUAGCCGUUAAUUACGAAAUUAAAUAAAAUAAAUAUAUACAUAAAUAAUGUAAAUGUCAAUUUAAAAAAUUAAAUCAAAAAAGAAAAAACAGAAAAUAGAAAGAAAAAUAUCUCAUGAAAUAUUGUUGAGAGCCUAUAAAUUUAAAUCAUUAUGUUGCAAUUUUUAAAAAUAUUUGUUAGAUAUGAUGAAAAAUAAGUUAGGAGUCAUUUAGGGUAAUGGUUGAGUUAUGAAAGAGUUAGAGUUAUGUAAGUAGUGUUAUGACAGUUUUAUGAUAAUAUAUGUUUGGAGAAAGAUUUAUGUAAUCAGUAGUGUUAUGAUAUAUAUAUAUAUAAUUAAUAUUCUAAAUCUAAUAUUUUAUUUUAUUUUCAAAGUUUAGCUUAUAAGUUCAACUAACAUCAAAUUAAAAAAAAAAAAUCUAUUAAUUAAGAAUUGAUUUUAAUAAAUACAUUCACGAUUAAUCUUAUUAAACCAUCAAACUCACAACUUUAAUUUCAAAUUCUCAACUUUAAUUUCAAAUUCUCAAAACUUAUUUAUGUAUUUAACUUUGUAGGCAGUGUUGAUUGAGUUAGACUAAAUUGAUAAAAUAAUUUUAUUUAUUUAAUUAAUUUAACAGAUAAAUAAAAUGUGGAGUAUUCAUAGUAUGCUCAACUUCCAUUCAUUUUUUUUUUGUUUUUGGAAUUUUCUCUUCAUUCCAUCUGCUAAACUUGGAUGAAAAAGGAAUUUUUCUCACAAUGGCAAUGAACAAAGUCAAAGGAGAAGUUCAUAGGGAUCAUCUAUGCAACAAAAUCCCUUUCAAUUCUAAAGAAAAUACAUUGUUCUUCAUUAAUUAAGUCCUUUAAUUUGUUGGGUUAAACCAAUCAAUAGCUUCUGAAUUCAAUAUAAUAUAACUAAUAUAAUCUCUGAAUUUUGAUACAAGUCAUCCUAAAGCUCACCCAUUUAAUUUAAACUACAAUACCACAAACUAUCAAUAUUUCUUUAAUUUCAACUACAAUACCACAAACUAUCAAUAUUUCAGUCGGUUGGUUCAUCUUCGGAAAAAGAAGAAACCCAACAAACAAGUAAAGAAGAAGAACUAAAUUAUAUAUAAAAAAUUAAAUAUACACUAAUUUCUCCAAAAAAAAUUAAAAACAAUAAAAACACAAAUAUUGUUCAGUUGUUUGAAUAUGAACUCCAAAAACCUUCAUCCUCUACCUUCAACACCUUUGAUAUUCCACCAACUUAAUCCCACGUACUUCUCUCCCACCGCAUUUAAUCCCCAAAUCAAUUGGGCAUUCCAAUACAUGAUCAUAAGGCUUAGAUUCUCCUUAUUUACUCAACCUGAUCUCCACUAUUUUUGAAUUGUAAUCAACCCAUGAUGUAAAAUUUCACCCAUUGUUCCGCCAAAGAAUCUCCCUUAUCUAGUUUCACAUAUCCAAAAACAGUGCUCCAAACACACUAACAUCUCUCUCACUCUUUUGUUUUUUAAAAAAUGGCUUUUAAUUCACAAACAAAAUUGUCAAGAAAAUUUAGUUUAAUGUCCAAAUCUCACUUCAAAACGAAUCAUAACCGCGAUAGGAAACGGAGAGGGAAAGGGGAAAGAGGAAAGAGGAAAGAGGAAAACGGAGAGAGGAAGGGGAAAAGGAAAACGAAGAGAGGAAAGGGAAAGGAAAACGAAGAGAGGAAGAAGACAACAAAAAUUGAGGAAGGGUUAGGCAUAAAAUCAGAGUGUUACGCGAGGAUUAUGAAGAGUAAGGGAAAGUAAAAAUGAAAAUGUGAAAAGGGAUAUGGGGAUAUUAUGGAAACUCUAAACCAAGGUUUCCAUAAAUUGGAAGCCAAACAAGGGUUAGGGUUAUGGAAACCCAACCCACGAUGACAACAUGGGAUCCACACGGUCCCUUAGGGUUUUAUCAUAGUUAGGUUAUGUUUCUUUUCCUCUUUUUAGAAAAUUAUCUUCGUUUGAUGAACCUAUGAUUUAAUAGUUUUGAAAUGAGAGCAUAACUACUAUGUUACAACCAUACUUUAUUUAAAAUAAAGCAUUAAUUUAAUAUAUAUUAUAAUUUGAUACUUCAAUGUUAAUAUUAAAAUAUAAAAAUCGAUAAUGUGAGAGGGACACGUGCACCCGCUAGUUCCUUAAUAAAUCUGCCACCACAAAUAAGUUAUUGUUCUAUACUAUAUUUAAAAUUGAAUGUUAAGUGUAAUAGGACCCCAACAUUCAAUUUUAUAUGUAGAAAAUGUGUUAGUGCAUUUUGAAAGCUGAAAAACCGUCAAGGGAAGUUAAUGACAUAUAUAAAAUUAGAUCCUAAUAUGAACCAUGAUGCCUUUGUAUUGUUGGCCCCGAGACCAAUCACACUUUCCAUAGCCAAGCAACUAUAGUUAGAACAAUGUGAUUAUUGUGAGAAUUCCUUUUAGAAGGUUAGAGCAACAAUAGUUAACAAAAGUUUUAUAGUUGGAGUCAACUGAUGUUACAAGAUGAUACCAAUUGACCUUUGACAUCUGAUCAUGAUUUCAAGACUACUUUACACGACUUUUAUUUUUCCUUUUGUUUUUUUUUGUUAUUGUUCUUCUUAUUUUCAUAUUUUCCUUUCUCUUACAUUUAUUUUUUAUUAUUUCGUGAGUACAUCUUUUAUAUGUAAUUUUUAUUAUUAUUAUUAUUUCUUUCUUUGUUAACUUAUUUGUAGAUUUAUUCUUUACAUAUGUAUAUUUAAUUAGUGUAUAAGUAGCAUUUUUUUCUAUUUAGUUCUUUUUUUCUCUUCUUAGCCUUUGAUUAUUGUUUCUUUAAUAUUUUUUUCUUUUCUUUUAUUUUUUCUUCAUAUUAUUUGUCUCGUUCUUACUUUUCAAUUUUUCUCCAUAUUAUCUUAUUUCUACAUUUUUCAUUUCUCUUAUAAUAAAUUUAUUUGUUUUUUUCAUACAUUUCUCUCUAAAAAUGUUAUUGUUACAUAUAUAUAUAUAUAUAUAUAUGAUUGAUUUGUUAGGAUGUUUUUUACUCUUACUUUUAUUUCGGGGCAAUUUUUAAAAUAGUAAAAUAAAUUAAAAUAUUUACAAGCUAUAACAAAUUUUUGGAUUCUGUCACUAAUAGUUUUCUAUCACUCUAGCAUAUCAUUAACUAUGUGAUAAAAUUUGCUAUAGGUUAUAUGUAUUUUAUAAAAUUUGCUACUUUUGAAAAUUUUCCUAUUCUGAGUUCAAAAUAAUAAAUUAUUCCUUAAAGAAUAUCAAAUUAAAAUAAUAAAAUAUCAAAAAGGAAAAGAAAUAAUAUUUGUUACUUGUUAGUUUAGAAUAAAAACAAUUAAGAUUUUAAAUUUUGUGAAAUUUUUUAUAAAAAAAUAUAACAAAAUAAAUCAUGCAUAAAUAUGGUCAAAUAUCAUAUUUUAUUUGUUGUAGACCACAAUUAAUGACAAUAAUCUAUUCUCUCCCUAACAUCAUGAAACAAAUAAUAGUCUUAAACAUAGAUAAUAGUCUAUUAUGAUCUAGCAUAGUUCGGUUGUCAUGUAAUUUAAAAUAAUUUGUUUAAUUUCUUUUAGAAAAAUUUUCAAAAAUAGCAAAUUUUACAAAAUACUUACAACUUAUAACAAAUUCUAUCACUGAUAGUCAUUGAUAUGCUAUAGUGAUAGAAGAGAUAGAAUCCAAAAUUUUACUAUAACUUGUAAAUAUUUUAAUUUAUUUUGUUAUUUUAAAAAAUGUCUCUUUUCUUAUUUCCAUGAAUUUUCAUAUAAUUGAACAUAAUUUCAAAAUAAAAUAGACUAAAAUAAAAUGAUAUAAAAGUUUAGUUUUUUUUUUUUUGGAGGGAGGUUAAAAGUGUAAACUUAGAUGCUUAUGCCUUUGUGAUCUCAUGCAAACAUGUAUGAGAGAUUAAAAUAAUAUGUUUAGGUGAAUUAACUUUAUUUUCUUAAUUGCUUCUUAAUUGAUUAAUUAACAAACCACAAAAAGUAAAAAAAGAGAAAAUUGCUAAAUUGGAAUCAAAGAUUUCCAACCUAAUAAAACGCAUCACUUAUUUGUAUUUACAAUCUUUUAACUUUUUCUUAAAACUUUUAUCAAUUUAUUUAUAUUGAAAAUAAUUUUGUCUUUUUUCUACCCAUAAUAAUUUAAAAAGUAAAACAAAGAAAUUAUAAUAUUUAAACGUGAAAAUGGUUACAAUAAUAAUUAAAAAUUUAGAACCAACAAUAAUACUCCUUUGGGAUAUAUCUUUUUGGUGUCUUAAUAAAAUCAUUUUUCAUUUAUUAACUUUUAACCUUUCAAUUUGGAAUGUUGAAAUUUUCACAAGAAUAGAAUAUGACUGAUCACUUUAUUUUUCUUUCAAUUGUGAGUGAUUAUGAUAGAAUCCAUAUACAACAUUUUGACUUUAAAAAAGCCCAGAAAACAAAUGUUUUUGACAAUCAAAUUCACUUAUAUAUAAUUUUGGAUGUAAUACCAAAAAACUUCAACAAUCUCUCUCUUCACAUUACUUCACCAUAUAAAGCAAAAGAUUCCUUCCAAUCUCCAUCUUUGUUUUUGCUUUCAGAGGAGGCCACUACGUUACAAAAAUUUUAGACAUUAUUGUUGAUUCCAAUUCCACAUAUUUUCAUUGUUGAAUGUACAAAACACCCAUUGUAAAUUAAUUUUAAAUUUGUAUCUAAAAGUUAUGGUAAACAAGGUACAACUUAUGAUUCUUUUCUAGAACAAAAUUUUAAUUUUUCUUUAACUAAAAUUAUCAUUUUCACCUCAUUACACUCUCUUGAUACUUCGAGUUUGAAAAAGAGAUCAAAGAAAGAAAGAAAAAGUUAUGCAUACCAAUCUUAUGCUUUCUUUAAAGCAUUUAUAAUUUUUAGUUUGUUUUAUGUUUAGUUUUCAUUUGAGUUUUUUUUUAGAUAAUUUACCUUUCUUGCUUUUAAGCUUUUUAAGUUUUAAAAUUUUACAAUUCAACUCUAAAUAAAUGGUUUCUCUUGAAUGUAUUAAAAUAUAAUUUUGGUCAUUGUAUUUGUUCAAUACAUCUCAAUUUAAUCUCCAUUUUACUAGGUUUUGUUUUGUUUUUAAUGAUAUUCAAUUAUUAUUUAUUUACAGUUUUAUCACAUACUUUGAAAAUAUAUUCACAUGUCAGUAUGUUUUUACAUAUAAAAAAAUUGUUAUUAUUAGGGAACUACCAAGAAAAAUUAACUUGAAGAAAUUUAUUCAUGAAAUUUACAAAUAUUAAAAUUUUACAUUUAGAAAUAUACAUAGUGAUUAAAAAAUUGAACAAACUUUUUUAAAAAUGAAACUAUUUAAAAUGUAGCAAAAUAAUUUAAAUGAGUUAAAAAAAGUUCCAUUAAUUUUGUUAUAUUUUGUAAAUAUUUUCUACACUUUCAUAUUUUUUAAAAUCACAUUUUGAAAUUAAUAAAAAACAUAUAUAGAAUCUCUUGUACUAUGACUAUGAUAUGAUGUGCUUAUUAUUUUUGCAUAUUUGAUUUUUGAGUACUAUAAACUUUUUUUUACAAUUGUUGAGACGAAGAAUUGAAUAUUUGAUUUUUGAAAUCGAUGUAAUACAUGCUUUAUAUCGAUUCAGCUUUGAGUAUUAUAAUUGAGGUAAGAAACAAUAUAAUAGUUUUUAGCUACUGAUCUUAUGAAACGCUUGUGAUAUGAUGUAUUAACUAAUUGAAUUACAUUCAAAUUCUCACAUUUUGUACGAUAUUAAAUUAGGAUAGGAAAAGAACCAUGUGUUCUACAAAAUCAUGUUGUGCCAUUUAUUCUUCUCUUUUUGAGUUCACAAGUGUGAGGCUAAUGGAUACCAAUAAAAGUUAUGCUCAAAUUGACAAUUUAAUUUUGGUAUUUAGUUUCCAAUUUACAAUUAAUUUUUAAAAAAAUAUAUUGAGAGUAAUACUUAUUGUCAUUGUUAUUAUGUUAUAAGAAAUAAUAUGGUAAAGUGAAGCUAGGUUAAGAGUAAUUUAAAAGUUCUAAAAUUAGAUACAUAUCCGCAUGUUGAAUAAAGAAAGAGAGUGAGAAUUAGUGAAAAAAUUAAGUACGAACAUAGCAGUUAAACCCAAAGAUUUACAAAUACAACAUAAUGCAAACAAGUUUUGAUGUAUAACAAAAUAUAUAGUUAGCUGACACACAGUUAUAUUUUUGCGAUAUUUGAAUUUUUUUUUUAAUUAAGAAUAAUUACAAAUUUAAUAAUUACAUUCAAAAUAAUUAAGUAUAUAACAAUAUUUAAUUUUUUUACAAAUAUAAUAAAAUCUGAAAAAUUCUAACAACAGAGAAAUCUAUUACUGAUAAACUAGGUUUAGUUUAUCACUAAUAGGCCAUAAGAGUUUAUCAAGAAUAAAAGUAUUUCACAAAUAAAAUUUUAAAAUAAUUUAUAUAAUUAAUUAUUAUUCCUAAUAUUAGGAUUUUUUUAGAUUAAUUAGUCUUCACGGGCCUGAGGAUUGUCAUCAUAUACUACUCAAUGGGCCUCAGCCCAAUUACUACACUUACUUAAAUGAAUGGCCUCGGUCCAAUUAAAAUAUUGACUUGAAUGAUUAAUGGAAUGUGACUUUUAAAAGUCGAGUCACAUUAUUUUAUGUGAGAACUAUCAGAAUGCCAAAAAAAAAAAAAAAGAAUAACAAACAAAAAAAUAGCAAAUUUACAAAAUACUAAGAUUUAUAGCAAAAUUGGAGUUGUAGAUUUUUUUUUACUUUUUUUUAAUCGAUUAUAUCCCUCUGUAUACGAGAUUUUUUGUCACAUACAAUAUAUUUGUAGAGAUAAAAAAUGAUACAAGAUAUGACAGAUUCAUAGAUACAGUGUAUUUGCAAAAACAAUCAAUUUUAAAAAAUAUUAAAUAAUUUUUUAUUUUCGGACUAUAUAAGAUUACACCAACAUCCCCUAGAUUUAUGCCUGUAAUUUAUAUAAUAUUCCUAAAUUUUUAGGUUUCAAUUCAAUUAAUUAAUAAUUUAUUUCUAUAAUUCAUAAUAUAUAUAAAUUCAAGAAAAAAUUGAGUUAAUAUAAUUUCUAUCACAUUCCAUUUGAUAAAGUUCAUUUUAGUAUUUAUUAAUAUUUUAUUAAUAUUUUAUUAUAUAAUACAUAAUACAUAUUUUUCAUAUUUCUAAUAACAAUUUGAGGUUAGAUUUUAUAACCUCUAAUAAAAUCGUCAAUUUGAUUUUUUUUAAACGAUCAUAUCCCUACAAUAAUAACAAACAUAAAUUCAACGUUUUUUAAUUAUUUAUAUUUUCAAAAUAUUUAUAAUUUUUUUAAAUUUAAAUAGCUCCAAAAUACAUAUGCUUAAUAACAAUUUGAAUUUAAAAUUUUAUCAUUCCCUCAAAUCGUGCUAAUUAUGAUUAUCCACUUAUUUUAUUAAAGCAAAUUCACUCGUAAAGUCGUGCUAUUUAGUUUAGUUGAUAUCUCUAAAAUAAUGUCAAACAUAAAUUCAAUAUCUUCGGAUUAUUUAUAUUCCAAAAUAUUUAUAAAAAAUUGAAUUUAAAUAUCUCAAAAAUACAAGAAUUUCACUUUUUUAUAUUUUCAGUCGAUUUUACCUAUAAGCGAAAAAUUCUUAUCUGAUAGAUACAAUGUAUUUGUGUAGGUUAAAAUGAUGGAAUAUAACCCAGAAUCAAUACAGUGUAUUUGCAAAUAAUUCAGUUGUGUGAAAAUAUUAAAUAAAUAUUUAUUUUGACGAUGGAUCUGAUUGUAUCAAUAUCCCCUAGAUUUAUACCUACAAUUUAUACCAAAUCAAGUAACUAACAGUUUAUUUAGUUGUGGUUGUUAAGAUUAAAAUGAUAUCUUACCCCUAUAAUUAUGAUGCAUUUAAUAGGAUUAUUCUAAGAAAAUUUUGAUCUUUUCUAUAAUCGUGCUACUUGAUUGAUUUUAUGUCAAACAUAAUUUCAAAAUUUUAGGAUUAUCUUGUUAAUAUUCCUUAUCUAUUUUGCAUAAUUGUUUUUUAAAAGUAGGUUUUAAAUUUUGAUUUGAAACCAUCAAAAUAUUAAAAUUGCUUUAAAAAUUUAUAAAAAUAGGUAUAGUUAAUGAAAAUUUGAAUUUAAAUUUUUAUCAUCCCAAAAUCGUGUUAUUUGUUUCAUAUCUCCACAAAAAAUGGCAAAACAUAAAUUUAACAAAUUAUUUAUAUUUCAAAUUUUAUAAAAAAGUUGAAUAAUUUAUUUUUGGAAGAAAUUAAUUGAGAAGAAAAGAUUUGUUUUAUUUAAAUUGGAAAAGUAAAAAGGAAAAGAAGAUAUUUAGGGAGAAAUAAUAAUAAUAUAAUAAUAUUAUUACUAUUCAUCAUCUUCUUCACUCUCACCAAACCCUAGUCGCCGAUGACACCUCCAUCUCCGUUCGAGUUUCUCUGUCCAGUCUAGAUCUCCACAUUUGUAGCCAUCCCCUCCAUUAUGUCGACUCAGAACUAAGUCGUAAGGAAGCGUCUCCUCCGUUGUACGUCGAUAGUCGCAUUUUUACUUCAUUCGAAGCCAAGCGCCUUUGCGCCGCUUGUUCCUUCAUGCAUCGCAUGGUUGGUCUCCUUCAUCACCAUUCGUUCUUGGUUCUGCCAAAACUUCCAGCCACCGUUAGUCACCGGAUUUUAGUGAUUUUGUCAUUGUUGGGGUUUUGUUGUAUGUUUUCUUAAUUACCCCUUGAAGUUUAAAUAAUAUUAAGUUUUAGAUCUUUAAUUUGGAAGAGACCAAAGUGGAUAGAAGACAGAAAGGGAGAAUACAAGGUAUGUGGUUGAUGUUUGAAGACUUUGAAAGUUUUGAGGAGGACGAAGCUUGAAGCUCCAAUCUUUUCUACAAUUGAUCGAAGACUAUGAAGAUUUGGUGGAAUCUAGGAAAGUGGAAGAUAGUGAAACUGUAUUCUUCUCGACUUUGAAUACCUAAACAUGCACAAUUUCAACAAGGAUUUGUUAUUUAAUUACACGGUAUUUGGGUUUUAGGUGAACAAUUGUAUUUAGGACUGUUUUUGAAUUGGCUAGAGACAUUUGAGACAUUGUUUCAUUUAUUUAUUUUUUAGAUUUUUCAAUUUUACUAUUAUAACAAUUUAAAAAUAAAUUUGCUAUUUUCCCAAACUAAAAGUCAUAAUUUGUUAUUCUUCUUGACAAUCCUAUUUUCUUUUUGUUUUUCCUUUUCUUUCGUUUUCGAUUUCUUUUUUUUUUUUUGUUAAGGCUUCUAAAGUUGCUUAUAUACCCUACCAAAUUGAGGAACGUGUCUAGUUUCAUGAUUGGUUAAUGGUGAGGAUCAACUAUGAUCCUCUCUUGUUUGAGGUCGAGCAUUUAUUUCUAUGUUCAUUUUUGUCCUAGGGCAAUGCUUUUGGCUUGAGGCAUAUAUGAGACACAUCUCAUUAACAAUUUUGCUAGGUUUACCCUUGGAUUUACGCAUAAUAAUUGGGUUUUGAUGCGAACUAACCCACUCGUUUAAGCAUAUAUUUUGGGACUAUGCUAUUAUAUUGUCUUAAUUUUUUUUUUUUUUUGUCGAUUAUACUCUUCUAUCCAAAAUCACUUAUAUUAUUAACCAUUAUUUAUGCUAUUAAAAAUAAUUGUGUCAAUUAUAUAUAUUUGUGUAUAUAUAUAUAUAUAUAUAUACACUAUGGAUCUCUCCUUUCUCUAAAACCAUAUAUGACUUUGAGUAAUUGCACCUAACAAGUUCAUUCAAACACCACAAUAGCUAACCAAGGGAGAAAUGUAUUAUCGAAAAAUCAUGCCUUUUGCUUUUUAUUAUUUAAUACAUUUUUAUUUUGUCUGUCUUAUAAGAGUAACAAUUAUUUGGGUGAAUCAAUGUAGACUCUAUUAUUUCGUAUAUUGACAAAUGAGAUGUAUAGUUAUUAAAUUAACAAUUAUGCAAAAAAAUAAAUAAAUAAAACUCCUAUACCUCAAACAUAGAGGUUGACUAUCGAGUACUAUUUAAUUAACUUGACAACAUGCCACUAUAAAACUGUUAGAUAAGUUUCCUUUUUCUAAACCCAAAACUAGUUGUAUAUAAAACAUUCGUCAAAUCACAUUGCUUCAGCCUCUUCGAACAAUUCCUUAAUAUAGAUGCAAGUGUGUAAGGCACAUCAUCGUGAUGUUCGAGGACUUGGGAGCACCAUGGAAGCAAGCCUAGGUGACAUAUGGAUUCUAGGGCUAGGCCUUGGGGAUGGAAUUGGAAAAUUUGAGUUGUAUGUAUGUUUUUGAAUGUUUGGGAUUCUAGGCGAAAGUUUUAGCUUUUCUAAUGCUUGAAAUUGAAGGUUGGUCGGAUAUUCUCGAACGCAUCCAAUUCGAGGACCGGCACCGGUCGUCCAUUUGCUUCUUCUUGCAACUACAUUACUGCAAUGCUUUUCCAUUUCCACCGCUUCUCCUGACGGUUCUGUCACUGCUCCGUCACCCCUUACUUCCUUCUCCUCUUCUGUUGUUUCAUCCAUUUCCUCCUUUUCUUUCUUGGUACUAUUGGGCAGUACGUCAUCGUCUGUUGCACAUUUCUGCAUUUUACAUAAUAAUAAUAUUCACAACAAUUUAGUUUCUUAAAUAUGAGUCUUUGUUCCAAAAGUAAACUUCAUAACUUUACCAUAAGUAAGACAAUAGUAGAUUUGUUUGGUAGAGAUAUCAAAUUAAGAGUUAGUACCUUGACGUUUGUUAGGUCGACAUUGUUCUCCUUCAAGAAUUCAAUGAACUCGAUAAAAUUCUCUUCUGUAGGACGAUAAUGACCACUAUACGGCCAAAUAGCCUAAAACAAAUUCAAAUUUAAAAUCACGUUAGAUCGUUAAUCUAUUAACUUUUUUAAAAAUUGAGAAAGGUAAUAUAGUUUAGAAAUUACCUUGAGAAUACCUUCAUGGGAAACCAAUCGGCCGGAAGCGGUGGUGACACCGCCGGCAAGAAAGCUAGAAUGUUGAAACUGUCCUUUAACUUUCUUCCCAACAUAUAAACUUUUUGAAGCACUAAGAACAAAUAUCCAUUUAGAAUCCUCCAUUGUGUUAACAAAAUCCCCACUUUGUUUGUACAUUAGUUUCCCUUCUUUCACAACCACUUCAUAACUUUCUCUUUGUUUCUGCUCCACCAAAAAAUAAAAAAUAAACACAACACAGAAUCAGUCUAUGAACUUUAUUUUGGAUUAAAAUUUCACUACCCAUCAAUGCAAGUUUUUGAAAACUAGAGACAAAACGGUAAAAAAUAUGUAUAGAUUUACUAAAGCUCUCUUUCAUAACCAUUUUGUUUUCUAAAAUCAAGCACAUGACACACUAUACUUAUUAUGGCACUACAUCUAACUUUCUUUCUUUAUUAUCUAAUUUAUUACCAUUUAAUUGAAAAAUCAAACUAAAUUUUGGAAGAGAAAAAAAAGUAACUUUUAGAAGUGUAAUUUGACAACAAAUUCAAUUAUUUUUCUUCCAAACUAUGUAAAUUAUGACAUGAGAUAGAGAAGGUAGGAUUAAUUUUUAAAUAGUUGCUAAAGUAGGCUUUAAUUGAAAAUAAUUUUAGUAGUAUAAAAAUACAAUUAAAAGCAUAAAGUUGAACAUUGAGUCGAUUUCAAGUGGUUAAAUGUAUGAAUUUUUAAGUGAAUUGAAUGAUAACAAAAUGAUUUUUACCCUUUUAAAUUCACUUACCAUACACCUUUUAAACUUUUCAUAGAAAAACUAGUAAGAGUAAAAUAUCAAAACUAAUUUAUAAUUUAAAAGAUUUUAAAAAUCAAAUUUAGAAAACGUUUGAAACUAAAUAUCAUUCGGUCAACUAGUCAACAAGAUUCACCAAUAGAACAAACACUUCAUUGUUCCAUACUUACAGGUCCCAGAUAUUGAAUGCACUGUCUUUGUAGAAUUGCUCUAGAACAUUUUUCAAGAUUCAACUCCUUCCCAUCUCCAAUGUCCAACCUUUUUAUUUAUUUGUCAAAAAUAUACAAAAACAAAACAAAAAAAAGUUAAUAUAAAAAUCCAUAUUAUAUAAAAGAUAAUGUUAAUCAGUAAACAUAUCCAUUAUUCAAAGUUAUGUGUGUGACACAUAUAAUAUUGUUGAAUCUUAGUGUAAGAAUAUUUAAUCAAUACUUUCCUUAUGUCAAACUUAAUUUUGAAAAGAGAGCCAAACAUUGUUAAUUUGACGUUGAUAUUAAAAUUUUAGCAAAUUGAGGUCCAAAUAAAUGGAAAUUAAUAUAAUGUAAUUUUACAAAUUAGAAUUUUCUAAUAUAAUUUAGUGAUAGUUUCUUUCAACUUACCAAUAAAAGAAAGGCUGCGAGCUUUGACUUUGGAACCACACAUCAUAAUAUAUGUGGAGAUUGUGCCCAUAACGAUGACGUGGAUCGAUCUGCUUCAUUAGAAGAGACAAAAAUUUAUUAAAUAUAUACAACAUAUUCAACAACGUUCAACUUUUUCUGUUUAAUUAAAUUAUUCCUUCAUUAUAAUUAUAAUUAGAUAUUAAUCUCCCAAUUUCAGGUUGUUUAGGAAUCUUCAUAAAUAUGUAUUCAAAUAAAUUAAUAAACUUACAGCUUCCAGCCAGUGUCUUAAAGCCAAUUUCUGAGCUUUCUCAUUCUUUGAUAAUCCCUUCCCAACCUACAAAAAAGACCAAUCAAACAAAUUUUUUCAGGCUUAAUAAUAAUUUAAUUAUGUUUGUUCAACUUUAAUAUGUUUAUAGUAUUAAAAAUAAAUAAAAUAUCAAUACUUAACUAUGCUAACUAGCUGACUUUUAAUAAGAAUUUAUGUUAAACUGUGUAAUGACACAAUAAUCUCUUAUUUAUGUGAGGUAAUAUUUCUAGUUAAAUACUUAAGACCAUUUUUUAUAAGUCCUAACAUAUCAUUAGAAGUAGUAGUCAACUUCUACUCAAGAUUUGAGAACUUUUUUAUUUUCAAAUAAAAGAAAAAAGGUUUUCAAAUUUUGGUCAAUUCAAAGUAAAAACCAUGCCAAUUUUAAUUUCUACUCUUCAAUAUUUGGAUUCAAAUCUGUACAAAAACCCUACACUUGUUAUUGAUGGUUUGAAAUAAUCGUUUUAUAACAAAAUCAAUAUUUUAUAAAAAGUAAACUUAUUUGAAGUUAAAGAAAUCUAAGUUCAUUCAAAUUAUUUACCUAAAAAUAUAAAACACAAUCUUAAGUUCAGGAAAAUUAUCUAAAAGUGAAGCAUACGAAUGUAUCUGAAGAACAAAGCUGGUCUAAAAUUUGACACAAGAAAAUUUUAAUUAAAAAAGCAACUAAUCACUAUCAAAAUCAAAAUAAUAAUAGAGAAAGAAAUAAAAUUGAAGUACCUUUGCAGCUCUUGCUCCGGCCCUUGACCAUUUUGACACGGCGGUUUCCGACUUAUUGGAGUCGAAAAACGACACCGAGCUCCGCCGUAGAGCGGCAAAAUCCAACGCCUUCCACCUUGAAUAAAAGCAUAAUUUUUUUAAUGAUUAACUAUAAUUGUUACAUUUCGUUAAAACAAUGAUUUUUUUUUGGUGGGGUUUGUUUUAAUUACCAUAAUUCUUCGACGACAACAGCACAAUCCGCAAGAUUCCGUCUUGUUCGGUAACCUUUAUAAAAUUUCUGUAAUUUGACGGCGGCAGUAUCAAACUGAUCACCGGAAGGCAGCGGAGACGCCACCGGGGUGGAGUUUCUAGUUUUAGGGAGUGGAAUUCCGGGAGGAUGGGAAUCCAAAUUCAGAAAAGAAAAAUUCCUACUUGGUUGUUCCACCCUCAAAUUCCCGGCAUUCUUCUCGGACCUAAACCCUUGGUUCCCGUUCUUCUUCCCCGGCGAUGAAAUCGCUUCUCCGGUCUUCUCUAUCACCAAGCACAUUUUCUGAAAUUUUCAUAAAAUUAAAACGAUCUAUAUUAGAAAUCUUCAUACUUCUCUCAAUUUAAAAGAUACUAACGUGAAUUUACGAAAAUGGUAAGCUUUUAGAUAACUUCAAAAACCUAUGAAUUUAUCCAACAAAUCGACGCGGACUGAAAUAAAAGCUCGCCAAAAAAUGGAAACCCCUUUAAAAUAGUAAUCGAUUUUUUUAUCUCCUAUUCCUAUAAAUCUAAAGAAUGAAAACAAAAAUCCUAGAAGGAAGGCUACCUGAAAAUUAAGAUGAAUAAUGUAAGAGAGGUGAGAUUUGUUAUUAUUUGAUGUGUUAUAGAAGAGAGAAACAUAUAUGGUUUAUAUAUGAAAUGAACAUCGGCCUUGUCGAGGACGAAAACGAGAAUAAAGAAAGGGAUUGGAAGAUUUAUGAGACAUGUCAAUGUGAGUACUUUGAAUGGAAUUCCUUUUCUUGUUUCUUUUUUUAACAAAAAUAAAUAAGCAAAUGAAAAUAUGUAGGUUUGAAGAGAGACGAGGAGGGAAGAGGGUUUGAUUUUGACGGGUCCAACUGAAAGAGAAUGGGAAAUUGAUUUUUUAUUUUCGGGGGCGUGGGAAUUCAAUACACGAAGUGGUACUAUUGAAGAAAGCUAACCAAAAGGUUUACAUUGCUUUUUAGUUUUGCCCCGUUUAUUCAAAUAGUGAUGGCAGGGAAAAUUGAUUUGUUCUAAACUACCAAAACUAUAAGUUAUAGGUGACUUUUUUUUUUAAUACACAAGUAAAAUAGAAUAUUUACAAAAAAAAAAAACUUUUUUGGUGAUUGAGUAGUUCUCAAAUUUAGGAUAAGCCUAAGUUUAUCAAGUAGAACGAUUUUGAUGAGAGGGUGUUUCAACUUAGGGAGAGUCUCGAUGAUGAAUAAUAUAUUAGGCUCUAUGUGUGACACACAGUAAUUGACAUUAUGUUUUAUAUAAGUACAACGUUGUAAAUGUUUGACUUUUUAUAUUAGUGAAUUUAUUUAUUUAUCAGCUACGCUAUCCCGAAGCAUAGGUCGCACAUUGUUGAAUGAGGUUUCCAAACUGUGUGUUAUUAUCCUAGUUUGUUGUUUGUGCUUUAUUAUUAUUAUUAUUAUUUUUGUAAUUUUCAAGGCUUUCUAUGGAACGUUUGUAUUCUAUGUGACAGAUCACCUUACUAUUUCAAAAAUAUAUGUUUAGUUUCACAAGUUUAUUGAAUGGUUCUCUAAUGAUUAAAUAUAUGUUUUCGAGUGACUUAAAUUAAUAAGAAAAAAACGCAAAUGAUUUUAACCAUUUUAAAAUUAUUAUAAAAUGUAAACGAAUUAAUACACAAUGUUAUUGAUUCUUGAAUAAUAUUUUUUUAGAAAUUAACACACUAAGUUCCCAAAAAAAAAUGAAUGAAGUUGUGUUCCUUCACAAUUCUUCAAUCUUGGAAAACAAAUCUUGUGAUUUAAAUCUGAAAGUUGUGAACUCAAGUCCAUGUUUACCGAUUUGUAAUUAACUUGAAUAUUUUGUUGUUGGAUCAAUCAAAAUCGAUAUAAUGACAGUGGGCAUCAAUCACAAAUGUAAUUAAAUUGUUUUAUUUAUCACGUUAAUCUGAGUAUUUUGUAAACGUAAUUUAAUUAUAUUAUGAUAGAAGUUAUGUACUUUGCAUUAUUUGUAUCAUUGCGUCUUUUUACCGUUACCUUUAUUAUUACUAUUUAGGAUCAAUUUGAUAUUGAUAUUUGUAAUCCUUAUAACAAUAACUAUAACAUAUAUGUAAUUUUUAAACACAAACAUAUUGGCCAUCUUUAAUCCUGAAAGUAAAUUAUGUUUGUGGAUUACAAAUUUGAGAUCCCACGUUUUAAUACAUUUAAAAUAGGCCAAAAAAAAAAAAAAAAGAAGAAGAAAAAUUUAAAAUACAACUAGCCGAAAACUACAUUUUUAUAAUAACGUCCCAUUUGUAUAUUAUAACAUUUAGUUUCUAAUUCCUAAUUUAAAAGUGAAGAUUUGAAUCUCUAUAUUCUACGUGAUCGUGAUGAUAUUUCAUUCGUGUAUAUUAUGAUCAAUAUCUAUCCAUGUCAUUUUCAUGUUGAUGUUUAUAACCUCACGAUUAUUAUUAAACUAGAAUGAAUAAAUAUAUAUAUUUAAAAUGAGAUUGUUUGAACAUCUUAUUCCUUUAGUUGCAUUUUUAUAAUUUGUCGUCACGUUUUUUGUUCUUUUUUGGAUAAAAAAUUGUAUUCACGUUGCUUCUGGUCAAUGUCAAAGUUCCCCUCAUUUCUAAGCUCCUCGCUGCGACCGUACACAUCACCUCAUUUUCUCCUCACUUCUCAUUUCUCUCUCUCUCUCUCUCUUUUUAAACUUCAUUUCUAUACAGAGAUCCAUUAAAUAAUAAUAAUAAUAACUUUUAUGCCAUGAAAUAUAUUUUUAAAUUUAUUUAUAAAUGUUUUAGCUAACAAAACUACGUUGGGCACAAAAAUUCAAAUUAUUAUAUGUUAUAUUAAUCUAAAUUUAUUCUAAUAAUUUUGGUUUCCCUCGCUUAAAAGUUAGUUUUUAUAGUUUUAUAUCUCUCAAUUUUGGAUGUUGAGUUUUGGUUGUUUCUACAAAAAGAGUUCAAAUUUUGAUAAUGCAUACCCUAUUUAUUUGUUUUUCUAGAGACCAACCUUGAUUAACUUGUGACCUCUAAUGUGGAGAAAAUUAGAAUUUACGCAUAAGAAUUAAGUUAAAUUGUAACUCUUAAAAUCAUAAGAAUUAUUAUACCAUAUCUUCUUUCAAAUUAAGGUCCAAAUUUACAAUAUAUAUAUAUAUUUAUAGAGUUUUUGUAAAAAUGAUUAGACUCUAAAAAGUUGAAAUAUUUGGGUCAACUUAAUUUUGUUCCGUAGGUGAAGUUAGAUUUCUAAUAUUCUAUAUAUAUUUUUUUUAUAAAAGUGGAAUUUUUACUAAAUUGACUAUGUUGGAUCAUCAACUUUGACUAAAUAAAAUCGAACCUGCCCCUACUUAUACCCAAUUUAACUUAACUUGAAAUUUCAUUCCACAAAGCAAUUUUAAUUUUUACAUUUUGACAAUGUCAAACAGACCAAACCACAAAGUUCAAAGAAAAGUAAAAUUACAUGAGAAUUAGUUCUUGUAGUGUAAGAAUUAAGAUUGGAAAUUCAAACCUCCCAUUAACUUAAGCUCGAUUUGGACUUUAAAUAAAAACGUUUCCCUGUAAAAUAUGUUAAGGAAAAUAUCCAUUAAGCUCAGUUUAUUAAUUAUUUUUAUUUAAACAUAACUUUUUGAGUCAUAAUUCUAUUGUUUUGUACUCAAAUUUUGAAAAUUUUCUUGUAGCAUUUUAGAUCGUGUGUGUGUGUAUAUUUCUGAAAUUAUGGCAGAAAAUUCAAUUCUUCUAUUAAAAUAUGAAAAAUAAAAAUUGGAUUGAUGGUUGCAUUUUAGAAAUCCAUAAUUAGGAAAGACCCUAAAUUCUUGGCUAAAAUUAGCCCAUAAAAGAAUACAACUUUGACAAAAGAUAGUACACAUCUAUACGUUGAUAAUAUAUGUAAAUUGCAUUAAUGUGUUGCGUGAAGUUGAAAGAGAACACUUAACUACAAAUAUUAGAUUUCGUUUUGAUAAUUUUGAGAAAUAUCAAAAAUACCCUAGUCAACACAUGAUUAAUUGACCAUACUUGUGCGUGAGUAAUCUGAUUCUAAACAAUCGUGUACUGCAGUCUAAGCAAAUUAUCUACGAGAUUUAGGUCUUGUGAUACGAUCGUGUAGUUCUUUUUAACGAUGGAAAAAAGGCUUCAAUUUUAAAUCAUCAUGUUGAGUCAUGCUAAACGAUCGUGUUGACUAUGGUAAACGAUCGUUUAGAUCAUAUCCAUACGAUCAUGUAGUUAUUUUUUCAACAACGAAAAAAGGGCUUCAAAUGCUAAACAAUCGUGUUAACUAUGGUGAGUGAUCGUUUAGAUCAUAUCAACACACCGUGUAUUUUUUUUUUUUAAACAAUGAAACAAAUAUUUCAAAUUUGAACGAUUGUGUUGACCAUGGUAAACGAUCGUUUAGAUCAUGUCAAAAUGAUAUUUAAACGAUCUUGUUAUUCUCAAAUACGAGGAAGAUGAAGUAACUUCAAAGAAUCUUAUCGAAAACGGUGAAGAUGAAAUAGAAUAAUAAAUUGUUUAAAAAUAGAACAAUAAAUUGUUUUAAAAUAGAAGAAAUUUUUUUUAGAGGAGAUGAGAAAAUCUGGAAAGAGAGGAUGAAUAAAUAGCAAAGAAGAAGCGAACAAAGAAAAGUAACAAAUUGUCCACAAUAUUCAAGAGUAAAUUUGAAAAUUAUGAAAAUAGUGUACCGGCUCUAUGUGCUUUUGCUUUUUGUUACACUGACAGUAAAUAUUUAUGUGUUUUGUUACAUUGAUCAAAAUUAACCUUUAAGAUAUAUAAUAAAAUAAUAUAUAAAUUAAACUGGUAUAAAAGAAUAAGUACUUUAUAUUAAAUUGUUGUUUUCAUUAACUCUUUUUCUUUUUCUUUUUUUAAAUUAACCAUAUGAUUCCAAUAUUAAAAUAAUGUAAAUAAAACAUGGAAAAGUGAGGGUGUGUGUUUGAGAAUGGUAGUUGGAGUAAUGAUUUGAGAAAAAUAGAUUUAGGUGUAAUAGCGUAUGAAUAUGCUAUCUAUUUCCACUUAAUUUGAGUUCAUUUCGUGAUUUUACGUUCUUGAUUGGAUAUUUUUUAGGUGUUUAAGAAUCAAUGUGUGUUUGAAAGGUAGAAUGUGGUGAGUAAAUGUCACUUUGGAGCUAGUUUGGACAAUUUGGAGUUGUAUGAUAUCACCCGAGGCAAUACAAGCAAGAAAGUAAAGUUGAUAUAUAUGUUGGAACCUUUGUGGUGCAAUGCCAAAAAGGCAGAAUGAUGCCUUAAAAUGUAAUUGGCCAAGCACCGCGACACUCGAACUUGUGAAGCAGAUUGUCCUGAAUCAGCCUCUUCUAAUUUGUUUUCUCCCUAUUUUCUAAGAAACUUUAGUAUUUUUUUAUCCAAAAAAGUUUCUCAUCAUUCGACAUGUUGAUGAGAGGUUAAGGUACUGUAAGACUCAUACCUAAAUCAGGAGGACAAAAAAUUUGAUUAAGUAUUUGAAGAAGGGGUUUUGAAGAAAGGACGCAAUAAGAAGUGGGUGUUAAGAUAGUUUUUGUGGAAAUGAGUUGACGCAAAAAGACAUUUCACAUUUAGGAAUCAGUAGGCGUUUGGAGUUCUUCACGAGAUAAAGUGAAGGCAAGGGAACCUAGGAACACAGACUAAGGUUUAGACGACGAAGAGUAAGAAAAACUUAUGGAAAAUUUCCUAAGAAUACGUAAUGGGUCACGUGUAGAAGUUUAAGCUAAACAUGGUUAAGUUAAACAACAAGCCUACACAUGUACCCCUAAGAGCAAAAGCUGGCACGUUAUUAAGAGAUUAAGGAUGACUAACCCAUUUUAGGAUUAAUGUAAAUAGAGGAAGUAGACAGAUUUGUUAAGAGUCUUUGCUCUAAGAAUUUGUAAGAAAAAGCGAGUGUCACUCACCUAGGAAGAAAACUUCUAGUUGAAAAGAAAAAGUAGAAGAAGGAAAGUUAGGCGUUUUGUAAGGAAGUUAUUUGUGAGUGAUUUCUUCUAAAAGUAUUGGUUUAUAUGAAAAGUCUUCUUUAAGUUAUUACUAGUUUGAAAAGAUGUUUUGUAUAUGAAUAUCUUAAAAAGAUUUCAAAUGAUGUUUUAUGUAUGUAGAAAGUAUGUUUUAUGAAUGUGAAGCUAUGCUCAAACCAUUAGUCUUCUUUCUGUCAUUGAGCUAAUUGUUAUGUACACACAAGGGAUAAAGGUAACCACGUAAAAAAUGAUUGCAUGGUGAAAUGAAGCCGACGAAUGCAUAAAAGGCGUGUAUUGUGUUAGGCGGCCUGAGAAACAAGAAGUGAAUUAUCAGGAUACUUCCAGAUGCUAUUGAUGAAAAAGACAUCACAGUAGUCUAAACACAAGAUGAUUAGUCUUGGCGUAGGGAAUGAUUCAUGUUCUUGGCAAAAGAAUUGUUUGAGACUAGUGUGUAUUUGUGCGCUAUGUUGUUUUAUGCGAGUUGAUUUGAAAUAAUGAUAUUUAUUAAAUAUUUUUUUCGAAAAGGUUUCCUUAAAACCUCACUAAAUUUAUUGACUUAUGUUUUAAAGUUCUUUCUUCCAGGUGAUCAUGCGUUAAGGCUAAGUUGGAAAAAAGUGAAAUGUUGGCUAGGGGAGGAAGCUUGGCGAGACGUUUAGUUUAAGUUUACGGUUUUAUCUGUUUGUAAAGUGCUGUAAAACAUUUGGUUAAAGGUUAAUAAGUUUUAUGUUUUUGUUCUUCUGUUGUGCUAUGUUUUCUUUACCGCUUAAUUAGUGAGUCUAAAAGGACUUAAGAUUGAGCUAGGUGUUUGAGCCAAGUUUCAAGGCUCGAGGACUUAAGCUGAGCUUUUUGGCGUUUAAACGAGUCAAGAAUGCUCCAGUCAUUUCACGUAAUGCAAUGUUUCAAGUGCUUGCAGAACAGGGUGUGACAAGUACCGUUUUCUAGCUUGAGUUUCUUAGAUUCUCCCUUUAUCCCUAUGAAUUUAUGAGAACUUGUACUUUAGUUUUAUGUAAUAUUUGGUUCAAUUCUAUUCUUGAAUGAUAUUUUGUUAUAUGUUUGGACGCAUAGACUCAUGAGAAAUAUAUGAUUCUCACUUUGCAUCAAAUCUUUGACUCAUGAUAAUUAGGAGAGAGUUGGUUAGAAGCAAUAGGUUAGGUUAACUUGUAAUUCUAAUUUGAUGCACAUUGUUAUACCCAUCAUAGGAUUGAACAUAUUUAAUGUCAAUUAGAUGCAUGGGAUUGAACCUAUUUAAUGUCAAUUAGAUGCAUGAAAAUAAAUUAGGCAUUCCACCUAAGGAUCUUUAGAACUUAACGCUAUUAAAAAAUUCAAUAUCGCAUACUUAAUCGUAUAUUGGGUUAGAACAAUUAGAACCUUGAGACAAUUUAAUUGCCUUUUUUAGUUAAAUUGGUCAGGUAAAGAUUGCAUAUAGAUAAAUAAUGAUAGCUCAAUGAGUAAAUUCUUUAGAUAAGAAAGAAAUCAUUAUAACCCAAACUAGACUCUUUUGACAUUGAUUUUUUUACAAAUUUCUUUUUGUUUUGUGCAAUUUACUUUCUUGCCAACAAUUUCCAAUCAAAAUCCUCCAUUCAACUAUGUAGUUGAAAAUUAGUUUAUAUGAGAAUUAGUGUGUUUCCUAUAAUCAACCCGGACUUGCCACUAAAAUUAGUGCUUGGUGAGUGAAUUUGAUUAUUUAUUUGACACACGGGGAAGCAUUUACUCUUGAAUAUUAACCAUAGACUGAAGCAUUUAUAAUUUAUUUAUUAAAAAUUAUUCACAAGAUGUAAUUCUCUCCUACACCAAAAUGUAUUUGAAUUUUGAGACCCUUUUUCGACGUCAAUUCCACCCUCACCGGACAUUAAGUCAAGUAUGUGGCAUUUGGAUAGAAGGGUUCUCUCUCAACUCUUUUUUGCUAGAAUAUACAAUAUCAAAAGAUCUACCAUCUUCCAACGUUUUUUUUUUUAAUUUUUAAUUUCUAUUUUUUCAAGACAUAUGAUCUUUUCUGACUGUAUAUUAAAAUAGGUAUUGCCAAAUCCCUUUCCAAUUAUAUUAAUUUUUAAUGUAAAUGGCGGGAAAAGUCCUUUUUUUCAAAGACUUUUUAUGACGCAUAAAUCUAGUGUUGAUUUAAGUCACCUUUCUCAAUACCAUGCAUGUAAAAAGACCUUAAUAUAUAUAUAUAUAUAAGACUUAUCUCAAUUCAAAAUGGAAGGAACGUCAUAAUAAAGUAAACCUUCCUCUUGUUGGAAAAACAAUGCAAAUGACGAUCAAAUGACUUGUUGCGCCGUGACGAAUCACUGCCCUGAAAGAAAGUUAGGCCCUAAAUCUAUGAUCUUUGCAUAUACAGGUUGAGACACUCUCUCUCCUUUGUUUUUCUUAAGAUGUUUACCAGCAUCGUAGGAGGUUUUUACUAGAGAGACAUUGAAGGAAUCAAAUUUCUUAGUAUUUUCUUAACGUAGUGUGAUUGAGUGAAGGAUAAAUCGUUUUCAUUUUUUCUGAUUUUAACACCAAGAAUUAUGCUUGCUUCUCCUAGGUCUUUCAUUUCAAAGUGUAACAACAUGAACAACUUUGUAUCUUUUAUUAACUCCAUGUUUGUCCCAAAGAUCAACAUGUCAUCAACAUAUAAACAUAUCAGUAUGCACUCACUGAAAAUAGGAAUAGAAACAAUGAUAAAACUUGCUUAGAACUUUUAGUGAAGAUAGAGAGAUGGUGAGACUUUUUAGUGGAGUGAAUGAAGAAUGAAUGAAUGAAGAACUUGGCGGAAGGGAUGUAUUUAUAAGGGAGUCCCACCAACUGCCAUCUAAAAGGGCGCAGUGGAAAAGUCGACAGUCGUGGAAAAGGGAAGUGGUCAACUUCAUUGAGUAACGUGUGACGGGGUCAAAUUAGACACUUAAGAAAACAAAAAAGUGGCUUAUUUUCAACACCUCAAUGUUUAUGCCCAUUUACUUCUUCCAGAUUUAUCAACGUGGGACAAGAAAGCGAACUUUGCAUUGCACCAAAGGCCCACAAUCUAUUUUCAACACCUCAAUGUUUCUUUUCUAAAAAUGGCUUCGAGUAGACAUAAAUCUCUUGACAACCGAAUUACCAUUGGGAGAGGGUGUUUUUCCCGAAAAAUUUUAUACAAUGAAAAAUCUAAAUUUUCUUUUAGUGCUUGUAAAACAUGUUUAAAGUCAUGAAAAGAUAUGGAUGUUACUUUUGGGUGGUAACUUCCAUUAAUUAUUUAUGAUAGCGUUCAAACUAUGCUAUUGUUUGAUAAUUAAAGACUAAACUUUUACGAAUUUGAUAAAGUUAAGGACUUACAAAUUAAAUUAUUACGAAUUUGACAAAUAAAAGAAGAAUAACUAGAUCACUACACCCUAAAAAAAAUUGAGAACUUAAAAUUAUUUUGAACCAAAAUUAUACCACUCAUUUCUAAACCUUUUUUAACAAAUGACUUUUAAUUUAAAAAUGACAAUCAUAAAGCAUCAUAUAAUGUAAGUAAAGUAUUAGUAACCUCUUUUCUUAAACAUAAAAAGUCAUGAUUCAAACCCUCAAUUGUAUAAAUUGUAUUAUUCUAAACAAAAUAUAAACAUCACAAAUUCUCUUGCCAUAUUAAAAUACUAAUUACUAAACCAUAUUCAUAUCUUCCAAGUUGUAAUUUUUAUUUCUUAAACAAAACUUAUACCAUAAUUAGCUAAUAAGAUAUAUGAUUCUACAUGUGUGUAUAUGCAUAUAAUAUAGAGAAACACACACAUAGUUUUAGCAUCAUUGCAUUUAAAUAUAAAGCAGAUAUGAAUAUUUAACUCUUAAAUAUUUAUUAUUAUUAUUUAAGAUACUAAAGUUAAAGAAAUGGAACUGAGAAUACAUAGUUUGACUAUUCUUAGUCGUCAAGAAAAGUGAGCCAAAGAAUUUGACCAGUGAGCGUCAGAGCAAUUCAAAGCUUAAACGACCUUCCUGUUCUUUACAUAUAUUCUCAACUUGUAACAUAACAUAUAUAUAUAUAUAUAUAUAUAUAUAUAUAUAUAUAUAUAUAUAUAUAUAUCCACUUCUACUUUUUCUAGUUUAAAUUAAAAUAUUUAGUCUCUCUCAAUCAUUACGAAAAGUUGGUAAAAUCUUCCACAUAGUUUGAUAAUUAAUUGACUUUUCAUUAGUUACCAAUAGCUUCUGUCAUAAAAACUAUUUUAGAGGAUUAAUUUUAUCAAAUCAUAUCAUUAACUAUUCAUUAUAAAUUAUCGUGAUUAAAUUUUAACUUUAAACCUUCGUUUAAUGUUGUUGAAGGUGGCCAAAGUCAAAACUCAAUACCCAUAGGAUAUAGGAAAAAGUAUGGAAGAGUAAGUGUCUAGCUAAAAAGAGAAAUAUUAGCACGUCUUGAGAAUUAAGACGAUUGAUCAAGUUUUUUAUGAACGUAUACCAUUAAAAAAAAUAAACAAUUUGAAGUUAGAUUGCACCUUGAAACCUCACAUUCUAGAAAUGUCUUUGAUAUCGUUAUUGUCAAAUCUAAUUGUAGAUGUAGACAUGUGUUAGAGGACUAACUUAUUGAUGGGUUUUGUACCCCAAAGCUCAUUGUUUGUAAUGUAAUAAACUAUUUAUUGAUAUUUAAUAAAAUAAUUGCUAUUUUGUUUGGUAAAUUUAUAUAAAUAUAUAUAACAAAAGGAUAAAUAUUUAAGCUUCAUAUCUCAAAAUAAGAAAAACUUAUGAAGUCUGAUUACUUGUUCAUAAAUUCUUAUUGGUUUUGAUCAUUGUGGAAUGAUUUUUUAAUUUUUAAUAUUUUUCUUCUUUGCAAUUUAUUCAAUUUCUUUACGAUUUAUUCAUUUGCUCUUUUAGAUUUUUUCCUCUUUAAUAUUCUUCUUCAUCUUCUUCAUCCUCGGCAACAUCAAGAUUCUUUAUAUUCCUCUAUCAAAAUCGUUGUAGUGAGUUUGUUUUUGGUAAGAAUCCUAAAUAUUAUUUUUGUUUAAAUUGUUCAAAAGAUUAUAAAAUUUCGCUAAGAAUUCUAUAUUUCAUUAUGAAUAUCGUUUUUUUUUUUUUUUUUUGUGGUACAAAUUAUAAAUUUCAUUUUCGUUUCAAUUGUUUAGAAGAUUUAAAUAUUACUGUGAGCAAGCUAGACAUUUAAGCGAAGUUGUGCUAGGAGUGGAAGGCUUGAGUUUUAUUUUAAGUCUUUAUGGUAAAGAGAACAUGUAUUGUAUUUUAAACGCAUUUAUGAAGUAAUAAAGAGAUCUUGGUUGUUAUAUUAUGUUGUGGUGUGUUUUUAUUAUAGCUUGGCAGGUAAAGGGUUUAAGGUUGAACUAAGCGAUAAAGCUAAGGUUCAAGUUGCUUAAAGAUUAGUUGUUGGUUGUGUCAAUUCCGCUUACUAGGUGUUUUGUGUGCUAUCUUGCCCAUACACGUAAAGUGUGUCUAGGUGGUCAUGCCUCCACUUGGUAACAUCAAGUUACCUUGGGUGGGGUUUGACAUCCCCAGACAUCCUAUCUCAACUCAACGUCCUAAACAGCUCUCAAGAUUUUUAAUUGGUCUAACUGUGUAUGAAAAUCUUGACAUGCAUCUUAUGGAUGUAGUCAUAAUAUAUUUACAUGAAUCUCUUGAUAAUGACAUUUAUAAGAAUUUAAGAUAAUUAAAACAUAUAAGUCAAGUUCUAGGAGACUAUAUUCAAUAAAGCUACAAAGAUCACUAUAUAUAUUGAAACAAUCAUGAUGAAUGUGGUACAAUCGUCUAAGCAGAUAUUUGUUGAAAGAAGGAUAUCAAAAUAAUUCAAUAUGUUUAUAUGUUUUUAUAAAUAAAAAAAUCACAGUUAGGAUUUGUUAUUAUAAAUAUAUUUGGAACUCUUGAAGAGCUUUCAAGGGCAACAAUAUAAUAACUUAAGAAAGAAUUUGAGAUGAAAGAUAUUGAAAAAAUAAAAUUUUCUUUUGGCUCGCAAAUUAAGCAUUUAGCAAAUGAGAUAUUUGUUCAUCAUUCAGCUUAUACAAGAAAAAUUUUGAAAAGAUUUUAUAUGAAUAAAACGCAUUCAUUGAACACUCAAAUGCAACUUUGUUCACUAGAUGUGAAGAAAAAUAUAUUUAGGCCUCAAGAUGAUAAUGAAGAACUUCUUGGUUAAGAAGCACCAUAUUUUAGUGCAAUUCGUGCACUCAUGUAUCUUGCUAAUAAGAAGACCAGAUAUGACAUUUUCAAUAAAUUUAUUAGCUAGAUACAAUUUUUCUCCAACAAAAAAUCACUGGAAUAGAAUAAGCAUAUACUAUGUUAUGUUCGAGUCACGAUUGAUAUUUGUUUAUUUUAUUCAAAUAAAUCAAAAUUUGAUUUAGUUGAUUUCAUUGAUUCUGGAUAUUUAUAUGAUCCACUGAAAGCUAAGUCUCAAAUAGCUUAUGUGAAGGAAUUGUUAUAUCAUGUCGAUCAGUGAAACAAACCAUAACUGUUAUAUCCUCAAAUCAUGCUGAAAUUCUUGCAAUUCAUGAGACUACUUGAGAAUGUGUAUGAUUAAGAUCAAUGACUCAGCAAAUUUGUGUGAAACAUGUGACUUGUUUCCUAGUAAAAAUCUUUCAACGAUACUAUACGAAAACAACACAACAUGGAUAGCUCAAAUCAAAGAAGGUUAUAUUAAAGGAGAUGAACAAAGCAUAUUUCACCAAAGAUUAGUACAACAAAUUUGCUUAAAGGAUAACUUGAUAGACUUAUUUACAAAGGCAUUACAUUCCCCAAUAUUUGAAAAUUUCAGGCACAAAAUCGGAAUGUGUUGACUUAGUAAUCUCAAGUGAUGUUUUCAUGAGGAGAAGGAGUAUUUUUGUAAGAGUAUAUGCUAUAUGAAAUAUGUACUCUUUUUUCUUCACUCGAAUAUUUUUCUCAUUAGGUUUUUUACUAGUAAUGUUUUAACGAUACAUAUUUCAUUUACAUAAUGAGCAUUUAAGAGGGAAUAAUAUAAAUAUUAUAAUACGGAGAAUAAUAGACGCCCAUUAUACUCAUGCUUGGUGUCCAUUGGUCAUGUGUUAUAUCCAUAUUAUCCCAAAUGUUGUACAUGUGUCUCAAUAUGACACACUAUAUUAGUGUCCAACGUCCAUGUAAUUCAUCUUAUGCUUACCAAAUUGUAUAUAAAUAAUGGCAUUUUGUGAGUUUUGUAAUUGAUACACAUUUUGAUGAAUUUUUCAUACAUCUUAGAGAACGAGGAUAAACUUGGAAUAUUUUCUUAUUUAUUUAUUUUAAUAUUAUAUUUUCUAGACACAUGUGUCCUCAUUGUACCUCAUUUUUACGUACAACAUUAAUAUUUUUAAAAUUUUUAUUCAUAUGUUUAUGAUGAAUAAUUAUUAAAACCAUAAAUUUUUAUACUACUCUUCCAAUAUUUACUAUAAUGAUUUUUUUUUACCAAAUCUCUAACCUCAAUUUUAUUUAUGUUACCUUUCAAUUUUGUUUCUAUGAUAUUUCCAAUAUUAUUUAUAAUUUCAUUUCAAUUCAAACACUCCACACUACAUUACUAAUUAAAAUUUAGUGUAAUAAAUAUUAGAAUACUAAUCAUUGCUUGUAACAAAAUAAUAGACAAACAUUUGUUAGUGUCCAUAUUUAUAUUUUAGUUCAUUUUAAUCUAUUUGAAAGCAAUCCAAACUAUAUAAACAUCCCGUGACUUCUAUAAAUUAUGUUGGUUACAAUAGACAUGUGCAGGAAAAAUACAGAUACAUUUUACCCUAAUUGGAUCUAAUUUUAUUGGAAAUGAACCUGCAUUACUUCCUUAAUUAAAAUGAAAUUAGGGUUAAAGAAAUUCUUAUCUUUGAAGCUCCCAUUCACUUGAAAUCUCCACACAAUCUCAAACUAGACCACCAUUAGUGUUGACUCUCUAUUCUUCCGAUUUAGAAUCGGAUUGUAGGACCCAAUGAGUGAAAUAUUUGGGAGAGAGUGAUAUGAAUGGAAAUUGAAGGAUUGAUUUAGGUUGAGAGUUGGGAAAGAAAAUAUUUCGAUCGAUGAGGAAAUUUUUAAGUAAAUAUCAAAAGAGCCAAAACUUUUUAUUCAAUACAAAAAGUACCAUUUAAAUAAACAAAAUACAUGCAAUUAUUGCAUGUUUAAACAAACCAAAGCUCAACACCUCACUACCAUGAACUUCCACUUAGCCCACUAAUGAGUUAGUGAAAUUAUGAAACAAUGCACUUUCACUUAGUGGGUUUGUGUCAACACGAUAAACUUUCACAUAGUCCACUCAGAAUUAGAUAUUCAAGUCAGAAGUCAAUAUUUUAAUUCUUUUACCAAUAAAAUGUUAGAUUUUCUCAUUAACUUUAGUCAAAGAGUAAAAUGAUCAUUUGAUCAUUCAAGUCAAACUCAAAAGUCAACAUUUUCAUUUUUCCCUCAUUUCCCCCUCAUUUUUUUUAAAUUCAAAUUAUAUUUGAAUGAAAACCCAUCAAAGUUUGACUUUUCAAAAUAAAAGUCAAUCAUUUUACAUUUUACAACUCCGACCAUUACCAUCAUUUUCGAGCUUCCAAAUAUGGUAGGCCUUUUAAAAACGACCUAGUACCUGCGACUUACACCACAUUGGUGUUUAGGUUUCUUUUUGCUUACCGACAAGCUCUCUUCUCCUAAAAUACAAAUUUAUCACUGUUCUCGUGGAGAUCAUAUAUAUUUGCUUGGUCAAAAUUUGACAUCAACAAAAUGUAAAAAUGUGUUUUUAAACUCAUACAAAAAUUUUAAAAUUAAGACCAUGUUCAAUAUCGUAAGGUUUUUAAUUUUUAAAAAUUAAGCCUAUAAACGCUUUUUCCACCUCAAAAUUUCUCGAUUUAUUACCUAUAUUUUACUAAUGUUAAAAAACAAGCCAAAUUAUAAAACCAAAAUAAUAUUUAGUUCAAACUUGUUUAUAUCUUUCGAAUUCAACUAAGGAUUCAACUCAAAAAUACAAAUUACAAAUCAUAGUAGAUAAAUUAAUAAAAGAUACUCUUUAAAGAAACAAAAAAAUCAAACGACUACUAUGUUCGAAAAGUUAGUUUUAUUUUUUAAAUUUGACUUAGAAUUGAAACGUUCACUUUAAACUACACCCUCCCCACAAAACCCAAAUAAAUUUCAAAAGUAAAAAAAUAAAGCUUCAAAAGAUUUAUGAAAUGGGACCUCAAUGAUUACUUGAUUGGACCAAACUAUUAAAAUAAUUGUGCCUACAUUCUUAGGUGGAUAUGGUUGGAAGGAGAAGAGAGAGUAACAUAAAAGAAAGAAAAAGAAAAAUCAAUGAGAAUACAUAAAACCAAAAAACAUUUUGUGGUGACCCCAAAAAGAUACAAAGGUUGUGAAGAGACAACUUGCCUGCCAUCUAAUAACCUCAACAAACUUAACCAAAUGGCCCUCUUUAUUGCUCCUCAAACCUGAAAAUAAGUGGCCAUAAAAUUAUACCAUAAAACUAAAACUUUGAAAAUUUAACUUUUUAAAAAGUUAAAAGAGUGUUGUUUUUUCUUUAAAAUUUUAAACUAACAAAUUAUAUUGAAUUGCAUAUCUAACACUAUAUUUUGAAUAAACAUCUAAUAAUAAUGAUCCCUCUUAGAAAGAAAACAAAAACAAACUAAUCUCCAAAUAUGCAUCAAAUAAUUCAUGUAUGAGGAAGUCUAUCAAAAUCAAUAGCAUUUGGCAGAAAAGAAUGAGAUUCACAUCCUCAAAUCUUCUUCUCUGUCAAAUCAAGGUGAGUUUGUAUUACAAUUAUACAUUCAAGAAUAAAAUGAAAGGCUCAAUACUAACUUCAACCUUUUAUUUUCUUUGUCUUUUUUAGUAAAAUUUUAUCAAAUAAUUAGAAGAAAGAGAUGAUGAUGAAAUAAUUGAGAAGAAAGUUUUAAUUUCCUUAUUGAUAAGACUUUUGAGGUGAUGGUCUCAUGUGAUAAAAGAAAAAAAAAACAAUGGUAGUCUAAAUAAUACUCUUAUCACAACAUUCAAUUGAUUUAACAAAUUUAUUUUUUGGUUGCUUCUAAAGAAUAUUUCUUUCAAAUUAUAUUAAUAAGACCACAAGAACUUCCAAAGUAUACCAAUUAGGUUUAAAAUAUCCAAAGUAUAAGUAGAUAUGAACCUAAAAUAAUAAAAUUUAAACUUGCUAAUUUAAUUUAUUAGUCUUGCAAGUUGCAAUUACCUUAACUAAAAUAUUUAAAAAUAUUAAAGUUAAAUUAAAAUUUUAAUAUUUCUAAUAUAAGUAUCACAUGUUAAAAUUACAAAAUUGUCAUACAUAUUACCUUAUUAAAUAAUUAACAAAAUUUCUAUUCAAUGUGGUAACAAGUGAAUUCUUUUCCAUCAACAAAAAAAUUAUAUGAGCCAAAUUUCCUAAUAAAACAAAAUAUUCAAAAAAAGAAAAAAAUCUUAGCUACAAUAAACAUAACUCACCUAUGUCUAACCUUCUAUGAUCCCCAUAUUUUGAUAGAAACUUAAUUAUCUACUUUUCUAAACUAACGUUGAACCUCAUACAUAUUAAAAAUUAACUUUGAAUUAAGAACUUCUAUACAGUGGGAUGGAAAUGAUGCAAAAGGCAAAGCAAAUGAUGGGAAAAAAAGGAAGGUUAUUCUUUUUAUUCUAUCAUAUUUAUUUUUUCCUCUUAAGAUUUAGGAUCAAGGGCUGUAAAAGGAAGGGCCACACUUGCAUUUCCAUCCCUCGGGUUCAUAGUUAGUGUAUUGGACCCCUACGUGGCUGCGUCUGUUGGUGGUUGUAGGCACUUGAAUGGCUUCACAUGGAAUGCAUCCAUAGCACUUGUGCUCACAGCUGGGUGGACUUGACCCUAUUUUCCUCAUACCUCUAUAGAAUUCUUCUUCUUUAACACCUUUAACAGCCUUUAUACAGACCAAAAACAUGAAUUAUUUCAACAAACAGAGCACAAAUAAAGUGACAAAAAGGGUAGGGGUCUGACCUGUUUUGAAUCAAUAAGACCUGGCAGGAACAAAACAACAAGCAACUUGAAUUAAAAAGGCAGUGAAAGAAGAAGAAAACCUAUUGCUAAAUAGAUGUAAUAAUUGAGAUGAGAAAGCCAAAGAAAAGAUGUGAGUAUAUUGGUAAGAAACGAACCUUGUUGUUUAUGAGGAGGGAGGGCAGGAUUUGGAGCAAAAUUCCUGGCUGCAGCAGAAACCCAACAGACUAAUUGCAGAAUAAAUAUAAAACACCAGUAUGUUCCUUUCAUGUCUUCAAAAGCCAAAAUGAUAAUGAUGAUUACGGUGGGAAAGAGAUGGUGAAUGAAAAAAAAUGGAAAAUGAUUUGGGUUAUAAGAAGAAGGUGGUGGAAAUUUAAUCCUAACAAGCAAAUUCACAUUUCCCCGUACAAGAAGUCAGAGCCUUUCUCUCUAUCUUUAUACAUACAUAUAUAUAUUGUUUUAUUUUGUUUGGUUUGAAUUGGUUUCUUACUCUUCCAAUGUCUAGCUUUAAGACUGGCAGGGAGAUUUUGCGUUAGAAACAAGUGAUCGAUUCCAAUUUCUUAUCAAAGAGUUCUGAACAAAAGCAAAGCAAAGUCCCUCCACUCCACUCCACCUCAAAUCAUUUGACAACUCACCAUGGAUUCAUAGAGAAGAGAACCUUACAAUUGCAAGAGUGCAAGAAAUGAGCUGUAGAAAUCCCCUUUUUCUUCUUCUUCUUCUUUUUUGAUUUUGUCGCCUUCCAAUACGAUCCAGCCUCUCUCUUUCACUCACUGCCAAAUCAGUCUAGUAAAUGAACCAAUACAGAGAUCCUUGCAAGGGCAGGGCCCAGUAGAACAGCCACCUCUUUUUUUCUAGGCUCUGUCAUACCUGCAGAAGCAAUGUAAAUAUUCACAAGGAAAAGAAAAAUACCAUCUACCAAGACUGCAGGGUCUUUAUUUCACUCUGAUAAUUUUAUUCCUAUUUAAAGAAGAAAAGAUCCAGUGACAGAGGGCUAUUUAUGUAAAAGAAGGAAAAAGGCAUCAAUGUCUGAGGUUCUGAGCACAUUCAGCCCAGCAGAAAAUUUUUAUUGAGUUAGUUAAUAAAUUAAAUAAGUUACUUCAAAUGGGGUCAACCUUUUACAGAUUAGUAGGUUGAGAAGAUAAUAGAAUGCUGCUUGAAAUCCAAUCUCAGCCAUCCAUUUACCUUAUAACCAAAGAUGGUCAGUCAAGAGCCGUUGAUGUUUGGAAGGUCCCAAUUUAUAAGCAAUAAAUGACGUUAGAUUUAAUCCACACCUAAACUAUCACACUCAAAUUUGCCUGUUUCCCCCGGUCACCACCACAUUCAACAUGAAUCAAGCUUACAUGACAUAUAUUCUUUCUACUCACCCAAUAUUCAUGAUAGUAAUUCUUAUGAUAAUUUAAUCCUUUUCUUGACUUUAUUUGGAGAAGUGUGAUGAACAAUGUCAAACUUAAAACAUUGGAAGCUUAAGCUCAACUGUCACACGAGCAAAAAAUAAAACAUAUAGCAUGCAGUAAUCAGUAAUCAGUGGUCUCUCUUUCUACAGAUCCAAGAUUCAAGAUAGCAGUUCUUAACACCCCAAAUGAAAGUAUAAUCACUUAUUUGACUUUAUUUGGAGAAAUGUGAUAGAAUGAUGUCAAAGUUAAAACCUGAGAAGUAAGCCUUAGGUUAAAACAGUGAUAUAGGAAAAUUAUUGAACAGUUGGCAGGCACUAAUUAGUGGCCUUUCUGACUAGAAAGGACAAAGAAAGGGGCACUGAAUCACUGUUUAAGCGGCUCGAUGGGGAUGUGUAUAAUGCAAAAAUGAGAGAACUUUGUGGGAAAAAAAAGACACAGAGACAAAAAUAAAUCGGUGAAAAUGGAUAAGUAGAGAAGGUACUUUAAGCAUCAAAUGCACCCAUUGUACGUUUUCAAGUAAGGUUUGUCCUGUUCCAUAUGGUCUGGGGAUUUCUUAUUGAUAUCAGCGAGAUUUGAGUGAUUUGAUUAUUCGAUCUGUUACAUUUUCUUUCGCUCUUCUUCUUCUUCUUCUACUUCUUUUUUACCAUCUAUCCAUUUACCUUGCGGCUCUGGAUUAGGUAACAUCAAGACCCAGCUUUAGAAUUUCGGCCACUGGAAAUGACCCUCAAAGACAAAUCGGGGUAUCAUCGAAUCCAUGAAAAAACCCAGAGAGAAGAUCGUUUGUGAAACUGAUUUUCGAUACAGUUCUUCGGGAAAAUUUUAAGGAUUAAUUAUAAAAGCAUACUUUGUUUCAAAAAUACACUCCAACUUUUUCCAACAUCUUAAAAAAAAAUAUCAAGUUAAAAUUUUAGAUGAAAAUUUGGAUAUAUCAUAAUUUGACUAUGAUUGGAAAGAAAACUGAGAUAAUCAUCGCAUCCGUUUAGGUAAUUGUAAUAUGAUUUCAAGUCUUGUUUUUGUUCAAAAUUAUAAAGAAUUUAAAUUUGAAUAGGUUUUAAACCUGUAUAAAAAUUUAAGAGUAAUAUUUGGACUUUGCAACCUAUAGAGUGGAACAAGGUUAAAAGGUAUUUAUUAUAAUUUAUUAAUUUUGACAAUUUUUAAUUUUUAUUACUCAGCCACGUUUGUAUCAAUUUCAAUUUAAAUUUGUCUUUCUUUGGUCCAAGAAAUUUACGAGUAAGAGUAGAGAAAUUUAUAAGGAAGAGUAGAAAAUGUGGAAGGUUUGUAGAAGUAAAAGAUGUCCUGGACCAAAGACUGAAAAGAUCAAAUCAAACAAGGUUGAUCCAAUAGUUAUUAAUGAUGUAGAGGUUUGGGAUUUAGGGUUUAUGGUUAAUUGAAAAUUAAGACAUUUGUGAAAUAUCACGGGGAAUUAAGGUGUUUUCUCUAAGUCUUUCAACAUAGAAUCAUGAACUUUACUCCUUGUUUGGUACAAAAAGCUUAUGGAUCUCAUCACUAAAAAUAUUAAGGCGUGUUUGGGGUGCAAACUUGAGUGGUGUGGAGUGAAUUAUUUAGUACACUCCACAUUUUGGACAUAAAUUGAGCAAAAAGGGGAUUAUGGCUAUUUUACUCCUUGCACAUAUUGUUCCACUCCCUACUACACGUUGUUCCAUUCUCUCAGCUAGGUACAUCUCAGGAUCACUUAAUUUUUUUUUUUCUUGUGAUCAAUCUCGAUCGAGAUCAACCCUAAGAUUCUUCUCAAAUUUAAAAAAUUCUUUGAAGAAAUUUUUUUUGUCUCUCUCGAGGACAUCUCGAGGCAACCUUAGCCUGAGAUCAUACUACAUAAUGCUUAUGCUCUUUAGCUCAGGGCUCUCUUGGUCCAACUUUGGCACGUGAUCAAUGAUGUUAGGUCAAAGUUGCCUCAGAAUAGCCCUGGGCUAAAGAACAUAAGCAUUAUGUAGUAUGAUCUUGGGCUAAGGUUGCCCCGAGAUGUCCUCGAGAGAGAUCGAGAAAUUUUCUUUAUAUAGUUUUUAAAUUUGGAAAGAAUCUCAUAGCCGAUCUCCGUUGAGAUUGAACCCAAAAACAAAAUUUUCAGUUGUUCUUAGUACACCUGACUAAGAAACUAGAAUAGUGUGUGACAGGGAUUUCGACCUAAAAUAACACUAAGUCCCCAUUUGCUUAAUUCAUGCCCCAAACAUGGAGUUGGACUAAAAUAACCCACUUCACUCACCUCAAGUUUGCAACCCAAAUGCAGACUAUUGUCAUGCUCAGAUUAUUAUAAGCCACUCAUUGCUCCAAAUGCUCCCUAAAUUUAUAUUGUAUCAACUCUUUACACUAUAGAUCCCAGAUGUUCACAACCUAAUACUUUUUAUUAUUUCAUUCCCGGCAUCAAACAACCCAUAAAAGUUUAAAAACCAAAAUAAUUAUAAACUUCAAAUUUCAUGACUAAACUGAUAAUUUAACCUUUAGUAUUCUAAUAAAGGGUUUGACUGCAACCUUUACUAAACUAGAGGUUAACCUCCUAUGCUCAAACUUGAAAGGUCAAGGGUGGUUUAUACCAACAACUAGUGAUAUUUGGUAUAUGAUGUGUUCACAUUCAUCCUUAAAAAUCUAGUUAAUCAUUCAAUUAAAUUAACAUUUUUUUUUUUGUUCUCUAUCUUACAAUUAUUCACUGUAGGAUAUAACCUGUCACACCUCCUCUCAGACCACCUCUUCUUCAUUUAAGAGGUGGUGUGAAACUAACAGAUAUCGUUUUCCUUCUAACAAACCUACUAAUUUUACUAGAACUAAAACUAAACUAACAUAGAAUAUAUAACACAGCGAAAAUAUAAAUAAACUAUACAUAAACCAAAUAGUGAAGCCCAAGCUUAUGACAACCAUAAUAAGUCUGAUAUAGAUAUAUAAACAACCACUAUAAACAAGGCAAGGCAAGGUUUAUAUAACAUAUAGACAAACCCUGUACAACCCACAACUAACUCUAUAGAACCAAACUCAUACAUAAACCAAAUUACACAACUAAAACAACACAUACUAGUAUAAAACUUAAAAUGUACUAGCAAAUAGGUGGAUGAAGUUGGGCACCAAAUCCACGAUCUAUACAUGGAAACUAAGAAAAUAUUUUUGUAGUGGGGAACUAAAGUUCAAUCAGUGACUAGUUUUAAAACUAAACAUGGUUAAUAAAUCAUUGAGUUAGUAAACAACUUAAACAAAUACUUUUAAAUCAAAGCAAGGUAAACAUAUAUAAUUCUCAAAACUCAAGAAAUGUUGAGAAGAUCAUAAAAUGUUCGCUACAUUUUUUACGAUUAAAAUUUUGGUGUGUUUUUUUUUCUUUUGCUUGUUUCACUUUGUGGGAGAAGAAAAAGAAAGAAGUAAAAUAUUUUAUGUUUUAUUUUAUAUUUCCCUAAAAAUACUUUUCAGCAAGAGUAUUACAUAAAUGUAACAAGAGUAAUUUAGUGGGGGAAAAAUUUGUGUAGGGAAGAUGUUUGUGAAAAUGCCUGACAGAGAAAAAUGGGGUUUUUUAGGAUGUUGAGUGGAUUGUGGCUCUGUUUUACUUUUUAAGUGUUUACUAGAUGGUUUGGUUCUCUAUUAUCGUGAACUUUACCUGUUUGAUGCAAUUUUUAUUGUUCUCAUGUUUCAGGUAGCAUGGACUUUUUUCUCCAUAUGUACAGGUUUUAUAUACUUCAAAGAAUUUCAAGUUCUCUCUUAGUGUGUGAGUGUGAUUUUACUUUUUUGGAGGUGUUCUGGUGCUAUGACUAUAGUGUGUUUUGUUGAUUGAAUUUUCUAUGAUUUAUUAGUAUUUCACAUUAAAAUUUUGUUUUAGGAUUUAGUUUUUGAGUACCAUAUGUUUUAUUGGUGGGAUUUCAAUAUUUAACAGCUCUUGAUGUUGAUUGUUUUUUUCCCUAAUUUGUAAGUUUGCCAUUUAUGACUUGAGGUCAUGCUUUGCCUUUAAAAAAAACUCUUCUUUUUUUGUUAUUUUUAAAUAUCUAUGUGAAUUUGUUCUUUUCUUGAUUCUCAGUCUUAAAACCUUCGAAGGUGAAAAGGAAAUAUUCUUCUCUUUUUCCCUUAUAGUUUACUCUUUCUGGAGUAGUCUUUUCAAGUUUUUGUUUUGUUUGUCUCUAAAUUAGUUAAAAACUUAAAAUGCUAUCCAUUCUUAUAGAAAUCUUCUUUUAAGUAUUGAGUUUAAUUAGAAACUAGUAGAUUAUUCUUGAAAAUAAACUUUUCUUGCACCAUCCAUAGUCUUCUCUCUAAGCUUAUACUUGCUUGGUUCUGCUUCAGAUUAACACAUUUAAUGGAUUUUACUGGGAGAACUUUGAACCAAACAAGGCUUAUAAACCCAAAAUUGUGGACAGAAGCCUGAAUUGGUUGGUAUGUAACUUAUUCAGCUUGAAUUGAGUGCUUUAAUUUAUGAAGUUUUAAGUGUAUAUGAAAUGUUGGGAGAGAUUGAUUAGUUAUGACGCAAAUUAAGGCAUACAGAUUAUUGUCAUAAGUUGCAUUGUAUUGUACGUGUAUAUAUGUAUAUAGCAAAUUAAGGCACAUACUGAUCAUUAUUAUUAUUUCUUUCACUAUCUAACCAAAAUAUCCACCUCUGUAUUUAUUUGUUAAGGACAUUCUCGUUCAAAUGAGUAUUUCUUAGAAAAAUUUUCUUUUUGUGUGUGUAUUUUGUGUGAAUUUAUUUAUUAGGGACAUUCUUGUUGAAAGUUUUAGACUUAUCUGUUUUUUCUUUUUUUAAUUGGAAGGACUUCAAGGUACGUUUUGUUAAAGCAUAUUUUAUAUUGAUAAAUUUGAAGCUGUCAAAGUCUAUCACAAUGAUAAUGUUAAUAUGUUAAGUUUUUGUGCUCAGGUUUAGGAUUCUUUUGCUAGUUUUUGGUUCUCAAGCUUCACAUGGAUCACUUUAAUUAACUCUUAAAUGAGAUUUUAUUUUCUUACUAGUUUGGAAGAAUCCAUUGGAACAGUCCAUUGGAACAGUGAAGCCAACUUGGAGCAAUUGAUUGAUAUAACACUCUUUAUAUGGUUGGUAGCAAACUUUUGAUUCCAAUGUACUGAUUUUAGAUUUCUUGGUAGCUAAAGAUGUCAUCUUUUUGUAUGUAAACUACUUUUUAACAAAAAAAAAAAAAGGUUAUUAGUCAAUGGGUGUAUGAAUACUACAAAGUGUAUUAUUAAGUAUAUAUAUUAAAGUGUUCUCCUUGUUUUCAUAUGAAUGUGAUGAAUUAGAACAUUAUUGUCAUUGAAAUUGUUUGUGUAAUGGCAGAGCGACAAGAAGAACAGGAAUUGAGGAACAUACGAUAGGAAAAAAAUGUCAUAAUAUAAAAAUUCGUAACAUUUUUUAACUGUCGUCAAUAUCGAAACAAUGACAAUUUAAUUUUAUAAAAACUAUCACUAUUGGUCUAUCCUUAAUAAGAAAAAAUGUCAUAAUAUACGAAUUCGUGACAUUUUCAUAAUUGUCGUCAAUAGUGAAAUAAUGACAAUUUAAUUUUAUAAAAGCUGUCACAGUUAGUCUAUCCUUGACAGGAAAAAAAUGUCAUAAUAUACGAAUCUGUGACAUUUUCGUAACUAUCGUAAGUAUGCAAAUGAUGACAGUUAUUUGUUGUCAUAAAAUAUUAAAUAAUGACAUUUAUUUUUUUGUCAUGAAAACACAUAUUGUGACAGUUUUUAAAAAUUUUCAUAGAAGAACUUUCUACGACAGGCGAUAUUGUGACUGUAAAUAACUAUCACAGAUUUUAUUUGCAACAGAAAAUAACUGUCGUCGUAGACCAUUUUUCUUGUAGUGAAUUUAGAAAAUAAAUUAAAUAUAAAGGGUCUUUUAAAAAAAUAUAACAAAGCGCUAAACUAUUUACGAUGUAUAGAAUAAUUUCGAAAACGAAAAAAAUUCACAUGUUCAUAGAAAAUACCAAAAUUACUCUCAUCAUUAAUUGACACUAUGAUAGCUUAGAUUUGGUUAUUCUUUCCUACUAGAUAAAUUUGGUAAUUAAAUCUCAACAAUUUUUUUCAAGAUUUUUUGGUACAUGAUUGUUUAGAUUUGAUUAAUUAAAUUUGUUUGGUAUAACGAUUGUUUAAAAAAAAUUAUACACAGUCGUUUAGAUUUGUUUGGUAUAAUGAUUGUUUAGAUUUUACUAUCGAAUAAUUGUAUGCCAAUAAUUUUUUUUCAAAAUAAAAAACAAUGAAAAGAAAGGCAACCUUGGAAUAUUUAUAAAUAAUAUCGAGUUUUAUGAGCUUUUCAUUUUGUUAUAAAUAUUUUAUCAGUUUGUUAUAUUUAUGAAAAUUAAAUUUAAAUAGCACAAAUAUAAAAUAUUUUUAAAAAUAGUGAGAAAUUGUUAAAAAAUAACUUGGAACAUUUUGGAGGAGAUCGACCAAAUCUUAUAUAUUUUAAAUUUUUUUCAAAUAAUUCUAACAAUAUUUCCAAUCUUAUAUAUUUAAAAAAAAUGGUCGUUUUGCCAAAUAUUACUCGAAUAGUUGAAGAUUUAAAAAUUAGAUUCAAAAUAAUUAAGUAUAUAGCAAUAUUUUAAAAAAUUUACAAAUAUAACAAAGUUUGUCAAAUUUUAUCGAUGAUACAAGUCUAUCGCCGAUAGACUAUGUUGUAAAUAUUGAUCUAUCAUUGAUAGAUCAUACGAGUGUAUCAACGAUACAAGUCUAUCACGAUAGUUUUGUUAUAUUUGUAAUUUUUAAAAAAUAUUAUUAUAUCCUUAAAUAUUAUUGCUCAAAUGGUCAUCAAUUACAAUUAUUCAAUAGUAUUUAGACUGACAUUAUAUCCCGACUAAAUUUUUUAUUUUGCUAAAUAUUAUAUCUUAUUCUUACCUCUCAUCUUUUAAAAUACAUUUAAAAUUUCCAAAAAAAAUUAUUUAAAAAAUUCCUAAGAUUCUUUUUUACCGUCCGUGCAUCUCGCUUAUAUUAUAUCGAGAUUCUAUCCAUUUUUUAAAUCUUUACUAAAUGUUAUAUAUAUAUAUAUAUAUAUAUAUAUAUAUAUAUAUAUAUAUAUAUAUUAUAUAUAUAUUUAAACUUAGUUAUUUUUAUGUUUUUUUAGUUUAAUUGAAUUCUAAUUAAAGUUUAGGUGAUACAACGUUUUAAAUUUUUUUACAAAUAUAGCAAAAUUUGUAAGAGUUUAUCAACGAUAGAAGUAUAUCACACAUAAACCAUAUAUCAUCGGUGUAAAUAUUGUAUAAAUAAUGGAUAUAUUAUUUAUAUUUUCACUAUUUUCAAGAGUAUAAUAUUAAGAUACCUAAUAUGAAGUUUAACAUUAAAAUUUCUAUUAUUGCUAAUAAUGCGUCUUUACUUGACCGUAAUAUUUGAUUUUCCAACAAUAAUUUCAUAUACUUGUAGUUUACCAUAUUCUUUUAUACCAUACCUUUUUUUAAUUAACUUAACUAUUAUUUACUAACUUAAACUAAUGUUUUUUUAAAAAAAGAAACUUAAAAUUAAUAAUUAAUAUGCAAACCCACUUCUUGUGUUCAACUCUAUCCAAUCUCUUAAUUUUUUAUUGGAAAAUUGUGGGAGUGGAACAUUUUCGAAAAAAUAUUUAUCCCUUAUAACAAAAAUGAAAAGUGUAAUAAAUAAUUUUGUUUUUUUAAUGCUUUCGUUCAAUCAUGAAAAUAAUUUAUUGAUUUUUUUUAAAAUUUUUAGAAAGGUCUCUUAUUUAUUUACUUUUUAUUUUUCACGUUUGGGUUUAACCUCUUCCUACUAUAUCUCUUUAUUAUUUUUAUUUUCGAUGUAAUUGAUGAUAAGUUUUUUCUAAAUAAAACUACUCAAUUUGUCUAAAUAUUUUGGAAUAAACCAUAUUCUUUUAAAUAGUUUAAUAAAAUACAAAGUCUUUAAGAUGAUCCAUUUCAUUCAUCAUUGUUUUUUCCAAAGUCCUUUUAAAACGAAAUUACAAAUUCAUUUUUAAUUUAAACUAUCUAGACACUUCUUCUAUGAACAUCACACAUCAUACACUUCCUUUGAUUAAAUAUUGGCUACGUGGUCAAGUGCUAUGCAUUGGUUUUAAAAAAUUCUUUUUCGUUAUGUUAAGAGUAGCUCAAUACUAAUUGAUAUAUACUAUUUUAGUUAAAAUUUAAAAUUCAAAAUUUUAUAUCUUUCUUAUGCAUGCACGUUCAAUAAUUAAUAAAUUAACGUAGAUGAAAACAUCUUAUUGUUUGGAGUUAGAAGUUCAACUUUCAAAUUAAGUAACUCCUAAUUGUAUUGAUUUAAACACUAAACUUAUAUGAGUUUGAAUUAGAAAUAGAAUUACGUAGAAAUCUAUAAGUCACUAAGGACUGUUUGGGGGAGGGGUUGAGUUAACUCAACCUGCGUUUAGGGACCCAUUAUUAGUCAUGUUAAGUGUCUGUUAACUUCUCAUUAAGAUUUCAUAAGGAGGUAUCUGAAACUAUUGUAUGCCCAACGGAACACCUCAUUUAUCGGUGAACUCAAAGAAACACCUAUGAUAUCGGGUUGUAACUAUCGUGUGUCUGAUGGAAUACAUGCAAUCUAGUGAUCCCGAAAGAACACCUAUGAUAUCAAGUUGUAGUGAUCCUGUUAGACCACUCAUAAACAUAAACAUGAUAGAUUGGUGGUCCCAUCGAACUUACACAGUCAUAAAUUUGUGAAAAUGUGAUAAUCUCGAAGACACCUAUAUGAGUACAAUCUUAAUAGAUAAAAUUAACAGAACACUCAUCUAUAGCAUGUAGCAUCAUCAUAAACAUGACAUGAAUAUUUUUUAAGAUUCUUUGUACCCGAUCGUUUAAAUUUGGCUAUUUUUGGUACACGAUUGUUUAGAUUUGACUAUCUAAUAUCACAACGAUUUUCUUUCAAGAUCUUUUAUAUUUAGCACACGAUCUUGAACAACCAAAUUAACAGUUUUAAAAAAAAUCUUUUAUAUUUGUUAGAUAAUUUUGAACCAAAUAAUAGUUUGAAAAAAAAAUUGCAAAAAAGAGAAAAAGACAAUGGAAAGUAAAAGAAAACCUGCAACAGAAAUAAGAUGAAAAUUAGGAAAGACAAAUCUGAAAUAUUUAAAAAAAAAAGUUGACUUCAUGAACUUUACAGUUUUUUUUUUUUUGUUCCUAGAAAGAGAUUUCAUUAUUAUUUUCAUUAUUAUAUAGCAUUGUAUAUUUCUAAAGUAUAUGGAGUAGUAUAUGUUAUUUUAGUAUACAUCAUAAGUAUGACUUACAAUUAAAAAAUAUAAAUGACUUCUCAACAUGCAUUCACAUUCGAUCUUUAAAAUAUAAAAGAUAAAAAUAUAAAAUUCAUAAUACGUGAAUCAUUGCUAGUUAAUCUAAAUUGCAAGAUACUAUUUGAUUCAUUUUUUUCUAAGAAAACAGUAUUUUGAUUUUUGUAUAUACUAUAAUAUCUAAUAUAUAGUAAAUAAAUAUCAUGAAAAUGUCACAAAAUUCAAAUUAAUCAAACUUAAAAUAAUAUUUAUUGAUGUCAAAAAAAUUUGGACAAAAUGAUCCGACUUCAAAAUGACAAAAAAAUAACAAAUAUGAUAAAUUUGUAUUUUGAAAAAUGAAUGCAUUGCAUACUAUUGGGAUGAAUGUUUGUGGGACUUAUAAGUUAAUGGGUAUGUAGAUUAUUUUAGUAUUAAGUUACUAAAGAGGAAACAACUUAUUGCUUUUUCUGCUUAGAAUUUUCUCCUUAUAUCUCUAGAUAUUAUCUUUUCUUCGAGAGCAACAUUCAACUUUUUUUUUCUUUACAAUGGAAUCACUAUAAUUUUGUUUGUAUUAUCAUAGGGUAAUUUUUAAACAUGCACACCGGAAACUAGAUUUAGAGUUUACUCUAAUUGCUGAGAUAAACAUGUAAUAUGAUAAUUAAGGUUUAAAGUAAAUUUACCUUUGUACAUCUGAUUUUUUGAAAUUCUUUAUGUGUACUUGACCCAAACCACCACUAAAGUUGACCUACUAUACUCCAGACUCAUAAUUAGAUUAUGGGAUUGGUUGGAUGAAGGAAUCAGAAGAGAGAAAAGAGAUGGAAAUAAAGAUGAAUUAAGCUUGGAAGAGAAUUUUAGGGAGGAUAAAUUUUAUGAAUCUAGGUAAAAAAUGCAAUCCAAAUUCUCAAAAUGACCCAAACACUUUGUCAUCAAAUGAAAGGGUCAUUUUAUAGAGAAUUCAUAUGCAAAUUACAUGUCUAUGCAACACCAUAGCCCAACAACUCAAAGUUUCCACUUUCUCUCGUGAUCGUAUUGUCUUCAACAAAUGGCAACACCUAGCCCACUAGAGUUAGUGAGAUUCUCCAACAAAAUGUCGGAUAGUUGAACUAACUUUGUUCAAAGAAAAAAAAAAUGGUUAGUUGGUCAAAGUCAAAGUCAAAAUUUGACUUUUUCAAACAAAAUGUCAACAUUUUAAAUUUUUACCAUUUUUCGGUCUUGACUAAUUUCGAUCUUUCGAGCAUGAAUCUGCACUCAUUAUUUUGAAAUUUAAAUCACAUUUGAAUAUAUUACAGUCAAAGCUUAACUUUUCAAAGUCAAAAGUUAACAUUUUGAUUUUUUACAACUUUGACUAUUUCCAUUAUUUUUAAGCUUUUAAGUAUGAAUUCACAUUCAUAUAUUUUAAAAUUCAAAUCAUAUUUAAACAUAAAACUUUAUCUCUAAAUUGAUAACCAACAGUUAUAUCAUAUAUGUUUGUGAGUUUCUCUUCUCACCUAAUUCGAAUUAUUCAAACUAAUCCAAUAUACUGUUCUAAGUGAAUUCCUUAUGAGUUAGCAUGGAAACCUAAUGGACUUAUAGAUCUACUACAAUAAAAUAUGUAUUUCCUGACGCACGACACAUACGCCGAAAUAAAUGACAUCGAGAAAAGAGCUUCCCCCAGCAUUGUAAAAGCUCCGUCGGGAAAGGUUGACAAUCUCCACGCGACAUAAGGCAAUGUCGGACGUAUAAGGUAAUUUAAUAAAAAAAAUUAUAAACUUCUCUCAAUACUAUGCAUAACGGCGUCGGGAGAAGUCUAUAAUUUUUUUAAUAUAUUUAAAUUCUCUCGAUGCCAACAUAACGUCAUCGGGAGAAGUUUAUAAUUUUUUAUGAUAUUUAACUUCUCAUGACGCCAUGUAUAACGACGUCGAAAGAAGUCCUUUAAAAUUCCAAUACCGUCAAUUCUCUUCCUCUUCUUUCUUAUCUUCUCUUCUUUCCUCAUUCUGACAUCUCUCUCCCUUCUCUUUUCUUCUCUUCUUCCUUCUCCUUCUCCUUCUCCUUCUUUUCUUCUUUUCUUCUCUUUUCCCUUCUCCUUCCCCUUUUUACCAUUGUUUUUCUUUGUUUGACCGGUCUUUCUUCAUAAAUCUGAGAAAAAGGGAAAGAGGACACAAGACAUUGCAUGCUACUGUUAGAGUUUAGGGUUUGACGUCAGGAAUGUCGUAGUGGUCAUCAAUCGUGGCAAACUGUUGCGAUGGCUAACCUAGGUAGAUUUAUUUAUUUGUUUGUUUUUCAUUUAGCAUUACAAAUUUUGUUCUUUAUUUUAUGAUUUUAUGAUGAAUUUGCAUUUUGAUUCGGUUAACUUUAAUGUUCAUCUUUGAUUUAUUCUGUUAUGCUUUAACUUAUAGAGUAAAAAUGGUAAGAUCAGUUCAGCUUUUGCAAUAUAAUCUUUAAGUUUGAAUGAAUUUGAAAGUAAUACUAAUUCCAAAAUACUUUUUUUUAAGACUCUUCAUGGAUACAUAAUACCUUCCAUUUACUAAUGAAAGGUAUUUUUUAAAAAUAAAAAUAUAGGAUUUUCCGACGCAUAAGAUUACGACGUCGAAAUAUGUGUGUAGGAUCUUCCGACUUCACUACUACAAAAAUUGAAUUACUUGGUGUUAAUACAGUGUCAAGUAAAUCUAUAUUUGACGCUUUAAAAAGUGUCAAGUAAUCGACUGUCAAGUACAUUCCUAUUACUUGACACUCAAAAAAAUGUCAAGUACUCUAUUGUUUGACGUCAUUUUUGUGUUCAGUAAGAUAGUAUAGUUGACGUUGUUUACGUGUCAAGUAAGAGAUUGUGUUUGAUGGUUUUUUCACGUCAAGUAAGAUCGUAUACUUGACAAUAUUUACACGUCGAGUAAGAUAUAUACUUGGUGUGUCUAUCAUAUGUACCGAGCUAAAAAUUUAACCCACUCCCCUUGUACUUCAUCCAAUCCAAGCUGUGUGUAUGGGCUUCUCGUAUCAAUCUAUAAAACAUAAAAAGUAGAAUACACAUUGUAAACUAUUUGAGUUAGUCAUUUUAAAAUAUCUAUAACGUUACAAUAUAUGUAAAUAGUUUAAAAACAUAUCGCAUCAGUGAUAAUGUUUGUGUCCUUAGUCAUAAUUUCUCGCAUGUAUCUCAAGUCAUAAUAUACACAUUCAACAGUACCUACUUGUAAAGGACACUAUAACACAACCAAUUAACACUGCAUAUAAAUUAUAUUAUGUGCUAAAUUAAAAUAAAAUUUAUUUUAUAAAUAUAUUUACCUUUAUCGCUUUCCAAAAUGUUGUUUUUCUUGUCUUUUUCAAAUUCUUCUGAGAUUGAAAAAUUGUCAAGGCCCUACAUUUCCCAAAGUAUAGUAUAAUUCACAAUUAAAUAUUUUUUUAGGGAUAAAAAAAACAUAAAUAGAGUUAGCUUACAUUUUCGUUAUGUACUUGAUAUCUUCUUAGGAACUUGUUCUCGAUGAGUCAAGAUGGUACACCACAUCUCGAUGAGUCAAGAUGGUACACCACAUCAUCAUAUGCAUUAAUGACUACUAAUGAUCAAUGAUCACUAAAUGAAAUAUAUAUGCAAGUAAUUAGUAUUUUGCUACUAAGCAAGUUUGAAUUGAUAAAAAUUAUAUUUACCCAAGAUUAUAAGGAGCAAUAACCAAUUGAUCUUAUUUAGAAGUCAUUAAUCUACUACAAAGGUUUCGAGUUCUAAUCUCUCGAGUACUAUAGCUAGUUGAGAUAAGAGAUGAAUCUACAAAAAUGUACUUUGAAACCUUUAAAUUAAUAACGAGUGACUGUAAGUACCUACAAUAAAUCAAUUACACACAUGUAUCAUAAGGAAAUAACAUUUACUUACGUGAUAUAAGCGAUCAUUGAUAAAGUCAUCACCUUUUGCAUGUUGGAAAAAUCAAUGACAUCUUCUCGCAAGACAACUCUUUUGACAUAUACCAAAUAACUCAAAAGGUAGUUGAAAGAAAAAACUAGACCCAUCAACCAUUACCCUUUCAGCAUAUCAGAGAAUAUAUUUUAAUUGAAUUGGUAGAUUGGACUUGAAUCUUUUACCUAACACAAUUAAGUAACAAUCUAAGAACUCAUAUACAUAAAAUUAUUUGUUUACAAUCCACCUUCACGUUUACCUCAUUAUUCUUUGAUAUAUGUGGCUUAGUAGCAAUCAUUUCCUCCUCUUCUACUUCCUCCUCUUUUACCACUUUCUUCUUUAAUGUAAGUGAUAUCGGUGGUACGUAGCAAUCUCUUUCUUCACUUUUACCAUGUUUUCUAAAUUUGUAUGAUUAGCCAUCUUCUUUAAAAUUAUUUCCUAAAACCAUCCAAAAUGUCAAAGCACAAAAUUAAUGAUAACCUCACUUUGAUAAACAAUUAAUAUUGUAACUUUACUUUAUAAACAAAAAUUUUACCUUCUUCUAGACUUUACUCCUGGAGCAACUACCAUGCUCGGAUGUUGGCAUGUUUUGAACUUUCUCUUCCAGUUCUCGAAUGCGUUGACAAAGUGUUUCAUUUUCAUCAAUAAUGUGUUGGGUUGUAUCCACCUUUUUUUACUUUCUUGGUUUGGCUAUGUGAAAAUAAACAAUGGGUGUAAUGAAACCACCCACACCACGUACUCGACCACCAUAUUCUGAAGUACCCAAAACUUGAGUCAAUGCAUCAUUAGGUGAUUCAUCUUUUUUGGAGAAUGGAUAUGCAUUGUUAUUUAAAAUCUCAUCCUAAAAAGAGUAAAAUAUCUCAUUCUUUUGUUUUUCAUUCACGUUCCCAAGUCACGACAAAAUACUAUGGUGAAGAAGAUAUCAAAUCAUGUUUUUCUAUUAUCUUUUUUUUAAAAAAAAAAUUCUGCUGUCUAUAUUUUUAUAUAGAAGUAUGCUUAAAUGUGUAUAUUCGUUCAUUUAUAGGUUUUUUUAGUACACAACAAAAGUUGGAGAAACUUAAACCACCAACUUCGUAGUUGACAUGUACAUAUGUUUAUGUUCUUUAUAUUUAAAUAAUGUAAUAUUGACAAUUUAAUGCAACCAUGAGAAUUUUGCUUAUGUUUUUUUCUUCAUUUAAUUUUUUUUAUUAAAGACUUAUUAAUGAAAUGGUUGAGUGACUUAUACUUUGAUUUUAUUCAAACAAGGUAAAUAUUGUUGGAAUUUAUUAGGUAUACAUAAAGGUAAUAAAAUGUGUAAAGCAAUAAAUAUUAAAUUAUUUCUUUUAAUUUUUACCUACAAAAUUACUAAAAAAGAUUAUGAUAUAAUAAAAAUUAAGUUGUUCAAGUAUUAAUUAAUUAUGAUUACUUAAUGACAUUAGUUAGCAAAAAAAUUAUAAUAUAAUUAUGAUUUAUUUUAUUGAAUUCUUUGUUUUUAUAUUAACGGUGCAUGCCUAUAUGGUUGAAAUGACUGUUUCAAUUUUAUAAAGUUAAAGUUAAAACUACAAAUUUUUCGUGUGUGAUUUUCACCUGCAUCGUAUGCGUUGGUUAUAUACAAGAAUAUUUUUAAAAAUAGCAAAAUAAAUUAAAAUAUUUAUAAACUAUAGCAAAAUUUUUGGAUUCUAUCAAUAAUAGCCACUAAUAUGCUUUUAUCACGGGCUACCAAAAUCACUUGUAGAAUAAUAUCAUUGGCCAUACAAAAUUUGUUAUUGUUAGAAUCUGAAUUAUUCCUACAAUUUGUAUAAAUUUGGAAGCUCACAAUUUACAAUUCAAAGUUUUCACGGACACUAUAUUAAAAGUAAAUUUUAAAAUUUUAAAAUUUUCUAAAAAGUAUUAUUUGAAAUAAGAAAAAAGAAUAAUAAUAAUUAUUCGUUAAGUUAUAUUCGAAUUGACUUUAUUAACAUGUUUUAGUUAGUAUUGAUAUUUUAUUUUUAUUGUUUUUAAGGAAUCUAAAUGAAUGGAAUUUAACGCUAGGGAAUUAACACGUGCCGAAAGAUGGGAAAGUGAAAUGGAUAGAAUAUUCUUCAUUCUCCAACCAAAAUAAAAGUUGUGAGAAACAAUUCUCCAUUAUUGUUCUUAUCUAUAAAGUCUAAAAUUAAUUUCAAUACUUCCUUUUUUUUAACUUUAUUUAUUUAUUUAUUUAUUAUUAUUAUUCUCAAAAAGACUUUGUAUCUAAACUUGGUCUUAUCAAAACAGUGUGCCCUCCUAUUUUAGGCCAAUCAAUUAGAUUUAAUAUAUAUCUUUUCUUUUAUGAUAUUUAAAAUCUGUUGUUUAUAGUGGUAUGCACAAUACACCAUAUUCAAAGUUUACCCUCUACCUUUUAUACAUAUAUAAGUGGCAUAUCUAAACAUCAUUCCUCACCACUAUUCACAUAAACAAAAUACAGUAAAAGUUACGCAUUAUUUAACAUUUCAAAAUUAAUAUUAAAAUACAAAAAUCAGAAAUGUGAGAGAGACACGUGUCCCUAACCCGUUAAUAGAUCCACUCAUGUGUAUAUGUAUGUAGAAAUGGUUACUAACAGAUGUCAAUAAUUUUGUUUGAAUCUGUAAAUUUCUAAAACAUUAAUUUAAUUUUUGAUUUUGAGUAAUUAAAAGCAAUAAUUAGGUAUAAUCUAGACUAUAUUUAACAUUGUACUUUUCAUUUCUAAGUUAGGGAGUAAGGUUGAUUACUCUAUACUAAGUUUUAAAAGAAUUAUGUUAAAAAUAUUGAGAAAUAAAUAUAUAGUUUAUACAAACAUUUAUUAUUAAUUUGUCCUAAAAUAAUACGUUUAUUAACCCAUUAAGCAAUAAAUAUCAUUUUCACUAAAGUUAUACUAAAAGAUAACUAAAUUUUUUUCACUUAUUACUAAAAGAAAUUGUAAAAUACACGUUUUAUCCCACCAUAAUUUAUAUUUCAUCUCUAAAUUCUCAAAUUAACACGUUUGAUUCUCAAUUUUUUAAUUUAAUUUGUAUUUAAUUAUUAAAAUUUUAAAAGUGGCAUAUUUAGUUUUUGACAUCUAAAUUUAGUUUUUAAUGGAUCACAUCAGCACGAAAAAAUUAUUUUAAAUAAUAAAAGUUUUAACAUUUUUCAUUAAUAUAGUAAAAUAUAAUAAUCAUGAUAGAAAUACGUUAUAUUUAUCGUCUGCAACCGUGUAUAGAUUAUAUAAUGAAAAUUUGUACUUAAGUGAUCGAAAUUUGACGUUAAAUAAUAAAUAGGAUAUGGGUUUAGUUUUUUUCUUUGACUAAAAUGGAGGGUAACAUAGGAUUGAUACAACUUAGAAAUGUUGUUUGGAAAAUGUUAUAAUAGCAUAGGAUAAAAAAUGGAGGCAUAAAAUAUAUUGGUAAGUAGCGUAAGUUACAAUUAAGUAAAAAAAAAGAAGAAGAAAUUUAUAAAUGAUGGAAUAUAAAUAAAAUUAGAUUCCUUGGGUGUCAACAUCAUUAAAUGACAGAGCAGAGACAAUUCAGCGUUUGGAUUAAGCGCUUAGGGCUAACUUUUGUAUUCAACGACGUCGUUUUUAUAGCGAAGAAUCCGAAACCAAAAAUAAGUCAUUUAAUAAAUUACGAAAUUAUAAAUAAAAGGAAAAGACAAAGCCCUUUAAUAAAGGAUUGUAACUGUAAGCAAUUUGCCAUUUCCGCUUCGAUUGGAUCAGAGCUAGAGAGAGAAAACAGAAACAGAAUCAAUGGAGUUUUCUAUGUGUAAUAAUAAUAAUAAUCAUAAUUCUAUGUUCUUCAAUUCCUCUUCAUCUUCGUCCUCGUCCUCGUCUUCUUCUUCUUCUCCUUCUCCUUCUUCUUCUUCAUCAACUAUCAAUAACCCUAAUUUUCUAGGAUGAAAAACGAUCCCCUUUCUCAAUUCCAUCAUCACUUUCAUCUCUCCUUCAUCAUUUCAAUCGCCAACCCAUUUUUUACUUCUUGAUCAUGAUCAUGAUGAUCUGUCCGGCCUUCUAGCUGUCAAUUCAAGGCCGUGACGGUCUCUCUCUCUCUUUUCCGCCUUGGAGUUUUUUUUCUUCUCAAUAAUCCUAGGGUUUCCCCCCCCCCCCCCCUCUUUUUGUUGAUUCUGCGUGAAGUUUGCAUCAUGGAGCCUCGAGUUGGAAACAAAUUUAAACUCGGUCGGAAGAUUGGAAGCGGAUCGUUUGGAGAGAUCUAUCUCGGUUUGUUCUUCUUUUUUUGUUUUGUUUUGUUUUUUUUUUUGGUGUCGUUGAUGUUAUGCUGUUUAUGCGGUAUCAUUUGUCGCUUUUUUAAUUUUUUUUUUCAAUUUAAUUUCAGGUACUAAUAUUCAGACGAAUGAAGAAGUUGCAAUUAAGCUUGUGAGUAAUUUUUUUGGAAUUGGUCUGUUUUUGCGGCUGUCAUUGAAAAUUUAUCGACAUGUUUGACAAUAUGUUCUCAAUAUUUAUGGACCGUUUCGUUCUGUCCUCUUAUUUUCUUCUUCUUCUCUUGAAAUUGGCAUGUUGUGUGUUUGACUAGAGUAGUUUUCGUGUUAAAUAUAUUUGAUUUGGUGAUGUUCAAAUUUGAGGCAGGACAUAAGUCAUUACCUUAAUUUUCAACCGAGACCGUAAGUAACAGUAGCUCGAAACUAGAGCUUCCUGAAGGAGGUGUCAAGAGUUUGAUUUAUCGAAUGUUCAAAACUUGGCGUGGUUUUGGUAGAGUCAGAAGGCACCUGAAAAGUUAGUUCAUGCAAGGUCCUUUGGUUAGGUAUCUGUGCAGAAUGGGUCUCCACAUUGAGUGGGUUUGGUUUCUGUUAGAAUCUAUAUAACGACUUAAUGAGGUUAUGUUGAUCAUCGAUAAUGAGUAUUCUCAUACAAAAGGUUGAUGUUAUAGCACAACUACUCAAUUCCAUUGUUAUGGUUCUGGGUUCAAAAUCCAUAGUUCCCCCAAGUUUAUUCCUUUUUUUUUCUUUGAAUGAGAAUCAUCCAUAGGGAACUCCAUUGAUAGAGGAAUUACUAAAGAGUGUCUAGCCAUAGGAAUUACUAAGAACUCUUCCAACUGGCCAUGUGGAAGACAAGUCAUACGAAGAUGAACAAAAAGGCUAGAAUUCUUGAACCAUGUUGAAAGUGAUGGGAAUUAUAGGUAGAAAAGUAUGAUCAAGAAACUCAUGCAUUGCAUCUAUCAUGGAUCAGGUAUUCAUUUAUUUUGUUGUUUCUCUGUAUUUAAGUUCACUGGAGGAUAGGGUAAUAAUGUUUCCAUGAUAAGAUGGGCUGAUAAGUUAUUGCCUUGGUACUUUGUUAGCUGUUGACAGGAAUUAAGCCUGAAAUUAGUUGCAGCUUUUCUUUUUGGCUGGAUGGACGUGAUGAUGUGAUCAAUGCAUGCCAUAUAGUCUUUACAAUAACAAGCAAUAUUUGCAUGUCCUGAUGUAGUUUUCUAUUUCCAGGAAAAUGUGAAGACGAAACAUCCACAACUGCUUUAUGAAUCAAAGCUAUAUAAAAUACUACAAGGAGGAAGUAAUAAACGUUACUCUUAACUCUUAACAAUAUCGUGUUUGUAAGUUGCAUACCUUAUUAUUCAUGUUUGCAAACUUUUUUCAAUUUUGACAGCUGGGAUUCCAAAUGUGAGGUGGUUUGGCGUCGAAGGAGACUAUAAUGUUCUUGUGAUUGAUUUGUUGGGCCCUAGCCUUGAAGAUUUAUUUAACUUCUGCAGCAGAAAAUUGUCUCUUAAGACUGUUCUUAUGCUUGCAGAUCAGAUGGUAACAAUUUAAUUGACUGAGUUCAUCCAUCACCACGUCUGGUCUACUUCAUGUUCUUUUUUAUGAACACUCUUUGUUAUCUUUGCUCCCAUUUUAGAUCAAUCGGGUGGAAUUUGUUCACUCCAAAUCCUUUCUACAUCGGGAUAUCAAACCAGAUAAUUUUCUUAUGGGCUUAGGCAGGCGUGCAAAUCAGGUUUUGAUUUUUUUAAUUUGUUGUAGGAUUCAGCAUUCAUGUUCAUUUUUGUUAUAUUCAUUCAGUGUCCUGUAUCCAUGUUUCCAUAGGUCUACGCCAUCGACUUUGGGUUAGCUAAAAAGUACAGAGACACUUCAACUCAUCAGCACAUUCCUUACAGGUCAGUUGUUUAUAAUUAAAGGUUGCAAUCGAUUUAUUCAUAUUGCUAUUGUUUCAUAGUGGAUUUAUUUAAAUGCUGUUUUGUGAAGAUCUUAGAUGAAAUAUUUAUUGUUACUGAUUUUGAGCAGUGUUGUCUUGUGGCAUAAAUUUUGUAGAUGAUGUAUGAGUUAUAGUGUAAGGUUUUAUUGUUCAAAUCUAAUAUUCCUACUUCUUUCUUGAUCAGUGAAUGCUUUCUUAUCAAUGAAAUAAUUGCUAAUGUUUUGUACAAACUUCUACUGGGUCUUCUUUAAUGCUUAAGAUGCUUUGACAGACUUACGCUGUGCCUUGGAAGUUCGUGAAGUUACUUAGCAUGCCUUUUCUUCAUUCUGGACAUCCAUUUAAGAAAAAAAAUCUUAAAAUUUGUUUUAUAAAAUUCAUUAGAAUACCAUUUUUCAACUGUCCUCCUCAAUCCACCUUUUGUGGGAGUCUCUCCUUUUUCCUGUGGGCUUGGUUUUGGUAUGCCCGUGUAGUCUUUCAUUUUUUUCUCAAUGAAAGUCGUUAAUUUCAAAGGAGGAAGGGAAAAAAACUAUCCUACGGUAGAAUACGAUUGGUCAUUUAUUUGUUUGUUUGAAGUAUUGAGGAUAUACUUCCAUGAUAAGAGUUUGAGAACUAAAGUUGCAGUCUCUUUGUUUCGCUUUUAUUUCGUUUUUAUUUCUCAGUUCUUAGUUAUUAUAAUGUUCCAUGAAAAGCAUAUUUACUAGUUUUCAUUCAUAAGAGAGUAAAAAAUGAUUCUGGCAUCUACCCCACUGGCAUUUUCUGUGUCUGGGUCUGUUGGUUAGGAUUUGGGGCUUUAAAUUAGAUUGUAAACCAAUGUCCCUUGUUUGGCCCUUCUUGUUGAAUGUGUAUUCAAGAUAUUGUCUUCUACUGUAGGAGGGAUGGUAUCAAUGCUACAGAUAUAUUUAUCAUUAAGAAAGCACUUGCCUUUUAUUUGUUGAUCAUGGCAACUAUUUCCAUGAGUUUGACAAAUGUAACCUGCUGACUAUUUGCAGAGAAAACAAGAAUUUGACAGGAACUGCAAGAUAUGCAAGCAUGAAUACCCAUCUUGGCAUUGGUAUCUCUUUUCCCCUUUUUCUCUGUUAGAUCUCUCCUUCCCACAAUACAAACAGUCAUAAAACAUAAAUUGAGAAAUGGAGGGAGAUGAUAGAAACGUUAUGAGGUUUGUUUUCUUCUGCUUCCUUAUAAUUUACUUUCAUAUUGUGCAGAACAAAGCCGCCGAGAUGAUUUAGAAUCACUUGGAUAUGUUCUUAUGUAUUUUUUAAGGGGGAGGUAAGUAUUUUGUGUUAUCAUAUCAGUAUGUGACUCUUUUAAAUCGUGAAAUAUCCAAUAUGGAGUGGUAACCUGUUAUCUUUAUAGUCUUCCUUGGCAGGGACUUAAAGCAGGAACGAAGAAACAAAAGUACGAAAAGAUUAGUGAAAAGAAAGUCUCCACUUCUAUAGAGGUUAGAUUAUCCGCGUCUUUGGGUGACUUCUUGCCACUGAUAAUUACUGUCAAAUAUUAUGAAAUCCAAUUAGAUUAUGCUGACAUAUUGUACAUAUUGUUCUCCCUUUAGGCCCUUUGUCGUGGAUACCCUACUGAAUUUGCUUCCUACUUCCAUUAUUGUCGAUCAUUAAGGUUUGAUGAUAAGCCAGACUACGCUUAUCUAAAAAGACUCUUCCGUGACCUUUUCAUUCGUGAAGGUUUGAAUUUUUUAAUUCACUUUUUUUCCUAUAAAUUUUACAGUGUUGUUAUACUGUUUCAAUUUAAAUAAAGGCAUGCUUUUUCAGGUUUUCAGUUCGAUUAUGUGUUUGAUUGGACCAUUUUGAAGUACCAGCAAUCCCAGAUAACUGCCCCACCUACUCGUGCCAUUGUAAGUUUUGGAACGCAUACGAGAUUGGCCUUUCUCUGUGUAGUUAUGACUUGUUUUGGUAACCAUUUGGUUUUUGAAAUUAAGCAUAUUUUCCUGACAUUUCUUACCAUGGUUUUCAUCUUCCAUAAGUAGUAGAGUUUGAAUCUUAACCAAAUUUAAAAAAUGAAAAGUUUUGAAAAUUACUUAUUUUAGUUUUCAAAACUUGGCUUGUUGUUUUCAAAACAUUGAUAGAAAGUAUAUAACUUAGAACUCAAGAAUACAAAUAUACAACCUAUAGAACAGAUCCUGUUCAAAUAAGGUCGUAUAGAAAUUAGAAAGUAUAUAACUAAGCAACAACUAAAAAUCAAAUGUCAAGUGGUUGUCAAAGAGGCUAUAUUACUCAUUUAUCCUCAUGUGACAUUUUGAACUCUAGGGUGGUGCUGGACCAAGUUCUGGAGUACCUAUGGCUAUAGCAAAUGCUGAUAGGCACACUGGUAGUUAUUUCUCUUAUUUUGGUUUGUCUUAGAGUUCCUUGCAUCAUAUUAUCCUGCUACUUGCAUGUCUCAACGAUAUUGUAUCUUGAAGGUGGCGAGGAGGGUCGACCACCACCGAGUGGCUGGGUAGCACCAGACCCCUUGCGAAGGAGAAACUCUGGUCCAGUUACGGGCACUGCAAAACAAAAACCUCCAGCCACAAACGAUCACGCUAUUGCCAAGGAACGCAUAGUGAGUACUUACUGAUUACAUGUUUGUUAUAGUUUUCCAUGUUUGUGGUUUUCUUUUCUUUUUUCAUUUCUUAACUUGUUAUAAUCCGCAUACAUCCAGCUACCAAAUUCCAAUAUUAUACAAUCAAGUGGAUCAUCAAGACGAGCUGCAAUAGCUAGCACCCAAGAUAUAGCCCUCCUUGGAUGUGAAUCCGACCCAACUCGCCUUGGAAUUCCAGAUCCGAGCUUUGGAGCUGUACAGAAAAUCUCUAGUGCACAAAGGCAUUCACCAGCUGAUCAGAACCGUUCGACCUCGGCCAGAAACAUAUCAUCAGGCAUCAGGAACUUUGAGUCCACUCUUAGAGGUAUCGAAAGCCUCCAUUUUAAUCAAGAUGAGAAGGUACAAUAUUAGCGGUUAACACUCGCGUGCUCACUAUCCUAGCAAAAUCUAUCUGUUGUAAAUACGGUUGGGCGGUCGAGCAAUUUGUUGUGCUUUCAUUUGUGUUUUUAGGAAAGCAACAGCAGCAAGUUGGGAAGGAAGAACAUUUUACUGUCACAAAAAAAAAAAGGAAAAGAAAAGUUCUAGGAAAGAGGAGAUUAUUACUAUGGUGGCUCAAUGAAAGCCAUUUUAUUUAAUAGUUUGGGUUAGGUAGUGGCUUCCUUUUUGGCCUUGGGUUCUCUCUAAUUUAUUUUGUUGAAUACUGUUUUAUUGUAUUUUGUUUUUGGUAAUUGGUCCUCGGCUUUUGUUUUGUUUUUUUUAUUUUAUUAUUAUUGUUGUUAUUGAAAUCUUAAUGAACAAACGAAAUGUGUAAUUAGUUUUUAGUUCUUUUUAUGCUCUGAAUUCCUUGGCAAAUGGUAACAUUGUCCACUUUUAAGGCUGUGUGUGAUAAGCUGGAAAAACAUGCGUUUCACUUUCUUUACCUCACUAAGGAGGGAUUCAGGAAUACCAUGGCCCUUCUGAUAAAUCACUACACUUUUUUUAUAUACAAUGUCCCUUUUUACAAUAUCUUUUUCUUGAAAAAAUUUCAAAUAGCACAAGUAUUUUACUCAUAACUUUAGAUCAUUAUCCUUAAAAUAAUAACAGUAUGUUCCUACACUGUCAAUCUCUUCUAAGUUAAUAGUACAAUAUGGUAGACUAAGUCAACUCAACUUCUAGCUAUCAAAAUUUAUUCGGGCUUGGAGGGUAGACUAUGCAAAAUUGAUUCAACAAAUAUUUUGAGAAAAUUGUAUUUAUUUUUUUAAUUAAGAUUUAGUCAUUUUUAAUAUCAUUUUAAUCCUUCACAUCAAUUAUAAAUAAUAUUUAUAUGUAGAAUAUAUAUAAUAUAAUACCAUAAUUAUAUGAUAUCACAUUCAUUAUCUAUUUUAUAACUUAUCGAAUUAAUAUGAUAAACAAUCUGAAUUUUUAUUUUCAUUUACUAAUAAGAUAUCAUUUAUUACCUAACUAGUUCUAAUAUGGUAUAAAAUUGAGUCAAAAUAUUGUAAUAAUAUAUUAAAUAAUUUCUACUGGAUGAUUAAAAUUAUUUUUAUUGAAUUUUAUCCAGAAUCCUAGUUUCACAUUCUUCUUCCACCUUUUCAGCGUCUUCUUAUUUCGCUCAUCUUCUUCAAGUAUAUCGAGUGAGUGCAUGUUUCUUUCUUUUAUAUUUCUUUCUCCUUCAUGUUUAUGUAAAUUUUGCGGUUUAUAAUUCUGGUUUAAUUUUUCAUUGAAGUUUUUGGUCAAUAAAAAGUACAAUGAAUGCAUAUUUCAGUUUUUUCCUCCAACUAAUUUUUUCAUGUUAUUAAUGUUUUUUUCUUAAAUUGUGAAUUAUAGUAUACGAUAUACAAUUAAUAUAUUUUUUCGUUCUUAUUUAAAUUGCAAAAGUAUAACAUAAAAAAUAUCAUAUAGUUUAUGGUAUAUAUCGUAUGUCAUUAAGUAUUACACUAUGCAUCACACACAUAAUAUAUAAUUAAGCAACAGACACAUAUUUCAUAUAUUAUAGUAUAUAUUAAAUAUCACUAAGCUUUAAGUAUCACACACAGAAUAUAUCAUUAAGCAGCAGACACAUAAUAUAUCAUAUAUUAUACAUUAUAAUAUAAAAUAUCAUUAGUAAUAUCUCAUAUACAUCCUCUCUUGCACAUUUGAUUUUCCCACAUUUCUUCUCCAUAUUUGCUUUUUAAAUAAUAUUCAUAUAUAUUUUAAAUAUUACAAAGUUUUCACUUAUAAAAAUAUCAUCAUCUCUAGACAUAAUAUAUGAUAUAUUAUAGAGAAAUUUGAUAGAGUAGCAUUUUGAGAAUAUGAUAUAAUAAAUAUAGCACAUUAUUUUAGAAUUUUAUAAAUAUGACAAAGUUUUCACUUAUAAAAAUACUCUUCAUGUUAAACUACUUUUCAAUAAUUUAUUUUUUUCCCUUUUUUUUAAUGCCCUAUCCAUUAUUUAUUUAUUCUUCAACUUUUUAAGAUAGUAAUAAUUUAUUUAUUUUUAUACAAGAAAAAUAAUUUGUUUUUUCUGUCAUAAUCUUGAUUUUAGAAUAUCAAUAGUACAAUAAUUAUAAUAUGAAAUAUAAUGGUUGUUGAUUAUAGUCGUUUAACUUUAUUUGUGAUUUUCUUAAAUUUCUUUAAUGUGUAUUUUGAGUUGAAUCUAAUUUCAAAUGAUUUUGUUUUCUUUUUUUACAUUGAUUUUGUUUUGGUUUUACUUUGUCUUAGUUUUGUAUAUUUGUGUUGUGAUAUACUUAUAUUAUAUGUAUUAGUUGGUUGAUAUACUUACUACGUGUUUUUCAUUUUUUCAAAUUUUAUACAGUUCAUUAUAGUAUUAUUAAGUAUAUGAAUUAUAUAACUCAGUGUAUCAUUAUCUAUUGUUAAAGCAUAUCAGUAAAGUGAAUCAUUAUCAAGUAUAAAUCAAGUUUUCAAGUGUAUAAAUAUGACUUCAAGCAUAUCAAGUGUAUUUAAUCAAUCAAAUGUAUAAGUGAAUAAUACUAAGUAUAUUUGCAAUGCAUUGGGUGUAUCAAACAUAUCAAAUUUGUUGAGUGUACCAAUAAAGCAUAACAAAUUUAUUAACGGGGUAUCAAGUGUAUCAAACUUAUAAGUGAAGUCUUUAAGUGUAUCAAGGCUUAAGGGGUAUCAAAUGUAUCGAGAAGAAUCAAUUAUAACGAUGAGUAUUAUGUGUAUCAAGAAGUAUCACACGGGUAUUAGGUGCACCAGACGUGUCUAAGGUGUAUCAAAUGUAUAUUAGUAAUGAGGGCAUUUGUGACAUUUUACCUCUUGAUGUAUGAGUUGAACUUUGUUUUUGCCAUUUUUGUAAAUAAUAAAGUGUGUGUGCUAUGGACUUAAUUAUUAUAACAUGUUCUUGCCAUUUUUGCAAGUACCCCUAUAUUAUAAAGUAUAUGAUGUAUAUCAGUCUCUUAGUGAUCUAUUUGAAGUUCUCUAUUUCCUCAUUUCUCUCCACUUGUUUUUUUCUUCCUUUUAGUUUCCUUUUUUUUUUCUUUUCUUGUUCUAUCCUUAUUCGAAAAUCCAAAACAGUUUCAAUCACGGUAAGAUUUUACAAAUUAACUUACAAUAUAUGAAAGUCAAUGCAAAUUUGAUGAAAUAUAAUAAGUAUAUAUAAAAAGUUAUUAAAUUACAUAGAAUAUUUGAAAAACAAUGCAAAAUGAAAUAAAUGAUGUGGUAUAUAUACUUGAUUGAUUGCAAAUAAGGAUAUAUACUAUAAAUUACAUGGCAUAUAUGCUUCAUUCACUGUAAAUUUUCUUUAUCGAAAAAAUUUCACCGACAAUAUUUCACAAUUUCAUAUACAUAAUUAAUAAUAAGAAAUUGAUGUUCAUUUACCACCAAAAUUUGAAGGAGAUGUACGAAAUAAGAAAGAAUGGACUGAAAGAGAGAUUAGAAAGUGAAAGAAAGAUCGGACAGAGUAAAGAAUAUUUAAGCAAAAUCACCAAAAGAAAAAUAAUUAAAAGGUAAUUUUGAUUAUAAUAUUACGAUAAUAGAAUUAAUCACAUACCAUAUUUACGUAUAUUUACGUAGGAUAUAAUACAAAUCUUAAUCAUAUGUGAUUGUCCACUUUUCUUAUUUUAUUUUUAUAUUUUUUUUAAUGUAUUAUUAAUAAUAAAGAUUGGUAGUUUUCUCUUUUGGCCUUUACAUUUGUGUAAAAUUGAAGCUCGUUAUGCAAUUUAUGAAAAAUUUGACAACAUUAGGUCCAACUUGUAUUAAGCAUCCAUUUUUAGAUUCAUAUUACUUGAAUUUGUAAAUUGCAAAAAUGGCAAAUUCAAUUAGUCCAACUCAAAUGUGCUAAUAGACUUGAAGUAAAAGUCAAAAAGAAUUUGUAAAUUGUAAAAAUGGCAAAUUUGAUCGGUCCAAUCCAAAUGUGCUAAUAGGCUUAAAGUAAAAAGUCAAAAAGGCCCCUCAUAUUUAAAACAAUUUGAUUGUUAUGUGAUCGUUAUCUAAUUGUCAUUUGAUUAAUGUGAUUACAUUCUAAGAUAGUCUUUUGAUUAUCAUCUAACUACCUUCUAUUGUUUUUAUGUUCAUUGUCAUUUGAUUACCUUCUAUUGUUUUUACUUUCAAUUACCUUCUAUUGUUUUUACUUUCAAUUUUAGUUGGCCUUCUAAGAUAGUUAUGUAAUUAUCUUCUGAUUGUUCGACUUAUGCAAUGUAUCAUGGAAGUACUAAAAUAUAUAAAACUUUGAAAGCCUAUUAUUGUGGCCAAGUAUGCAAAGAGAGGUAGCGGUGUUUGUGGCCAAGUGUUUGAUUUGUCAACAAGUCAAACUACAAUAUGUAAAAUUAGGUUGGGUUGGAAGAAAUUCUCAAUCCAAAUCAUAUUUUUGGGAUAUUUGAAUUGACAAUCCAAAUAACUCGAAUUUAGUUCAUAACCCAAUAUGUAAAAUAUGGAUUGGAUGGUCGGAUUGUAUAUAUUUAUAUUUUUUCGUUUCUAGUUUCUAAUAAUUAUAAAAGUUUAAAAUUCUUACCUUUAAAUUUCAAACAUACAUAAUUCAAAAUUUUAUACAACAAAUUCAAAGUUUAUAUACCUAAUUUGUUUUUUAUUAGAUAAUAUAUAUAAUUUAUAUUAAAUAAUAUAUAUAUAUAAAUUCAGGUUGGAUUAGAUUGAACUGAAUUUUUCAAUCCUUCAACCCAACCCAACAAGAUAAAAUUAAUUUUUUUUUUAACUCUAACUCAACUCAUAUUUUAACAAAUUAUAGUUCAAUUGAAUCCUAACAAGCUCAAACUCGAGGACAGUUGCAUAAGCACUAUUACACUUACUAAUUUUAUAAGCAUGCAAUUUUACUAGAUAAUAUGAGCAUCGUGAUUUGAAGAUUUGAAGAUUUGAAGACAUGAGCUCAACACAAGCCACACAUGACCCAAGGGUCAUUUAAAUGAAAGGAAUUAAAUAUAGCCUUGUAAAUGGGUCCAAAUCUCCUUUUUCCAAGCUUGUUGGAUGAACUAAAAUCUAACUUCAAUGACUAAGUACAUAAAUUCCAAGGAACUUCAACACUUAAAAUUAACAACAAAAUGAACAAUUACAAGAAACUCGAGAACAUUUUUGUGUAGAUUAUUCAGGUGAAAAUAAUGUAGGAUUGAUAUUGCAAGUGCUAACGUUUACAAAAUUCCAUAAAACUUCUACACAGGUCUCGAAGUUCAAUGAUCAAUUAAAACAAGUAAUGACAAAACAAAAUUGUCCACAAAAAAUAAAUAAAAGGAAAAAGAAAAGACCUAAUAUUGCUUGGAAAGACAACCAGAGUUUUUUUUUUUUUUUUUUUUUUUUCAUAACUUGGAAAGGGAAAUAAGGCAACAAAAAAAAACCUCAAAUACAAUACAAAACCCCAACAAAGAAACAAAAAGGCCCAUAAUUUACCAUAAAGGUAAUUUGACAAUCUUUUAUAUUGCAGUGGUGCAGGCCACACCAUUUCCCAAGGUCAGAUUAUAGGUUCCAAGAAUAUUUUAAUUUAAGACACUAGAAAAAAAGAAAGAGAAAAAAAAAAGAUAAUAAAAAAGAGGUUGAAAAAAAAAGAAAAGCUUUGAAGUUCUUCAAGGAGAAAACCACGCCUCAGUCUACCACAAUAUUACCCUUCCCUUCUCUUCUUUUUUCUCACAGAAGAUCAGCAACAUUUGCUGGCAGCUCUUCAAUUACCACAUUGUAGAACUUCUGAAUGUCAAAUAGCAUUCUUUCGUCCUCUGUCGUUACAAAGUUGAUCGCAACACCCUUUCUUCCAAAUCGUCCACUUCGUCCAAUACGAUGAAGGUAGUUCUCCGGUUGUGUCGGCAGAUCAUAGUUAAUAACAAGAGAAACCUGCUGGACAUCGAUACCACGGGCCAACAGAUCAGUGGUAAUCAGAACCCUAGAAGAACCUGAUCGAAACUCACGCAUGAUGAUGUCUCGGGUGUUUUGGUCCAUGUCACCAUGGGUAGCAGAUACAGUGUGGUCACGGCUUCGCAUCUUAUCAGUGAGCCAAUCAACUUUACGUCGAGUAUUGACGAAGAUGACACUCUGUGUAAUGGCCAAAGUUUCAUAAAGAUCGCACAGUGUCUCGAGCUUCCAGUCUUCCUUGUCAACAUUGACAUAGAACUGCUUGAUACCCUCAAGGGUGAGCUCAUCACGCUUAACAAGAAUUCUAACAGGCUUGUUCAUGAACUUCCUGGUGAUCUCAAGGGCUUCAGGAGGCAUUGUGGCAGAGAACACCCCAACCUGAAUCUUGGAUGGUAGCAGCUGGAAGAUAUCAUAAAUCUGCAAUGGAGAUAUACAUGUAGAAGGGUAGUUAGAAGAUUUUUCGAAGAUGCAAUCAGAUCAAAAGGCAAUAAGAAAUGGACUAGGUACAUUGAAGAAUGAUGGAAGUAAAAAUUUAAAAAGAUGCAACAAAGCACAACACCACAUGAGAGCAAAAUAAGCGAACAGCUACAAACUUAGUUACCAAUAAUUCUCGAAUAAAAGAUUGAAGAGAGCAUCAAAUUUGAAAGCAUCCUACAACGUUUUGAAUAUCUCUGAGAUAUAUAAUUACGAAAAUAAAAAUAGAAAACUCAAACAGUACAUAACAAAGGAAAACAAGAAACUGUCAGGUUGGAAAUCUAUUACAUAGAUUCUUAAUGAAAAUAAAUAAAAAAGUAAAGUUUUAGAUAAAGGAAAACAAACGCACUACACCAUGAAGAUUUAAAGCCAGCCAACACUCUUUAUCAUGGAGGAAAUAAAAAUGGCCUCGGCAAAACUAAAAUUAUAGUACAGUCAACACAACAACGAAUGUCAUCUUAAAAAGUGAAUUAAACAGUAGAUAGAGCAAAAGGAAAAUGUUAAAACCAGUGCAAUAAUAAACUAAAACUAAGUUCUCUCACAGGCAGGACAAUAGAGUCAUGAAAGUUAAAUUACAAACCUGGUCCUUAAAUCCACGAGAAAGCAUUUCAUCGGCUUCAUCCAAUACAAACAUCCGAAUGUAGUCGGGGCGAAGUGAUUGUCUACGCAACAUAUCAAACACACGACCAGGUGUACCAACAACUACAUGAACACCAGCUUGAAGAAUGCGUUGGUCUUCACGUACACUCGUCCCACCAACACAAGCAUGAACCUUCACACCAAGAUA
Molecule: long non-coding RNA, 89801 nt
Filed under: Cucumis sativus (cucumber)
Lineage: Eukaryota; Viridiplantae; Streptophyta; Magnoliopsida; Cucurbitales; Cucurbitaceae
Description: long non-coding RNA (CSAT_LNC001299)
Source: RNAcentral